This 111478-nucleotide long non-coding RNA is filed under the name Coffea arabica (coffee). Its description in RNAcentral is "long non-coding RNA (CARA_LNC004011)". Lineage: Eukaryota; Viridiplantae; Streptophyta; Magnoliopsida; Gentianales; Rubiaceae. The record is from RNAcentral.
UUUUUUUUUUUUUUUUUUUUUUUUGUAGAAACGAUGGGAUGGGAUUUCUAUAACUUAAACUAGCCUAUUCUAGGGGGGAGGGGAGGGGAAGGGGACUCGAUAUGAGUAGAAACUCCAUCGAAGAUGGCCAAAGAAGACCGUCACAUAUUGUGACAAAUUUUUGAGGGAGGCAGGGUUCGAAUCCAUAAUCUCUUUGCAUCACCAAAGCUUAGAAGGCUUGGGAUGACCACUGGACCAAAGGCCCAAUGGCUCGUGUUAUCAGUUAUUUGUGUUUUGGUUGUUGAAAUUAGCGGGUCACCUAAAAUUUGAAUUGUUGAGAAGGACAAGGUUACUUAAUAUAUCUGAAUUAAAAUAAAUAUGUAAAAUUGUAGGAAAAAGAUAUUGGAAUUUUGGAGGUUUGUGGAGACUUCUAACAAAAAUACUUAUAGAUAUAGAUGAGACAGAUAAUCAAAUCAAAUGGAAGUGAAAAGACAAUGUAGUAAAAAAAAAAAAACAUUUGCUGUUUGGACACCCUUUUUUUUUCCAGGAAAAAGAACUAGCGAACGUAAAGGUGUUGGUUGGUUCCUGAAAUCUGCAAAAAUAUGCUGCUGCUUACCACUUGUCGAGUGCUUCUCUUUCUAUCCAUUAUUACAUGCGACCUUCCUCAGUUAGCAUGAGAUUUGCGUGGCCACUCCAUCAAAGUGACGGCGUGCUACACAUUCAGACUCAGGCCAGAUAGAGAUUUUACUCGAGUUUGAAACGUAAUUCUUUCAUAUAAUAAUUCAUCAACUUUUCUCUUUUCUUUCUUCAACGGCCUUCAUCAUUGCAAAGUUGGUAAGUAAAAGUGGAGACAAAACAAAUUAACUGGGACGACGACACACGGAAAGUUUGCAAUUUCCGCGAGAGAACAAGUGAAUGGCAAAGGCGUGUUAUGCACGUACAUUUUGCUGCGGAUCAAUAGCUCAUACGCGAGGCUUUCAAUAGGAUUAGAAUUCCACCCAAUCUUCUCUUUCUCUGCGUUGUUGUCUCGACAAUUUGUGGUUCUUUUCUGAAUUCCAUCUUUACUACGGCGCCAAACGCGAGAAUUUCUUCUCAUCUGCCUCCACCCAAAUUUUAAUAAAGGCGCCAAACCCCACUAAAGGUUGGUCUUAUUUGCACUUUUUUCCCUAAUAAUAUUUUUGUUGCAGUUCCCCCCCCCCCACCCCCAACUAAUGGUCAACACAAUGGCUUAAUAAGGAGAUAAUGAUCUCAAAAUAACAAUUAGUAGAAACAAUACUUGAAAAUGAGAUUUGAAUUUUUUUUUGUUCAUUUCAAGAAAAUGCCAUUAAAAAUGAAUUUCAACCACUUAAAAUAAUCACAUGCCCUUGGAAUCUAUUGUAGAAUUUAAAAUAAAACCAUUCUAUGUACAAGAAAAAUCAUAAAUUAAUUAUCAAUAAAGAAUACUAUGCUAUUUUAACAACAACAAAAAACUCAUUGAAAUCUUCAAGUGUCCAUGACACCCAUAUGAGAUAUAUUUUUAUCACAUUUGUAUCUCACCUCUACUUAUUGACUUUAAUUAUUUUAAUUAACACUGUGAGAUUUAAUUUGAGGAGUCAUAUUUUGAACAAUAAAAAGGUUUCAAGAUGCGAUUUUUUAUUUUUAAUAAAAGUAAAAUAUUUUGGGAAUUUAGUUCUUGAUUCUCUCGAAAGAAAAAAAAAAUUUGCAUUAAGGUGAGAUGAGAAGCUUGGGCACGGAAACGAAGGAUGGAGAAAAUGGAUAUAGGUAGGACUAAAAUUGAAACUUUUGAUAUUCUUUAACUAUAAAAGAGGAUGUGGCUUAACAGAGGGAGUAAAGUGCAACGAAAAAAAUAGGUAGGGGAGAAAGUACAAAUAACACCAAAUAUUAUGGAGACUUGGUACCUUUAACCCUUGAACAAAAUGAUUGAAAAACAAAAAUAUUUAACUCGAGGAUAUGAUUAUGGCUUUAUUAUUAUUUUUUUUGCUCAAUAUUCAAUUAACUUCUACUGAUGGAAAGAUGGGUGCAUCAGAGGAUAGGAUAAGAUGGAAGGAACUGUAAAUAGAAGGUAAGGUAUGGAAUUUAAGAAUUUCCACUUUAAAAAAAAAAAGUGUUGAUGGAAUUGUUGGUUGUCAUUGGUAGCACGAUAGAAGGUGUAGACACGGCUUUGACCAUGUCAAAGUUCGAGUACUUUUUCUUUUCUAAUUUCUACUACUAAUAAAACCAUCCAGUUUUCCCUGCUGUAGCACGAUGCUCAUGAAAGUUUCAACCACAUUUCUUGGUGCAAAAUUGAGGUGCAAUGACGUAGUUAAGGAAAAGACAGAGUAAGAAAAAAGUUUAGUGGAGCCCAUUUCAGAAGUUAACUGCCCCGGAUGAAUUUUCCCGACUGAAUUCACAUUGAUGUCCAUUAUAAACACAAGCAAUGAGUUGGAACUCGUUGAUCUUUUGUUUCUUGCGUACUGUCACUUGAGAAGGUUGGAUGCGUUUUAGUUAAACCAAUCCAAAUUUUCUUCUGAAAAGCUCUCUUUAUCUGCAGUUGGAUGGCACACGUAAACGAGUUCAAACAAAUUCUGAGAUGAUCAAAUGGCACCAUACUUGCUACAGGAAAUCAAAGCUUCAUAGCUGGCAGCAAUAGCCGUCGUACAACAAUUUCAGUGAGAUUUUUCAACAGGCUGAUGUGUUAUCCAUUAUGGAAAUUAAGCAGCUUCAGAGUUCUUGCGGAGGAGGUCAGCAACAAUAGCAUCCCUGACUGAUGGAUGCCAGAACAGAUUAAUUAUUUGAAACAAAAAUGCUGUUGGAAAAAAAGGGGUCACACGCGAAAAGAUCGCUCAAUGAGGUGCAACAUGAAUAAAAUGACCAGACGAUAAAUCUAGGGAUUAGUAUUUUGAACUCCCCAGCCUGAUCAGGGGUGUUCUGCAAAUGGAAAUCCACGCGGCUUCCAUUACCUCUCUGAAAUACGAGUGUGUUUGGAUAGGAGAUUACUAUUUGAAAUAAUUAAUUAUUGUAGUAUUUUUUGUGAUAUAACAGAUCAUAUCGGAGAUUGUUAUUUGAAAUAAUUACUGUAACAUCUUUUAUGAUAUACUCCCUCCGUCUCACUUUGAUAGUCUUGUUUUCCUUUUUCGUCUGUCCCAAAUUGUAGUCCACUUUCCCAUUAAGAAAUGUAGUAAUUUUUUAAAUUGUCUAAAAUACCCUUAUUAAAUAUCUUGUUAUUAAUACAUUGUUAUUAAAUACUAACCCACUACAUUGAAUACAUUGAACUUUUUCAAUACUAACCCAUUAGUUGUAACUGAAAUUAAUUGGCACUCUCUGUGAUUAGCAUAAGGGUAUUUUAGGAAAUUAUUAAUCUAAAUUUAUGUUUCCAACCAAAUUAAUUACACUUUUUUAAUCUGUGUGGGAAAAAAAAAUCAAGACUAACAAAAUGGGACGGAGGGAGUAAUAUUGUAUCACAUAAGAGAAAAAAAUUAUUGAAAAGAUAAAGAAUUGAUUAUUAAUAUUUGGAAGAAAAAAAAAAGUCACACACUCUAGGUCUAGGCUAUGCAAGCAUGAAAAAACUCUGCCACCUUAACACCCAAUUUCUUUAUUGCCAAUAAUUCGUCCCGGAACAGGUAGCGAAUAUUAUUACAUGCAUCUACAGAAAUGUCCACUUCUGCCCAGCCAAGUUAAUGGGAGUUAGUAUGUAAUUUGGCACAAAAUCCAACCCUUUCGCGUACCUCUAUUGAAACAGUUAAUGGUUUCGUGUUCUUUUAUCGAUUGGUUAUUCCUCUCCAUUUUUAUAUCUUUUUUCAAUUUUGGUCUCGAUUAGUUCACAAGAUUGAAUGGCAAAUUCUAAGACCAGCCAAGAUGUUGAUUGAAGUUGAUGCUGGGAUGCCCGCAUUACUUCAAGGAGCUUAGUUUUAGACAACCACACGGCCCAAAAGAAACUAUGACAAGAAGUUAUGAAUCUGCUGUAAAAAAAAAAAGGGGGUUUGAUGUGGGUGCUUGCUCCUUGUCCUAUUUGUCGGAGUUGCCUCGUUUCAUACUCUUAUUGAUCUUUGCCCGGACAAAAUUGCAGGGUCACUACGCGACGCGACCGGGGAUGCGGAAGGAUGUGGAUCUCCUGCAGUUGGUAGGAGAAAAUGAGCUACACAAAUAGUUAGUGGUGAGGAAUGGCAACUGUGGCGAAACAGAAGAUGGGAUCCCCAUACAGAAGAUGGGAUUGGGCUUUUCAUCUCAUCUCGUUGACUCAUUUUCGCCCUUCUUUUCUCGCAAUAGUUGGCAUUAAUAUUUUUUGGCCAUGGCUUUUCCAGGGUGGUUGUUUGUUUGUUUCUUAGGUAGUUUGGACGAGAACGAAAAGAACGGGUUGUUGGAGAUGAUGAUGCUGUUGGAAAUUAGGAGUUCUUGGAACGAUUUUUUACUCUCUCUUUUUUUUUCCAUGUUUUCUUUUUGCUUUCCUAUUUUCCGUUAUUACUCUCACUUUUUCCUAGCAUUGUUGCUCCAUGGCUUUCAACAUUUAAUUCCCUUCUCUUUACUUACUAUUUUUAUUUUUUUUAAAAUCUUUCUUGCUUUAUCUUUUAUCUAUGUUUCGUCAUUCGGCUUUGUCCUGAAACAAAAUUCAUUUUGCAGGGCAUACAUUCUCCUGGAGCGAUUAAUUGUCAGUAGAGGAAAAUGAAUUACAGAAGAGAUAAAGCAUCAAUAGAGAUGCGAAACAAAACAUAAACAAACGAGGAACAAGUUUACAACAAGAAAUUAAUUCGGACUUGCGAAGAACAUAAAACAUUUCCCAUUGUGCUUGUCCCGAUAAAUAAUUUAGCUGUUUCAGCCCCCCCAAGACUAGAGUUCUCCACCAAUCCCACCUCCAGCUCCACCUCCUCCGCCAAAUCCUCCUCCUAUCCCACUACCACUACCAACGCCUACGCUCGAACCUCCUCUAAAGCUGCCACCUCCUCCUACUCCUCCAAACUCUCCGCCAGCACCUCCUCCAAAUCUUCCACUGCCACCAAAUCCUCCACCUCCUACACCACCUCCACUUCCACCACCUACACCAAUUCCUUUGCCAAUGCCAUCUCCAAAUCCUACUCCUGCACCACCUCCUAUAACCCCUGCUGAACCGCCACUACCGGCUCCAACCCCACCACUUGCACCUCCACCUCCGCCUCCUAUACCCCCUGCUGAACCACCACUACCGGCUCCAGCCCCACCUCCUAUUACUCCACCGGUACCACCACCUGCACCUCCACCUCCUAUACCCCCCGCUGAACCACCACUACCGGCACCAGCCCCACCUCCUAUUCCUCCACUGGUACCACCUCCUGCACCUCCACCCCCUAUACCCCCACUCGAACCACCUCCAAUGGCCCCGCCAAGCCCUCCACCCUUACCAGUUCCACCUCCUAUUCCUCCACCCGAACCACCCCCAGUGCUACCACCUUUACCAAUCCCACCUCCAAUACCUCCACCUUUGCCAACGCCACCUCCUAUGCCCCCUGCUGAACCACCACUACCAGUUCCAGCCCCACCUCCUAUUCUUCCAUUGGUACCACCUCCAGCGCCUCCAUCCCCUAUACCCCCACUUGAACCACCACCGAUGCCUCCACUAGAACCACCUCCAAUGGCCCCGCCAAGCCCUCCACCCUUACCAGUUCCACCUCCUAUUCCUCCACCCGAACCACCCCCAGUGCUACCACCUUUACCAAUCCCACCUCCAAUACCUCCACCUUUGCCAACGCCACCUCCUAUGCCCCCUGCUGAACCACCACUACCAGUUCCAGCCCCACCUCCUAUUCUUCCAUUGGUACCACCUCCAGUACCACCUCCACCCCCUAUACCCCCACUUGAACCACCACCGAUGCCUCCACUAGAACCACCUCCAAUGGCCCCGCCAAGCCCUCCACCCUUACCAGUUCCACCUCCUAUUCCUCCACCCGAACCACCCCCAGUGCUACCACCUUUACCAAUCCCACCUCCAAUACCUCCACCUUUGCCAACGCCACCUCCUAUACCCCCUGCUGAACCACCACUACCAGUUCCAGCGCCACCUUCUAUUCUUCCAUUGGUACCACCUCCACCCCCUAUACCCCCACUUGAACCACCACCGAUGCCUCCACUAGAACCACCUCCAAUGGCCCCGCCAAGCCCUCCACCCUUACCAGUUCCACCUCCUAUUCCUCCACCCGAACCACCCCCAGUGCUACCACCUUUACCAAUCCCACCUCCAAUACCUCCACUUUUGCCAACGCCACCUCCUAUACCCCCACUUUUGCCAACUCCACCACCUUUACCAAUCCCAUCUCCAAUACCUGCACCCUUGCCAAUGCUACCUCCAAUGCCUCCACCCUUGCCAACGCCACCUCCUAUUCCGCCACCCGAACCACCUCCAAUGCCUCCACUCUUACCAAUCCCACCUCCUACUCCGCCACCCGAACCACCUCCAGUACCACUACCUUUACCAAUCCCACCUCCUAUUCCGCCACCCUUGCCAACGCCACUCCCUAUUCCGCCACCCGAACCAGCUCCAAUGCCUCCACCCUUGCCAACGCCACCUCCUAUUUUGCCACCCGAACCACCUCCAAUGCCCCCACCAGAACCACCUCCAAUGCCUCCACCCUUGCCAAUGCCACCUCCUAUUUCGCCACUCGAACCACCUCCAAUGCCUCCAGUCUUACCAAUCCCACCUCCUACUCCGCUACCCGAACCACCUCCAGUGCCACCACCUUUACCAAUCCCACCUCCUAUUCCACUACCCUUGCCAACGCCACCUCCAAUUCCGCCACCCGAACCACCUCCAAUGCCCACACCAGAACCACCUCCAAUGCCCCCACCCUUGCCAAUGCCACCAUCUAUUUCGCCACUCGAACUACCUCCAAUGCCUCCACUCUUACCAAUCCCACCUCCUACUCCGCCACCCGAACCACCUCCAAUACCACCACCUUUACCAAUCCCACCUCCUAUUCCACCACCCUUGCCAACACCACCUCCAAUUCCGUCACCCGAACCACCUCCAAUGCCUCCACCCUUGCUAACGCCACCUCCUAUUUCACCACCCGAACUACCUCCAAUGCCCCCACCAGAACCACCUCCAAUGCCUCCACCCUUGCCAAUGCCACCUCCUACUCCGCCACCUUUACCAAUCCCACCUCCAAUACCUUCACCUUUACCCUCGCCAACGCCACCUCCUAUUCCGCCACCCGAACCACCGAAAUUGAAGGAGUGGCCGAGGCUGUAGCCCUUCGAAAUACCACCACUGCCUAGACCCUCAUUCCCACUCCAACUAGCAGCAGCAGAGCUACCACCACCAACAAACCAUUCUGGUAAAUUCUUCUUCACACUCGCUCCCACUUCCACAUCACCGUCAUUAAUAUUCUUUGACUCCCAACUACUCUCUGCACAUAUUGCGGCCGCCAACGUUAAGAACAAAACGAGAACCAGGACAAUUAGCCUCUUCCCAACCAUGUCAGAAUCCUUGCCACUAGUUAUACAAGAAUCAGUACAAUCUAGCUAGCCAGACACGAUUAGCUGUUUAUAGAUGAACAAAAUGGGGUGAUGCUCUGGCGUUAGUUAAGGAGAACACGACGUUACUCUCCACUUCUCAACUAAAUGUUCUCUUUUCCAUCCAACUUGUUAUUCCCUACUUAUUCGCUUUUAUGGCAAUUGUACGUAAGAAGCCAAACAAGGGAAACCAUAAACUAUUCUAGAAAAAAGGUUCUGGGUUGACGGGGCAACGAUCCUUGAACAAAUUCAUUGCCUGCUGUGAUCAAUAUUGUGCUCUUUACAACAAGCAUCCGGCUCGCUCAAGUCAUGACCAAGUGCCCCCUCCGUGCAUAUACUACUCUACUGUACCAGUACGUACGUGACUGCUCUAAAUAGCGCCGUAGCCAGGCAUGGUCUCCAUGGCCACCGCGCCGUGUUGGAUCAUGCAUGUCCAUGCUAUGCUGUUAAUAUUUGCUCCAUCUCUUACAUCACACGCAACCAUGCAAGUAUGCAUGCAACUGGCUAGCUAGCUAGGGAGCAUAUGAUGCAAGUCCAAUUUCCAAUCCUUCAUUACUAACUAAAUCUCCAAUUUUGCUUGUCAAGAUACGGGGUUGAAAAGUUUCCAUUUUCUAUCGUUACUAUUCACCAAAAAAAAUUAUAAGUGCAAAUUUCUUUUCACCUUUUUACGCAAAAAAAUUAAUCUGAUAAAUACGUUAUACCAUAUUCUGGAGUCAAUUGAUUAUUAGAUCAAUUUUAACUUGAACUAUAGUUUCAUUUUCAUGUAGUCUUGAUCUCUUUUUCCUUCUCUAAGCCAAUCAAAAGUCCUUCUCAGAAUUUGUGAACUUAUCAAACAUUAAUAUAAGUAUUCUGUCUAACUUUUGAAUUUGUUUAAUUUGUCUUUAUCAAGUAUUUAUAAUCCAAAUAGAAUUGUUGCUCAUAUUUCAUUACAAGCGUAGCGUGUGUCGCCUUUUUCCUGAGGUUAAAUGGACCGGGGGGGGUUUGGGGUUGCGUCUAUGGUGGAAAGCUGAGUCAGCUUUGUACCGUAGGCAGAACAAAUGGAAUCAGGACAGCACAUGAGCAUGGGCCAGGCAAAGGACAGCGACCGUGAAAUAGCUACCGAAACCGGGCAGAAGGAGUUGUAAAGAUGGGACCCACUUUAGUAUAUGAACUGUAUUAUUGUAAAUAAACAUGCACCCGCACAAGUUGUGGGCAUGUUUUAUGAAUCCCAAAACAAACUACGGUUACCUGAUGAUGAUUAACAUCAGGUAAGCAUUUAUAGUUUAAGAUUGGAGUACACAUGGCUUAAUUAGAUGAUUUAUUAGAAACAUAAUUAGCACAGUACUUCAAGAAAUUAGAAUCGUGACAUAAUUGACCCAGUAGAUUUUAAUUUAAAUUUAGAAAUUAGAUAAAUAAUCUUAUAUGUAACAUGGUGACUUUUAAAUUAAUAUCAAAUUUGUAGAUGGUAAUCAUAAACUUAAUUAACAUAGCACUUCAAGAAACUAGAAUUGAGAUUGUAGAUAAAAUAAUCAUAAAUUUUAGAAGAAAAUACUCUCCUCUUUGAAUAAUAAAAAAUUUAGAGUGGCAAGUAUUAAUCUCUUUUUCUUGGUAAUCUUAUUAAUAUUGAAAAAUAUAUAUAAAAAGAGAGAGAGAGAGAGAGAGAGAGAGAGAGAGAGUGAGAGAGAGAGAGAGAGAGACCUAGAAUUUGUCUUAUGCACUAAUAUAAUAUUAAGUACCAAUCAUUCAUUGACUUUUCUUUCUCUUUACUUACAAUUGAUCAUUAAUUCAUUUUGCAUACUCUCAAAACAUUAAGUUUAAAAAAAUUACUCAUGGUUUGGGGAUUGCAUCACAUAUUUCAUUAAUUUUCACAACAAAAUGAUCUACACAAAUUAUGGCAUGCAUCUAGGUAGUUAGUUAUACACUAUCAAUUUAUUUUAGAUUAAUCUUUUUUUAUACCAUCCAUCCAAUAUUUGGAAUUUCCGAUUUCAAUUUCGUUUUAUAAUAUAUAUAUUAAUAUUUAUUUAUUUAUUUAUAGAUAUAAUAAUAUUUUUUAUUUCAAUUUCAUUUUAUAAUAUGUAUAUUUAUGUAUAUUUAUAUAUAUAAUAAUAUUUUUAUAAUAUUUUUAUAUAUAAUAAUAUUUUUAUAAUAUAUUUAUAUAUAAUAAUAUUUUUUAUAAUAUAUGCAAUAUAAAAUUUAUAUUAUAUAACAACACAUCUAACAAAAAAGAAAAAAAAGGUUUCCGAAUUCGGUGAAUUAAAAAUUUACCAAAUUCCGAAUCGAAUUUGGAAUUGAAAUCGAAAUCGGAAUUGGUGAAUUCGAAAUUGAAAUCGAUCGGUAAUUCCUAUGCCAAAAUUCCAAAAAAUUUCGAAUUCAAACUUCUGAAUUACCGAAUUCGAAUUCGAUGCACACCCCUACCAAGAAACUAGAAUUGAGAUUAUAGAUAAAAAGUUCAUAAACAUAAAUCACAUAAUACAAAAGUUUCAAAGAUUGAACGUUUGAACUAUUGAAAUAACUAGAUAGUUACCAACUUAAGUUCUAACUCUGCAACUAGUUGUACUGGACAUGACAAACUAUAAAUCACAAAAUUGACUAGUAAAAUAGUGUCAAAAUUUGAGAAUUUUUAAAUAUUAACAUUAUCUAAUGAUAAGGAUAACCAAUUAUAGCAAAAAUCAAAAUUUACUCUUAAAAGUAAGUACUGAAUUAAAAGAUUUUGUUGUGAUAAGGAUUAUCUAAUAAGAGCAAAUCCAUUGAAACAAACAAACAAUGACAUCUAUAUAAAUGUCAAUUACAAUCUCGUAUUCAAAUUAAUAUACAUAUCCAAACAAUGCACUUGACGAUAAAAUAAAGAGGUGAGAUCCAACACAUUAUUUAAAACACCAACAUUGUUUAGAGUAGUUACAGUAGUUAUAUUGGCAAAAUGUGAUUAAGUAGUCAGAGUAAAAAUUAGUUUUUCUUUAAGGAUAAAAUAGAAAGUUUGAAAAAUGACAUAAAAAUGUUUACACUAACUGCGAUCUCUCUAACUUUAUAUGUUGAAUAGAUAGUAGCUUUUUAAUUAGAAUCAAAAUUAUAGAUGAUUUAUUAGAAACAUAAUUAACACAAUACUUCAAGUAACUAUAAUCGUGACAUAAUUAACCUAGAAGAUUUUAAUUUAAAUUUAGAAAUUAGAUAAGUAAUCUUAUAUGUAACAUAGUGACUUUUAAAUUAAUAUCGAAUUUGUAGAUGAGUAAUCAUAAACUUAAUUAACAUAGUACUUCAAGAAACUAGAAUUGAGCUUGUAGAUAAAAUAAUCAUAAAUUUUAGAAGAAAAUACUCUUCUCUUUGAAUAAUAAAAAAUUUAGAGUAGCAAGUAUUAAUCUCUUUUCCUUGGUAAUCUUAUUAAUAUUGAAAAUAUAUAUAUAUAUAUAUAUAUAUAUAUAUAUAUAUAUAUAUAAAGAUUAGAAUGGAGAGAGAGAGACACAGAGAGAGAGAGAGAGACCUAGAAUGUGUCUUUUGCGCUAAUAUAAUAUUAAGUAUCAAUCAUUCAUUGACUUUUCUUUUUCUUUACUUACAAUUGAUCAUUAAUUCAUUUUGCAUACUCUCAAAACAUUAAACUCGUGGUUUGGGAUUGCAUCGUAUAUUUCAUGAAUUUUCACAAAAAAAAUGAUCUACACAAAUUAUGGCAUGCAUCUAGGUAUUUAGUGUAUACACUAUCAAUUUAAUUUAGAUUAAUAUUUUUUUAUACCAUCCAUCCAAUAUUUGGGAGCAUCACUAAGUGUUGUUAAUACACAUUUUUCAUCUAUUAAAUUCCUUUUGUGUCUUACUAUUAAGAGUAUUUAAUAUUUCCUCACAUAUAUAAAAGUUACGGUUUCUUGAGUAGUUUUGUUAAUUAAUUAUUUACCAAUUACUCACCCUCCUUUCUGUGCCUUUCUUUUGUUUUUAAGCACUUCAUUUGUAAAUUUUCAGUUAAUGUUAGUAAUUACCAAAUAAGUAAAUACCGUACAAAAAUCACCAUAUCAUAAAAAUUCUUUUACAAAUUAAAUUUCAAAUUGAAAAACCAAUUUUCAUGAAAAAAUACAUUUUUAAAUGACCAUAAAAUUAAUUAUUUCUACAUACAUAGGGAAACUUAAUGCAACAGUGGUAGAAUUUAAGUGAUUCUUUGACUUUGUUCUUUUAUUUAUUUAUUUAUUUAUUGCUUAAGUUUAUCAAUUAUUGAUCCAUUUUUCACUCUCUUAUAAUAUUAAGUUAAAAAAAAUUAGCAUCUACACCAACCAAUUUAUAUCAAUGUUGCUGUCCACUGCUUCAGGUAAUAUAAACUUUGCCGGUUACCUUUGGGACCCAAACAAAUAGACAAAGAUGCCUAUGCUGAGUUGUCAUCUUAGCAAUAGUUCUGCCUACGGUGCAUAGUUGAUCCGACUUUCCACCGUAGAAGCAACCGGGGGUUUGGUGUCUAAAAGGGAAACUUGUAUGUAUGCCCUGUUCUUUUGUCUGCAAAUCUUUCAGGCAAUCCGAUCGUGACCUGUUGUGCCAGAAGACUCUGAUCAUCGAUGUCAGGUUAAAUAGUAACAACAAUGGAAGCAACUUUACAAUUUUUGGUACCAAAAUAUUUUAUUCACGGCCAAGGCAUUAGUCUUCUCCUUUUUGGGUGCAUUCCAAAAAGAACAAACGUGUCUUGAAUACUUUUCAACCAAAGUACUACUGUAAUAGUAGUAUUUUUGUGCCACGUCCAAGACGUUUUUAGAAAUGUUUGCAAAUACAGGCAUCGGCACAAGCUGAUAAAUAAGUUUCCCAUUCGAAACCAAUACUAUUUAAUGAAAGUGUAAAAUAACAAAUUGUAUAUAUAGAUAAGAAUAGAUGUAUGCCUGCUUAGGAUAUAUUAUACAUAGCUCUUGCAAAAUUGUAUUCCCUGAAGGAAAAUAAUUAAGUGGACUUUCAUGAUAUCCGAAAAUAAUAAAAGCAUCAGUUUGCCUUUAUUCCAUCGUAGCAAUUUUGUGAUUUUGGUUCAAAUACUUAAAGUCAAGUCCCCUAUUUUAUCUUUCUCAAUUGUAAAGUUCAAAAAUAUCUUUUAAAAUUUUUUUUUUAAAAAAAAAGAAAGAUAUUCUUGUAAAAAGCAUACCCAGUGGCAAGUCACCCAUUGAAAAAUAGCAAAUCCUAUACGCCAGUCAAAAGCUUACGUCAUCUUCUGUCUAUUAUCCUUCCUGAUUUAUGCCUUUCCCCGCCUCUCACUGAUCCUCAAAACCCUAAUCAAAACCUCAAAAAAUUGAUGAUAUUCGAGGUUUACAUAAAAUUAGUAGUUUUUUCCUCUUUUCUUAUCUAAUCUAAAUCUAAUCGUUUGAGCAAUGGAUGAUUCCGAUGAAGAAGGUCCGUAUUUAACAAAGCCCACAUUUCGAUCAAAGCCAGCAAUUCGAAACCCUCACUCUUAUCCGCUCAACACCCAUUACACCACAAACGACGCCAUCUUUGCCCAGGAAGAUGACGAAUUUGAGGAUGACGAAGAAAGCCCACAAUUUCAAAAUGCUCAAAGCGGGUAUUAUUAUCAAUCUUUCUAUGAGGAUGAGCCCAAGCGAAGCAAAAAGAAAAGAAAGUUGGAAUCUUUGGUCCCAAAUUACGAGCUUGCCCCUCGCGCUGGGCUGAAUGCACCAAAAAGUUCCAAUCUUGGUGGUGGGAGCUCGAGGGAUUCCUGGAAUGAAGAGGAGAGCUUUGUGCUGUUGGAGGUUUGGGGGGAGAGGUAUUUGGAGCUGGGGAGGAGGAGUUUGAGGGCUGAGGAUUGGGCUGAGCUGGCCGAGAAAGUCUCCGAGAUGAGUGGAAGGGAGAGGAAUGAGAUGGAGUGCAGGAAUCAAUUGGAUGUAUUAAAGCAGAAAUACAAGAAAGAGCGGGCGAAAAUGGAGAAAGUUGGAGGUGGAUUCUUGAGCAAGUGGGUGUUUUUUAAGAAAAUGGAUGUGUUAUUGAAUCUGAGGAUGAGAGGGCAUGUUGGCUUGGGUUGUGGGGUUGAUUCUGGGGAGUACGUGUUUAUGAAUCCGCGGGUGUAUUUGGAUAAGUCUAAUGUGUUGGAUGAGAUGAGGGAUAGUCCUGGAGUGUCUGAUGAGGAGAAUGAGGAGGAAGAGGAGGGUUUGGGACUAGGGAAGGACGAGGAGGAUGGAGAAUCGGCUAGACUGUUGGCUGACUCGAUUCAGAGGUUUGGAGAGAUUUAUGAGAAGAUUGAGAGUAGUAAGAGGAGACAAAUGAUGGAGCUGGAGAAGAUGAGGAGAGAUUUUCAGAGGGACUUGGAGUUGCAAAAGCAGCAGAUAGUUGAGAGGGCACAGGCUGAGAUUGCUAAAAUAAGAGAAGGGGUUGAAGAGGAGGAUGAUGACGAGGAAGAAGAUGAUGACGAGGAGGAGGAAGAUGAUGACGAUGUUCAGAAUGAGAAUAUCCAGGUGUGAUACAGGUAAUGCUCAGCAAAUCACUCAAGUGUGCCUGAUUAAAUACUAUUGUCUACAAGGCUUCUACAUGUGUUAGUAUAAGAGUGUGGAUGAGUGUUGCUUUGACACUACCUAUUCAGUUCCUGUUUGCCUGCUGCUAGUUUUUGAUUAUUUGGAAACUUUAGUACCUUUUCUGUCGAUAGUUGUAUGCAUGUAAGAGUUGUGCUUGGCAUUAAACUAUAAUCUUCAUUAAUUGAAGCUGAUUGCUUUUCUAUUUGUUCCAAGUUGGAAAAAUCCUAUACGGCCUACGAAAAGACUUGAACUUUGUCUUCUCAAAAUCAAUACUCCUUUGACAAGUGGUCUGUUGCAUAUGAUUUCCAAGCCUGUUUCGUUGUGUACCAUAGAAUUUUGUCUGAUCAAAUUAUUGAUCAGAAUCAAUUCCUCUGCUGUAGUAAAGAUUGAAGUUCAGAGAAUUUUUUUUGUGGUUCUUUUCUUCCUUUUUUUUUUGACAAUUCUCUAGUAAAACCUUUUCUUUUUCAUAUAAUUAACUCUUCCGAAAGGGAAGAAUAUCUUACGAAGAUAAAGAGAUGAAGUUGUUAGGUUGAUUACAAAUUGUAGAAAAUUCAAAUUCUACUUUCUAUAGUUCUUUGCUGCUAUUAUGAGGGCAAUGAGUUGGACAUCAAUAUCAGAAGAGGAGAAGUUGAAAUGUCAAUUCCUCCUGGCAUUGUCUCUAUGAUGUACUCGUCAUGAAAUUUAGGGAUAUUGAUGACCAGUCUUAGCUUUAUAGAAAGACUUGCUUGAGGUUUCAGCAUAGCAAGUUAUAUUUGUGCAGGGUUGUAAGCUUGUCAAAUAUUGAAAUAGCCUCGUAAAAGAGCAAUGUGGAAAUAUUUAUGAACUGUGAAGUGAUCAGGGUCAUCGGAUGUCUUGCACCUUUAAUCUUUUUUGUUUUUAUAGGCAUAAGAUUGUCUUUAGUUUAAAUUAACAAUACGAGAAGGUUCCUUAUUGUCUUUGAAAUUUUUGGAUUAGUUUUGGUGCAAUGAUGCUCAAAACCUUGUAGUAAAUUGGUAGCUUUUCUGUAUCUUUAUCACAAAAAGUCUGUUUAAAAAGUACACUUGGUUAUGCAGUUUAUGUGCAGCGCUCCGAGGCAAUCUGCUCGUUGUGGUCAAACACAUAAUUGCAGCAUCACCAAUUAAGUGUUGCUUUUGUCCUACUAAGACUUCGCCUGAUAUUUAAAUUUUCAAAGAACAGUUUCAUGUUGAAAGGACACGCAUAUGACUGUACUUAUUCUAUUUGCAGGAGGGAGAGCGUUUAUGAGAAAUGAAGGUCACCCUUCUACUGGACUUCAGCAUCGAUGGCCAACUGCCAGAGUGGUUGUUUUGGGAAAGUUUUGGCUCUUUUUGAGUACCUCGCCAUAUACCUUUUGUUUCUUUUUUGGUGCAAGGGUAAUUUGGAAUUACUCCAUCUUGCAAGUAUGACAAUGAAUUUCUGUAUCUACUGUUAGGCUUUAGUAUGAAAUCUGGUAUUUUUGGUUAGGUACAGUAGCUUUCUAUUCUCUAUCUUUCUAAUUACCACAACAUGUUAGCUCAAUUUUGUUUUCCACCAGCAUCUACUUCUUGUUUGAUAUGAAACAAUAAAAUGGGAAUCCAUGUGAAAACACAUUCUUGAUCACCUUAUUAUAUGUCAUACAUUAAACUAUCAAAAUACUGUAACAUUAUUCGAAAAACAUUUUUCCAGGUGAUGGGCAGCCCAAAUGGAUUUGCACCACUGGCAAUAUUCUGUUCCUACUUGACUUUUAUCAGCACAUUCUCGUCGGAAUUAAAGCCUCACUCACAUGACAUCUUAUGAAGGGAACUCAUUUGUUGCUCAUCAGUGCCAUUAAGAUGUGCAUCAUUAGCCGUUUCCUUUUCUUUGUAUUACCCUAUUUAUCUACGUUGUAAUUUAGCGUCUGACAAAUUCAAGUUUAUCACACAGAAACUGGUCAUGCUACAAACAAAUGCAAAAAGUUUAACUCGAUUCUGAUCUGUUAUCAUUCUCUUUCAAAUGGGUUGGUUGCGCAGCUUUGGGUAAUCGGUCCAACGGCAUAAACACAACUCGUUGGGCAUGAUAAUUUCUUUGGUUUGAUAACUCUCUACUCUCUCUUAAAUAAAUUAACACUGCAUUGAAAAUCUAACGAACAAAAUAGAUCCACUCCUAGACAGUAGAUACAUUUGGCUGGAUCAAUCAACCAGCGUAAAAAAUGGAACAUGGUAAAAUGAAUUCCCAACUACGGUGCACCAGGAAAUAGUUCGUCCUUGAGUGACGGAGCAAUCCACUGUAUCUGAACAUAGGUUAUCUCCCACAGGUCAUCACCUUCUUUGGGAAUUAACAACUCGUUUUCCUUCAUUAUUGAGAUAAUCCUUUUUAGUAAAUCCGGUAUUACCUCUUGCAUAUCUGAUUUGCCAUACCCUCCCAAAUCUACCUUCAUGCACGUAUCCAUUCUUCGCAACAGUCCCAUCCAGAAAGGCCUAAAAUGAGGACUUUCUGAUAUCGGUUUCAAAAGCUGCGAAUAAACUUCCACUAAGACCUCCAUUGCACGCUUCAAACUUCCUUCCAUGCUUCGAGUUUCUCUUUCUGCAUUCUCCCUCCUUGAAUAUUCCAGCAUCUUCUCGUGUAUAUCAUCAACCAUGGCAAAGAUCAAGCUGUUAAAACAGUAAAUACAGUUUGCCGGUGUAAAACACAGCUCCUCAGCCAGGAUGAAGCUUCUCUGAAGAGAAAUGACCGCAUGGUUUCUCACUUCUUCUCUCCUGGCUAAGCAUGUCCGUCGAAGGGCUUCACCUAGUUUGACAAAUAAGUUCAUGAUGAAGCUGGCAGAGCUGCCUGAUCUUGCAUUGUCUUCCGUGGAAGAGGCGCUUGCGUUGCUUCCCGUACUAACAUUGCUACCCGGAUCUGAGUACCCACUUCUAAACCACUGAACCAACAAUUUCACUGAAUCAGACAUGAGGUCCAUAAUUUUUAUGUUCUUUUCAACUGGACUAUUCUUGAGUGCAACAAAACCAAAUGCACAUUCAAUACAGGAGGCAUAGUUAGUCCGCGAUAUGUGCAUUCCAUCAGACAUCAAAUUGAUGAGUGACUCAACUCCUUGAUCAUAUGUUUCAGGAUGACGUCCAGUGACUGACAACAAAUGCAGGACAGUCUUCCAUCCUAGGCUACUCUGCAAAUUUGCAGGGUACUCGUUCAGGAUUCUGCUCACCGACUUUACUAGGAACUCUGAGCAAGUGUCAAGAAUUUCUUUUUCCAACUUCCACAUUAGAUUUAUGGAUUUAAAGAUGAGUUCCUCAGAGACUUUAUCAAGUUGAUAUGCAGAAAGGAUCUUGAGGCAGAUUUUCAUCUGAGCUACAAUGGCUUUUUCUGCAAAUGGGAUUGGUGAAAACAGAGGAAAUUGGGCAACUCCAAGCAGAUAAUCAUGGUAGUGAGGCCAAAUGGUUGAGAAUCUGUGCAUAUUAACACAAGAAAUGAUGACAAUCAAAUCCCAACAGAAUGCCACAGUUUCUUCCUCCUCAACGGGAGUGCUGAACUUUUGGCCUUUCCCAGCUGAUGCAUAUAUAAGAGCACGCCCAAGAUUCAGUAAUGAUUCAUCGGGUAAACUUGAACUGGUGGUGAAAAUGUUUUCAAUAUGGCAUUGCUGGAUAAUGUUUUGAUUCUGUUCAAAUUCACUGACUCCAAGGUUUAGAGAUUCUUCCACGCUCUCCAAUGAUAAGAAGUGUGAAAAUCGACCAAUUAAGCCAGAGGAACGGCGUAUAUGGUUGAAUUUUGUAUUACGGGUUGAAAUAGAUGCUGCUGACUCAUUUUUAUCAUGCUUCGUUCCAAUAGAUGCAUCUGAAGCAAUUUCAAAUUCGACAACCGAUUGUGGAAGUAACUUGAGCCUUCUGAGUUUCAACAAGCACUCAACAAUAGUUCUCCAACUCCCUCGAAGGGAAUUUUUGAAAGUGUUUGCAAUAGUGAAAACUGCGAGUGUCGCCAUCCUUGGCUUCAUAUCAUUGCUGAAAGCAUACAGGGUUUCUUCUGCUGAUGCAUAAGGAUUGAGCAAGGUAGUGAAUUUGCAAAACGAACAAAUAAGCUCAUCAAGAUUGUCUUCUAAUUCAUAUUGAGCUAUUCUAGCUAUUGCAAACAAUAACUCAAUGCAUUCAUGGAGAAUUUCCUCUUCUUCAGUUUGCUCAAAAAUUGCUGCAAGAGUUGCAACUGAGGGUCCAGCAAUAGCAGCAAACAUAUCUCUUCCUAAUCGACGAUCAAAAUUACACAAUACAUAUGGCUUCAUGAGUUUGGCUCGGUUGACUAGCUGAAUCCAUCUACUCGGAUUCAUUUCUGCAGGUGUACCUGAUUGACCAAAGAGUGUGAUCGCUUUGGAUGAUAUAGAAUGAAAAAGCUCAGAUAAAUAUUCUCUAGGGAGAUCACUUCCGCCAUUGAUUUCUCGAUUGUUCCUGAUGAAUUCCUCUUCUGUCAUCUUUUUCUUAACUUGCGGGUUGUGUUGAUCAGUGUUCAGCAUGAUGAGAGAAUAGCAAAGAACAAACACGGCAUCCUUGCUCACAAAAAGUUCCGAGGACUGCUGAUCAUAAAAUCUUUCUGAAAAUGCUUCAAGUAUUCUGUGAAUCUUCUGAGACUCUCCCGGUAAUCUGAAAGUCUCCAAAUAAUUCCGUAAAGCUGAAUCCAAUAUCAUACCUGUAAAUACAAAUGUAUUUGUAAAUUCAUUGAGGACUUGAAUAUGGAAUUCAUCAGGAUCACCAAGAUAAUCCCCAAUCAUGGUCUUGUCAAGUCUUGGGGUGAAACGGAAAAACAAAGCGAAAGCUUUUGGAUCAGGAGGAUCAGGGAUUAAGUGAGAAAUUUUCAGAUACUCCAACCCUUUCUUGUCAUCUUGAUUGAAGUGAUUUCCAGCAAUGAGUAGCUUCUUCUUUUGUGCCUUUCUUACUCUAACAAAAGUCACCCAAUCCUCUAGACCAUCAUCUUUUGAAAUCUCCUCCCAGAAAGGUGUAUACUCAGUGAUUUCAACUGGAUAUGGUCCAGAAGGGCAUGUAUCAUCUUCCUUAUCGAUGUUCUCUGCAAUAUUAUGAAUGACAAGUACAAGGCCUUCAAAUGCUUGGACCUGUAAACUUGUCAAAGGGCCACCAGUUGGGAAUGCAUGCUUGCAAAGCAACCUGCCUAUUUCUUCAAACGCAUUCCCAAAAAUAGGAUCACAAUCAUAAUUCACAUAGACUUCGAUUAUGAAGGUAGAUUGCCGACAGAAAUUCACGAUUGCUUCAGUUGCAAGUUCUUGGAGUUGGGGAGAGCUUCCAAGAUUUGCAGCUCUGAACAAAACAAAUGAGAAGAAAGCUUCUAAUUGUAGACGAACGGACCUGCAAUUGGCCGAGGCAUUUCGGUUAAUUAUUGAUUGACCUUUAUAGAAGCCCAAGAAUUAAGUUUGUGCUUGAUUUGGAUAUGCUAACCUGCGAAGGAAGUGAUAGAUAUUCAGAACAGUACUGCAGAUCAUUGACAAAACUAGUGGGCUUGAGUACGUCCCGUAGUAUAUUAAAUGGUGAAAUAAGUCAUCUUGGACCAUCCUCAAAAGCUUUGGGUGCUUACCUAUGCUGUCACCACUCAAUUCUAUCGCAGAAUUGAUCAAAGCCAAGGCAAAAAGCUGAACGUCUCCAUCAGUUGUAUGAGCAUGCAAAACCUCUGACUCUGCAAUUUCAACCACAUUAAGUAAAGAGCAUAAGAAUUGAAAGAUAUCCACAGCCGAGCGAAUUCCAAACCCCGAAUCCAAAUUGCUAUCUUCUGUAUCUGAUUCAGAGUUCUCCCAAUCAUUCACCUCAAUAUCUGGCAACCGAUAAUAUAUUAUUUGGAUCAGUUCCUGCAUUGUGUACCUUGCACUGCGCUGAAGCAAGUUGCCACGAUGGGCCGACUGUUGGACAACCUGAAAGCAUGUAUUGACCACAGUACAAACUGCAUGAUCAGUGAGCAAAACAGAAGCUUUAUGCCUCAUAACAGCAGUCAAGACGUGCAAAAUUCUCAUCAUGACAGCCUCCUCAGAAACAGGAUCAGUUUUCUCCAGGCGACAAGCCGUGAUUGCAGUCACAGUUGCAUCCAUAACAUCUUUAGCCCCAGGAGUCUUCUCAUCAAAUAUAUCAAGCCUGAGGAUCUUCAGGAUGGAUGAAAGGGCCACCCCCGUUGCUGCUGCAGGAAUGUCAUCGCUUUGUAUUACAUCAAGAAAAGGUGACAGGUAGAGAGACGGAUCAAUCUUCCGCCAUUCUUGCUCAGCAUUGAAGAUGAGUGACCUUAAUGAUUUUAAAGAUUGGAGUAUCGUGGAAUCAUAAUUUUCUUCAGAAGGGUGGUGAAAUUGGGGGUUUGCUUCAGGUAUUCGUCGAAUCACAGCUAGAACAGCUCCAACCUCAGCAUUCAACAUGCAAGACAAUCCCAGCUCCUUUCUUUUUAUCUUAGUCAUGUUGUUGUUGUUUCCUCCUUCUUGCUGAUCUUCCAUUAAUCCUGUUUUGCAGAUUUAGUGCUGAUAAAAAACAUCUCUUGAAGUUCGAAAAACGGUUUGGAAAUAAUGGUGGUGACGGGGGAUGUGUCCUGUUAAGUCAGCGGAUGAAGUUACUUCUUUAACCAUGUAGAUCAAUUGUGUAAAGGACUAAGGAUGCAUUGUGAAAUGUUAGAAAGAUAGGCGGAAUGUUUGCUAAAGAAAUGGCUGUGAUAAUUCACUGAAGUUAUUAUUUGGUUUGUAUGGUUAAAACUGCGUGCUUUGAAUAUGUCUGCCACCGACCUCUCCUAGUCUUUUUCCUUCUUCUGUUACACUUGGCAAUAAAUUAUGUAUGUUAAUGCAUAUGAUCAAUUAAGCGUGAAUUAUUACCGAUUUUUUUGUAUGUAAAUUGGAGAUUGUUUCGAACAGUCAAUUAGUUCAGAUUUGAUAUAGUUUACUAAUUCGUGUACCGUUUAGGUUCAUUGUACCUUCCUUAUUAAUUGUAAAUCUAACCUAUGAAUGGAGAUGCUGUUCGAGUGCAAAGAUAAUAAUGAAACGUAGACAAUUUCUCGCAAUUUCUGAUGUUUUGUAACCAAAUAUUUUUCAUGUCAGUGACCUUCAUUCAUAUAAAAGUGGUGUGACUUACUAAAGAUAAAUGUGAAUAUAUUUAAAGAAGUUUUUUUCCGCGUUCUAAAGGACUAAGGAGGAGAGGACGUGAUUGCUUUGAUCUGUUUUUCAACUGAAAAAUAGAUCAUCACGAUUGGCCCACAAUAAUUUGUCGUCCGCAUUUUCGAUUUCUUCAUUUUGGCAUUACUUUUGGUCGCCUUUGAGAUAUUAGACAAAUGAAGAAGGAAACUUUGUGACAAUGACCAGCAUGCCAUGCAGCAGAAACAAAUUCAAGAAACUUUGUGCUACCGGCAUUCGAGUUUGCCUCUGUCCUCUUUGUACAUCCAUCCGGCAUCCUUCCUCACGGCUACACAUUGGAAACAAAUAUUCAACGAGUCACUCAGCAUGUACGAAUUAGUUUUAAAAAUGAUGGAAACAUUCCUGUGCAAGUCAAAAUAAACAGAGAGUUUCUUCUACUGUUGUGUUAAAUAUUUUUAAUUGCUCCCAUUUUCUUUGAGCUCUUGAGCUCGUGCCACAAGCAAAACAAUGUAUCAAACUUAUCGUCAGAAUCAGUCUCAGGUGCCCUGGAUAUCGCCAGCAGAGUUUUGAGCCACUGUUCAUGCAGGGUAGAGAAGUUAGCCCUUUGUUCGCUUGACUUGAAACUUUCUCCUAUUAACUUCUUCAUGAUUUGAGCAGCCCCUGAAGCACUUUCAACAACCAUCUCAGGGACCCCAGCCAUUUUCGCCACUUGCAUACCAUAGCUCUCAGGACAUGGUCCAGAAGCUAGCCUAUAUAGAAAAAUCAGUUCCUGCUCACCCGGAGAUGACUUCUUGGACUUCAGCUUAAAAGAGCAGGCCAUAUGUUGCAGUGAAACACGAGGAUGAGAAGCAAAUUCCUUCGUGAGAGGAUGAUAAUGUGUAGCAAAUAACAAACGGCAGUUCACUGUUUCAACAAGAUAACGGAAUACCUAGACAAAAUUGGAAAGAUAUUACAAAUAACAAGUCAGCCACAGUAAAAUAAUUUACAGUAACAGAUAACUAGAUCUAAAACCAGCUCCAAUUUAAAUUUUCAACAACAGAAUCAUUUGCAGUCAACUUUUAAAGUUUCAGGCUCUGAGCAACAUCAAAUCCCCAAAUUUUUCAUUUCUUUUUAAUGUCAUAGUCCCAGGUCACUACCAUUUAGAGUCAACUUAAGAUUGUUAACAAAGAAUAUUUUGCAGUUUACUUUGUCUUGAGAAUAUAAAAGCAAGAUUUAUUGCAGCUGGUAAGGUAAAUAGCAAGUGAAAAUGAAUCUCACAGCAUAUGCAAUUGCAUAGCCAUCAAAUGUGCUAGUUCCUCGACCCAAUUCAUCAAGGAGGACAAGGGAAUCUUGUGUGGCAGUUUGUAACACUGCUGCUGUCUCAGUACAUUCAAUAAGAAAGGUACCUACAAAACAAUCAAAGUGCAUCAUGCAUUGUAAGAAGCAAGCUUCCUUGUAGAACUAUAGCUACGUUAAGAAAAUAAAACCAAAAGAUAAAUUAUUUGACCAACAAAAUAAACUUUCAGAUUAAUGAUCAAGAACAACUCAAUCAAGAAUCAAGUAGAGUCCAAUUGCAGAGCAUACUCUCGCCUGUCAUAAUUCUAUCAGUGGCUCCAAGCCGUGUAAAUAUGAUGUCCACAAGUGAAAGGACACAAGUCUCACAAGGCACAAAACAGCCCAGCUGCAAAGUACAAAUUUUAGGCAAAGAAGCAAAAUCAGCAAAAAUUAAACAUCAGGAUAGCAAGGAAAUCAAGCAUAUUUUAGUUGACAAACAGUAGGAAAAAGAAAGUUGAACCUGAGCUAGUAUAACAGUUAAACAAGUUGCACGUAUAAGGGUUGACUUCCCACCCAUAUUAGGUCCAGUCAAAAGCAAAGUACAGGGAUUAUAAAUACUAUUGUUGCCCCCAAGAUGCAUGUUGUUCGGAACAGGCAAUCCUCCAUUCUCACCAAGGGCAUACGGAUGCCAUAAACCUUCAAUUGAAAGUAUUGGUCCUCCUGUCUCUGAAUCUACAGAUCUUGAAUGAGGUAAAAUUUUUGGUCUACACAUAGCCCCAGAAGAAAAACUUGUGGUUACAGCAAAUGAUCUUAGUACAUCUAAGCAACUUAUAGCAUGGAUUACUUGAGACCAUUGCAUAGCCUUCUCUAGGAAAAGUUCCAUUAAAAUUGAUAGCGUUUCAGCACUUGAAUCUGUAGCAUCAUGGUCCUGUCACCAUGCAAGGAGAGAAACAAAUCAGGCUGCUUAUUCUCCUAUAUGCAAUUCAUGAAAUAAAUCCAGCUCAUGGGUACAGGAAAAAAAUUGUCAAACAGGUAAAUUUUAAAAUUAUCAUAUUGCAGAUAAACACUAAGAUGAAGACCAACAAAGGGAGUGGGACACACUACUAAAUUUUAAAACUUGAAAACCUUGCCUAAAUAUCAGCAGACACUUCCCCUGUAACAUUUCUCCAGAAAAGUAACAUUGCAUCUUGAGGACCAAAAAUUGGAGACCAUAUCAAAGUAUAUAUCCCGUGUUAUGGAAGAUGAAAAUUCAGCUAGGUAUUCCUACUAAAAGCUACUAUAUCAAUAACUGGCUUCUACAAUUUUUUGACAGUACAGAACACCAAAACUCUACAGAUAAAACAAGAAAAAGUAAAGCAUAUGUACUUCUGAGCACAUGCAUCCAGCACUCCCACUUUCAUAAUUCUACAGCAAAAAGAUGCCUAAUCAUGAAGCUAUAAGGUAGCAGAUAGAAAAAUACAGCACAAAUCAAUUGAAAGCAAGCAGCACAAUUCAUGGAAUGUAAGAUUUUGAAGAAAGUCGUGACCUGAUAAUUGGGAAAGUCACUGUCAAUUGCUGCCUCAAAUUGUGCAAGAAAUUUAUCAAGCCCAUCAUUACCAAUUAACAGAGGAAGACAAAGAACUUUUGCUAAUGAAGAUGUCAUAAACCCUUCCUUCUGUAAUAGCAAUAACAAAUCCAUUCCAAUACGCAGGCCUUUAACAAGUGAUCCAAACGCUUUAACCUGCAAGAAGACAAAAUUUUGAGUAAACAUAUUGGUUGAGUACUGAGGAUAGAUCUUGAUUAUACAAGGCAAAGAUUAGAGAGGAUAUUUGCCCGUAAACACUACUUGAUGAGCACCUAAAACAGACAGUCACUGACCACCCAUGAUCUCCCCCAUUGAGGGAACCAAGUGUCUUUGCACUUUAGCACAAGUCUUAAACGAAAACAUUGUCCCUGACAAGGCAUUCUCAUGACAAUGCUUUUUUGAUUCCACUGUCUAGAAGAUGUGAAAGAAUAAAUAGCAUGAGAACUUAAUUUAAGCAUUGAUGGGGAAAAAGUAUUAUCAUUGACUAGCAACUUCAUAAAGACUCAAGCUAACUAGGAAUUGCAGUUUGCACUACUGCAUUCUCAGAAAUAAUAUUGCACUGUUCAUCAAGAGUUAGCCGAAAAGAAACCACCAAUCUUGAGCUACCGAUGAAAUGAUGCAAGUGUGCACGCACAACAACAAGAGUACAUACACAAGCAAAAAAACUUAUUGAGAAAGCUUACUCGCUGUUUCAAUUUUUUGCUGCCAAUCAGUGGCAGCAAGAGCACAGCAGAAGAGUUAAUGCUUGCCUUAACACGCCCAAGCAACCUCUCUAAGUCUGGAAUCUUGCGAAGAUAUUGAGCCACAAGUAACAUGAUAUCUGAAUGUGCUAUAAGCUCCUCAACAACAUCAAGCCUAUGAUUGAUUUUCUCGACAUCUCUCAGAGGAUGACAGAUCCAGUUCCUUAAAAGCCGUUUACCAGAUGCAGUGACACAAUUGUCAAGAUAUUUGUACAAUGUACCUAUAUAUUAAUGUUGCUUAAAUUAACAUAGGAGGAAGCAUAACCUUCAGGUCUUAUAUUCUAACAUAACUCUUUGAUAUACACUAAAUUAUACACGAGCACUUGCCUGCCUGAGCACCAUCAGCAUUGUUAUUAAAAAUCUCAAGAUUGACAAGUGUCUGCCCAUCCAUUCUUAGACAACCCUUGUAGAGUUGAUACGAGUAAACGUCUCCAUUAUGUAAAGUGUCAUCUAACUGUUCAACAAAAUAACUUAAUUCAGAACAAAAGACAUUGAUGUUGAAGGUUGUACUACAAACAAUUUUCACAGGCCUACCAUCAUUCGGGAUAAAUGGUUAGUGAGUCCUCCAAGAGCACAUAACGCAAGAUCCUGAUGCAUAAUCCCCUCAAGAAUGUGAUCCCACCUGUUAAGAGAUUCUUUGAAGUAACCCUUCAACUGAAUGAAGUUUCUCACUUCUGAUGCAUUACCAAAAUCAGCAUGCAGAGCUGGAGUCAACAUUGAUACAGUAGAGCCUACAAGCCAAAGUUAAAUAGGCUUCUUAUCCAAAAGAUCCAAUCAUCAAUAACAGCAACCUUUGUAAAUAGCCAAAACUAAAGAAAGAGACAUCAAGCAGUUUCACUAAAAAGAAAAGUUGUAACUGAUAAUUGCAGUACAGAAGAAUGUGCCAAUUUGCAGAUGAGAACUUAAAAGGUUAAACUGUUGUCACCUGUUAGCGAGUACUUUUUCAAUGCUUUCUGUGCCUCUUUGGACAGUCCUAUAACAGAUUUGAGUAAAUGACCAUCAGGCUAGGGCUCAGCAAGAUUAAUAUUUCUAACAUAUGACAGCUUUUUGCCUGGUUUCUAGAAACUCCUUAAAAGAAAAGUAAAAGUUGGAUGUGAAAGCAAUUUAAUAGACUUACCUUGACUAUCAUAGAUCACUUCCCUAGGUGACACCUAAAAGUCAAACCAAAAGAAAAAGAAGACCAAUCAUCCCCACUAAAUAUUGCACACAGAGCAUAUAACAGAAAAUUAAGACCAAGGAGCAUACUUGCAUCAACAAAGCCCCCAAAGCUGCAUAAGAAGCAUCGUCACUGAUGGAACCAACCCAAAAUUUUAAUGCAGCACAGUCGACAAAAGCAAACCCAAAAGAAGUUGAACCAUUAUCUGGACAAAAGCAAUCCUAGAUACAGAAUGCAGCAAGAUGUUAAUCAUUUUAUAAUUCUUAUUUGCAAUGAAACUACCCUAUCUAGCUUUACUUGUACAACUUUACCAAAUUUGAGAGCUCAUGACACAUUUUUUCCUACACCAUCAGUAAGAACAAUAUGGUAAAGUACGGAAAGCAAAGAAAAGGUUUUCAAGCCAACCUCUUUUAUUGCAAGAAGAUGUACAGCGUUUGGCCCAAUGUUGCCCUCAGUUGUGGUGGAUGGUGUGAGAACGCCAAUUAGCUUCCUUUCAAUAACCUAAAACCAGCAUUGUAAGCCAUGAUUAGAUUUGAAUGACUAUCACCUACAGUUUGCCAGAGACCAUACAAUGACAGGCACAGGUCCAUGUGGAUAACGGAACUGCACAAACACAGGUCCAUUUCAAACUUACAGAAGCAGAACCUCUUGAUUUUGCUUGUUCUGAGGUCUCCAACUGCUCAACCCGUCCAACUUUGUAGCUUUAAAUAAGAAAUGACGAGUAAAAAAAAAGGACAGGAUCAGAAUGCAGCAGGAAAACAAAUAGGAUCUCUACACAAAUAUAUUAAUAUGAAAGCACCAGUAUAUCCAGAAAUUAGUAAAUACUGAAUAGAUGUUCCACAAGAAAAGAAAACCAAUCUGAAAACUAAACAAAUCAGGAUGCUUGAUUUAACGUAUUGAUACACAUUAGCCACAGAACUUGCUUACCAACCCCUUUGACAAUUAUAAAAGAUAAAAGAAGCAUAAAACAAGAAAUUAGAUAGAGUAGUGAAUAAUGAAUAGAGGCUCAAUUACCAAAGAAAAUUAAUAUGAAACCAAACAAAUCAGGAUGCUUAAAUUAACAUAUCAAUGCACAUUGACAACAGGAAUUUGCUUACCCACGAUCAAUCAAUUUCUGAACAGCAUCAUCAAUCCCACUCUCAGAUAUCCCAACCUAAUAGCAGCGCAAAGGAUCAGUAUAGAUAUGAUAUUGAGUAAAACCAAACACCUACCACUGCAAAUGCCUCAGAAAACACUAUAACAGGAUGACUAUAACUGUAGAUCGGGACAUUACCUGUCGACAUUUACCCACCCCGCUUAAUGUCAUUUUCCAGUCAAGUUCCUUGUGACCAAUUUCAGCAUCAAGUUCAUAGAGCUCAUAAAACUUUCCCUGAAAUAGAAAUAUGAGUGUUUUAAAAGAGUAUUGCAAAAGACAGACAUGAAGGGCAUAUUUUUUUUUAUCUUCAACAGAGUUCUUCAUUCACAUUUUGCAGAAUAAAUUCAUAAAAAAUGGAUAUAAAUUGGAAGCAUGAUAAUCACAAAGCAGUAUGGCACCAAAAUUAGUUUGGACAAUCUAUAAACCAAAGAAUAGCAAGUAAUGUAAAUCAAGCUUAUAAAUCUAACUGAAGUUAGAUGAUCCCUGUACCCUACUACAGUUCACUCAGAAGUCACAGAUUCCUAAUCAUUAGUCUUAUUUCAUUACACAAUGAAAUCCCACUGGAAAUCUCUGAUAAGUUAUAAACUGAAAGUCUUUGAUUUUUGAGAAAGUGCCUAGAAUAUGAAAUUAAUCAUCAAAAAUUUUGAAGUUUAGAAAUCAUUCAGCAGUCACCCAUUUAACCUAUUGCAGAAGCUCACCUGUUAGGUGACUCUUUGAAAUAAAUGAAGUAUGACGAAUAAAUUAGAUUCACCAAAAGAAACAAGGAAAAAAAAACAUCCUUAGUGCACUGUAAUGAAGGUAUGGGUUCGAAUGGACUGACCACUUUAAAGAAAAGCACCACAUCCAUGUAUUGACAUUUAACUUCCCAAUAUUGCUUUUGUGAUGCCGACAUCUUUCUUAGAGCAUCUGGUGGUAUUAAGAGUGUUCUUUGGUCAUAUAGAGGAUCACCUGGCCUUUUUCCCUUAGCAUCCUUGAUUCUUGAAGGAUGAAGCCAUUCAAACUUGCUAGCCAUUUCAGAAUCCUCUAGAUAUUUCUUUUCACCAUCUAAAUCCUGAAGAAAUUUCACCCUUUUGGUAGCAUUUGACUUGGAGAAACCACUCUUUUGCUCGAAAUUACAAAUAUCAUCAUGUAACCUUUUUAACCGAGGGACUGAAGGUCGCAUGCCUGGCGUGUCUGGUCCAAGAACAUCAAUGUCAUCAGUUCCAACAACCAAUGGGCAUCCCUCACUCUCUUGCUUUGUUGUCCCAUUAGUAUGGCAAAUACUUUGCCUCCCUAUUUGCUUAGAAGUCAAGUUUCCAUCUUCAAACUCUUUCUGCGACUUCGAUUUAUCAAGAACAGAACAAAUAUUGUUUGAGACACUUGCUUCCUUCCUGCCGUUUUGCAGUCAAUAUGCAAUAUGUGGGUCAUAAGCAGACAAAGAAUUUAAAUGCUGCUUGGCAAAAAACAAAGGAAAAAGUAAAAUAGCUAAUUAACGAAUUGAUAUAGUUAACUUUAUGCAGUAAUGCUACCUAAAAAGAAUUGCAUUGAGGGUAUAUAGAAGUUAUAGGUCUCUUUCUGUAAACAGUUGAAUUUCCUCAAUAAGCUAGUGCAACGACUAUCAAAUGAUCUACAUUUUUAUCAAGAUAAUCGUAGUAAAUUAUCGAGUUCAUAUAGGUUAUAUACACUGCUACAUCUACCUCAAAAGAGAAACAGUUUCUCUUCACCUUCCAAGUACACCAGCUAGUACAACACUUCGGAACGUCACAGUAUAGUCGCGAAAUAAGAACAAAAAUAGUGAAUAUAGACAGAUGUACACUCACGAGUCAUUUAUCAGAACAUAUAUUCAGAGGCUAUCAAUUUCUUACCGCAAAAGUUUACAAAAGUAGCUACUUAAUGCUAGCAACAUACAAUUAAAUUAAUCCAACUUUACCAACCUAUCAUCGAUGAGUAUUUCAGUUUCAUAGUCAAACAUUUAAAAGAAAGAAAUAAAAAACCAAAAAAAAAAAGGGGAAAGGAAAAGGAAAAGCAUGAGAAACCUACUCAUUGCAAGAUAUUUUCGUAGUAUCGAAUCUCGCGAACUUGUGCAUGAUACUGGAGAAGAGCGAAUUUUUGCUUCCGCUCUCAAUGUCGUUGACGGGGAAAAUCUGACGCGGCACUUUUUCCGGCGGAGUAUCGGUUCCUCUGACGUCAUCAACCGAAUCGUCAAUUGUGGAGGUAGAAAUAGCUUUGGUAAAUUCAAUACCAGCUCCAAUCUGAUUCUGAUGUUUGGGAGGAAAAUGAGGAGCUCGGCCGCCGGAGUUCUGUUGCUCCGCCGACGGUCUUUUGAGAAAUGAAAGAAUCGACUUCUGACGCUGCAUUUUUUUUCCCCCCUGGUUGUCAGCGAUUAGGGAGAAGAGGAAAGCCACUGACGAUUUUAAAUCAGAGAAAGGAGACAGUGAUAAAGAGAAUUGGCGCCAAGUUUUGGCUCCAAAAUGGGUAACAUUUUGGAGGUUCUCAGCUGGGCGGUGUAUUCGUGGCCGUUCGAUCCGUUUUUCGGAUUUUACUGUUACCAGUGGCGCGUGGUAGACCGCGGAGAAAUUUCCACUUGCCCCAGUAACGAGCGUCAGAUGGGGAAAUUCUAGGGCAAUUUGGCUCUUUGCACCAAUCCAGCCAUCCAUCCUUCGAAGGUGUCAAUUUAAUUAUGUACCAGAGAAAAAAAGGGAAAAAAAAAAAAGAUGUCAAUUUAAUUUAGUCUUAUACACGUUAACUCUUUUUUGAUUUCCUGAUUAAAUAGUAUUUCACGAUAAUGGUGUUCCAUACCAAUUUACGCACGUCUUAAAUCAGUCCAGUGCCCUGAAAUACCUCAAAUUACAUGUUAAGUAUAUCAUUCACACGAGUUUUAUAUGAUUAAACCAAAGUGUAAGUGUAUGCUUCACCAAAUUACAUCAUUUCUUUUUAUUUGACAAUUAUUCAGUUUUCAACUAUAAUGACACCCAACAUGGUACAAACCCGAGAACAUUUUGCAUCUAGUUGUGUCAUUUUAAGCAAUAGUCUGAGGCCAAUUAGGCAGAUUUCCCAAUACGAGUAGUAUCAAUAUCAAAAUAUAUAUAUAUAUAUUGUAGAAUAACAUGUUUUGCAUCUAGGACUAAUUGCAUUUGUUGGCUUAGACACGGUUAGGUAGAUUAAUCUCUUAUGAGGCCUAUAAUCGUUCACUGGGCAUAAAGGGGUUAGUUUACAAUUUACAUAACAUUGAUACCCUUUUGCUAAGUUCGAGCUCAGAUCCUUGUUUUGUCUUGUAUUUGUAAUCUUUGACGUGUAAUUUUGGAAUCCACAUGGAUGAAUGUAAUUGCAUAGAAAGAGAUAAACGAAGUAGUAAACUUUUAAUCAAAGGUUAAUUUUGCAUGUGUGUGUGUGUGUUUAACCUCAUGUAAUUUCUUGAUUAUCGUAUACAGAUAAUUGAAUAAGGGAAAACUUGUAGAGAAAAUACGGAAAACUUUAAAGUAAUGAAAUUUGAUUAUUUCGAAAGUUAUUAGACAAUUGAUUUUGGUUUGAAAUAGAUUUCUUCUUCUUUUUUUCCCCCUUGGAUCAAGUGGAGCCAGAAGUGUAGAUCCGAUAUUAGGAGAACGGAAAGACAUACGGUAAUUUUUCCUAAUAAGGGUAAUUUUGCCUUCAAGAAUUUUGCAAUGUGUAUAAUCUUCUAGAUGUGGACACAUUUUGGCUUUCUAGAAUAAUGCAAACGCCUUCUGUGAGCUUCAACUAGGGCUAUCAAUGAGGGGUCGAAUUGAUUCUAACUCGACCUGUUUGCCCCAAAACAAAAGGGGUCCAACCACUAUAAUUAUGGGUUGGGUAGAAUUUAGGCAUACAUUCAUAACUCGAUUAAAAUGUGUGUCAAGUUUCGGUUUUUAUAGGAUCAAAUUGAUUAGAGCCUGACCCGUUGUUAUAUAUGUGCGUGCAUAUGUAUUCUAAUGUAUAUAACUAUAAAUAUCUUAUUUUUAAAUACAUAAUGUAUGAUUAGACUAUUAGUAAUUAAUAUUGGUUUUGAAAUGAUUUAGAUUCAUUAAAUAAUUAUAUUUAAAGAGAAAACUCUAUUAGUAUUGACUAUUAAUCAUGUAUUAUUAUUAUUUUCAAGUAUUUAAAAAGAAUUGUUGACAAAAUUUUUAUUGAUGAACUCUUAAUGAAAUUUAAACUAAUUUAUAUGUAAUUUUAAUAUUGUAUAUUACAAAUUAACUUUACUACUUAAUGGGUAUAGUAAUUAUAUUAAAGAAAUUAAUGAGUAAUAAUUGAAUAUGAGCUAAACUUGAAUUAAACUCAAAAUUCAAAUAUAUUGUGAGUUUAAGCAUGAACUUCGCACAUAUUAGCCCAAAACUCAUUAUUUGAAAUCCAAAUAUCUUAUUAACUAAAUAAAUCGAGCAUGAGGUUGUUAAAAUCCAACUUGGAUGGCCCGACCCAACAAAGGCCUUGCUUGGAUUGAAGGUUUUCGUCGGAAAAUAUUAUCGUUUUCCGUGAUCACAUUUCCCUAUCACCUUUUUCCCUCACAUAUAUCAAAUCGCUACAGUAAUUUUUCCAUGAAAAAUGACGGAAAAUGCAAUCCAAACACAACCUUAACUUCAACUAGGAUGUAUGUAUUAACUUUCAAUUUUUAUUAGUAGUAUUUGAAACUAGAAUAUCUAUUUUCACGAGGUGAGUCGAGCAGUGAAUCCUUUAAACAACCUCUAGAUAGAUAAUUAAACAAGAACAACUUGUUGUCAGAGGCUCAAAGAAAAAUUUAAAGAAAUUUGUUCAAUAAUACCUAUUUUUUAAUUAUUGAAUGUUGUAAAACUAAUAAAUGAAGUAAAAAACUGCAGAGAAAAAUGUUAUAUUAUUCAUCAUUUGAGCAUUCGAGCGAAUAUAAUAAACAUUCUCUCUGCUUUUGACUACUUCUAUCUAUUCUAUUAUAUUUUGUUAUUUCAUUAGUACUAGUUUCACAACAUAUUUAUCAACAUGAAUAUCCAACUUUAAGCAAAAGGGAAACAUGUGUAUCUAAGUUUGAGCAAGUACAGGUUUCUACAUGUGUUCAACAAUCAUUUAAAAUUGAAACUUGUAUUUGAUAAUUCAAAAUUAUAAACUUGUACUUAUUGACUAAAGUUAGAUACUCAUGCUUCACAUUUAUUCAAAGUUAGACACUUAUGCUAAUAACGUGUUAUGAAAUUAAUAAAACAUAAACUAAUAAAUGAAGUAAAGAAAUGUAGAGACAAGAGGAUUAGAAAAAGAGAUUAUAUUCAAAUAUUUUUCCAAAGAUUUCAAAUAAGACUUGUGAACUGUCUAAGGGUCUGUUUGAUAACAUAAAAAAGUGCUGAAUUUGAAUUUUUUCAGACAUUCAGAUGUUUUGAGUAUUUGAUAAAUAAAAAUCUAUUUGCUGAAUUUGUUAAGCAGUGCUGAACCUGUGUGUAUUUUUUUCAGCACAAGAAUCCUAACUGAAUGCUUAAUUCUGGUAAGAAUCAAUUGAAUUACUUCAACUACCCUAUCUUAUCUACCAAAUCUACCCUUGUUGUUAAUUAUGUUCAAAAUUCUUAUAUAAUUAAACAAUAUAAUAUUCUCUAUCUAACGAUUUUUAGUUUAUCUUUUCUCACUUUCUAAUGACUUUCACAGCUUCUCCAUACUCCUUUAUAUAAUAUAUUUCACAUUUUAUAUUAAUUUGAUUUAAAAAUAAAUAUUGUCAUUUUCAUACCUAACAAUUUUAAACUAAUUAAAUGAUAGAUUCUAUUUCUUUUUGGAAUGAAAGGAUAUAAGGGCAAAAUUGUCAAAUUAAACUUAUUAAGCAUUCAACUAUAAAUAUUUAUCAAACAAUAUAAAUAGGUUUAACAUUAAAAUUCAGACAUUUAUAUAUAUUUUUUAGUGCUUAAAAUUCAACAAAUUAAUUGUUUCAGUAUUCAGAUUUCAGAAUUCAAACUUCAAAAUUCAGAUUCAGUUUUAUCAAAAGGAACCUAAGUGAUACAAGACUAAAGGCACACGUAUCAAUAUUAAUAUAGAUAUACGAAUUUAAUAUUUCAAAUACAUAAAUUUAUCAAUGAAUGUACCAAAGGAUGAAUGCUUAAUGCAUCUCCUAGGGAGAUGAAUAUACAUCACACAUAUCAUUUCAUUAAUUUCAUAAAUUUGAAGAUGUAUUUGUAGUUCUUCUAACAGGAAAAAAAAAGGUUAAUCACAUUUUGUCCCCUUAAAAAAUAUCUCAUUUCUCAGUUUACCCCAUAACCUUUAAUUUUGCUCACUUAACCCCCUUUAGGAUAAAAUUGCCCUUGCAUUAUUUUGACUUUUAAUUUAUCUUAUUUUCCUUUCUUUUAUUUUUUUUCUCUUUUUUUAAAUUAAUAGUUAUUAAAUCUUAAGAAAAUAAUAAAGAAUUAAAAUAUAAUAUUUAUGAAUGAAAAAUAAUAAUAUAAUAAAAAAUAAAACAAAGAAUGACACGCAAUGUGGGACAGACUUUCCGCGCGAAACGGGACAAAUGGCACAUCUCAUUCGCUAAUAUCCAUCGUUGACCAAGAGCCAAAGAGGCCAACCCUUUUUAGCGUUUUACUUGGGCACCAAGUUCUUGCAAAGACCAACGUGGCUUCUUUUCAACCAAUCAACAGCUGCCAACUCACCAAUCAGAGAACUGGAUAUUCACCACCACACCAUCCUUGGACAACAAGUUUAGUAGUACCUCCGCGAACCUUCGAGAUCCAUAGCUAUCACCUCGUGCCUUUCCUUUUUCCCCUAGCCGACUCUUCCUGAAUCCCAACCCCAUAUAAAACCCGUCCUGGCCCUCCUCAAAAAAUCGCUUUUGAUGGUUAGUUUGAAAGAAAGACAGGAGGCAGAAAGAAGAAGAAGAAGAAGAUCAACCUGCUAUUUUUGUGAAGGAUGCCGAGUAGAUUUCAGGGGGCGAUCAAGCAGGAAUGGGAGCCGGUGGUGCUGCAAAAGUCUAGACCCAAGGCUGAAGACCUGAGGGACCCCAAGGCGGUGAACCAAGCUUUGAGAACAGGUGGUCAGGUGCAAACAAUCAAAAAAGCGGAUGCCGGAGCAAAUAAGAAGGCAGCCCCCCCUGCUGUAAAUGCAAGAAAGCUGGACGAAGCUGAGGAGCCUGCGGCUUUGGGGCGGGUAUCGACGGAGGUGAGGCAGGCCAUACAAAAGGCGAGAAUUGAGAAAAAGAUGAGCCAAGCCGAGCUAGCGAAGCAAAUUAACGAGCGACCUCAGGUGGUUCAGGAGUACGAGAAUGGGAAGGCUGUGCCUAAUCAGGCUGUAUUGGCUAAGGUGGAGAGAGUGUUGGGGGUUAAGCUUAGGGGAUUAAGAAAAUAAAUGGCAUAAAUAUAGGCUGAACGUUAAUGAAGUUUUGUAAAUGAACAGUCUGUCACCUUAGGUUGAGAAUUUCAACCGUUGGAUGUAAAUUAUUAUUAUUGUUGUUAUGUCGGACGGUGAUGUUUCUUGCUUACCUUGAGCAUUUACUCAGCCGACAAAUGAUGCAUGUUUAUUUUAUUUUUGUUGUCUUCUUUGAUUAACAAAGGCGUAUUUUCGGAAUUUCCAGCAAGGCACGUCGAUUGAGUAUGGACUAUCUCAAUCGGAAGCACUACUGUUUUUUCAACUUUUUUGCAGGCAAAAGGAGUCACGCUGCGAUGUAGUAGCUGGGUUUAAAGUUUCAAGCCUCCUUUCCAGGGACCACCUCAGCAGCAACCCCCCCCCCCACCCCCCUUUUCCUUCCCGGCGGCCCAAAAAAAAAAAAAAAAAAAAAAAAAAGAGGAGGCAACGCUAUUCUACUAGCACAGGCGGCCGGCGGCUCUUUCCUAUAACUAUUAGCUAAUAAAUUACUUUCGAGCUAGGGAAACAAUCAACUGGGCUUACAAUUGGAGUUUGCUUUUCGUUGUUUAGCUAUUAAAGAAUCUUAACAAAGCUAUCCUCAUUUUGGAUUGUCUGGGACUGCUGAGACAGCAUCCUCAUUUUAAAUACGACGGCCCCCACCCAAAAAGAAGAAAAGGAGAACGCUGGAGCCUCUUCGUAGUCCUUUCUCGGAAGAGUCUGUUCUCCCUUGCUUCGACGUUGAAAUCCUGUCUCCUGCCUAACCGAUGUGAAAAGAUGGUAGCCUUUUUGUCAUUUCUACCCAAAAAAGAAAAUUUUCUUUUUGCUUGGGUUGGAAAUUGCCAGAGAGAAACCAAUAUUCCAAGCUUUAAUUAACCGUUUUAACGAGCAACUUAAUCCAUCAGAACUCGGGCGAGAGAGACGUCAAUUUAAUUUUCGACUGUCUUCUUUUUUAUCAGCGUCGCAGGUAAAUAAUUUUACAGGAGAGUACGAAUAAAAAAGUGCAAGAAAUUCAUUCUCAAACUGACAUUAUUUAAUCCCGCAUGAGGAUGUAUCCUCAUUUCGCCGCCUUUUUUUUUUUUUUUUUUGUGCUUUUAAAAAUUUCCCGAUGCUACAGGAUGCUUACAGCCAAGGUGAAUUGUAAAUGGGAGUAGCAACAGCUUUAACUACAAGAUACUUCUUGAGGCCAUCCAUUCCCAUGUCUCUUCCAAAACCACUCAUUUUGUAGCCUCCGUAUGGGCUGUCCCUGUCGAAGGCAAAGUAACAAUUUAUCCAGAUAGCACCCGCACGAAUUGAUCUUGCGACGGUGUUGGCAAUGUUAAUGUCGUUAGUCAUAACGCCCGCUGCCAGUCCAUAUUUGGUCGCGUUUGCUCUCUUGAUUGCCUCCUCAACGGUCCUGCGUGUGUUAUUUAGUAUGAAAUAUUACUUAGCAUGAACACGUGUCCAGGGAAGGAAUAAGGCGUUUGAAGGCUUAUUAGUCAGUACUAAUUGACUUACUUGAAUUUGAAUACUGACAUAACAGGCCCAAAUAUUUCUUCCUGUGCAAUUGUCAUCUCAUCCUGCAAUGCAUCAAGCAAAAUAAUUAUUGAUUAAUUGCAACAGGAAUCCAAAAUGCUUUUUGCCAGUCUCAAAUCUGGAAAGUUGUUGAUUCAAGAGAUUUACCGUGACAUCAGUGAAUAUUGUCGGCUCAAUGUAGUAGCCCUUCCUGUCACCAGGCUUGCCACCAUGGAAUAAGGUGGCACCUUCCUUCUUCCCGAGCUCAAUGUAUGAAAGUAUUCUAUCGUACUGCUUCUUGUUAACCUGCAUCAGACGGGAAAUGAAAAUUGAGAAUGCAACAACCAUGGAGAACUCGUCUCUCAGCAUUGUGAGGAUGAUAUCCACAGAUGAGAUGAUGGCGAUUAGAUUUUGCUACUGGACAUAAACCAGUUUCUGAUUCACAUACUUGGGGUCCUUGAUGAGAAGUUGGAUCAAAAGGAUCACCGACCACCCAAUUUUUCACCUUCUCCUUCAACUUCAGUAGAAACUUGUCAUAAAUCCCCUCUUGAACAAAAACACGAGAGCCAGCAACACAUAUUUCACCCUGGAAUUGAUUUUUUUUUUGUUUUUGUUUUGGAAGAACAAAAGUAAGUCAGCAUUCUUCAUCUUUGAUCGAAAAACAGAUCACACAGACGAAGAAAGAAAUUAAUGAAAGACGACCUUGUUAAAUAGAGUUCCCUGCAGUGCCAGUUCUGUAACUUUGUCCACAUCUGCAUCAUCGAAGAUUAAAAUGGGGGACUUGCCUCCCAGUUCUAGACAUACGGGCUUCAAGUUGCUUGUUGCUGCAGCUUGCAUGACAAGCCGCCCUACUUCCGUAGAACCCGUGAAACUUACCUGAACAUAACAGGCACGUGUGUCAAAUGAAAUAAUCUUUUUGCACGAUACUCGUAGACACAAUUCAAGUAAAGCUUACCAUAUCAAUGUCCGUAUGAGAGCUAAUUGCCGCACCAGCUGUUUGUCCGAAUCCUGUUACAACGUUAAGCACUCCAUCGGGGAUUCCAGCCUGUUUCAAGUAGCAGAAUUCGUAAGUGCUAUUAAAAAAAAAAAAAAUUAUGGGUCGCUCAAUUGUUGUCUCGUUUAAUUUCACUAAGCUCAAAGAAAAUGCAAGAUUACCAGCUUCGCUAAAUGAGCGUAAUAGAGAGCUGACAGAGGCGUUUGUUCCGCAGGCUUGACAACCAUGGUGCAACCAGCAGCUAAUGCAGGGCCAACCUUCAUAGCAAACAUUUGACUAGGGAAGUUCCAGGGAAUGAUGUGUCCAACAACUCCGACGGGCUCAUGCAAUGUGUAUCCCUGUAGCGCGGUCGACAUUUUCAGAGUCUCCCCAUGAAUCUUAUCUGCCGCACCCGCAUAGUAGCGAAUUGUUUCUGCUGCUCCUGGAAUUUCCAUAAUCUUGCAAAGGGAAAACAAUUUUCCAGCAUCAAUUGUCUCCAGGGUGGCUAAUUCUUCAUUGUUUUCAUCUAUUAAGUCUGCAAACUUCAUCAUUAUCUUGCGCCUCUCCUGGUAACAACGCAUACAGAGAAAGAAUGCUUAGUUUCAAGCAGUCCAAACCAUGCACACUCUCAAUUGCUCACAAAGCCAUUGAGCUGUAAAAUGGACAAAUGUAAAAAGCUUUUCUGGAUUGAGACUUGCAAGUUCAACCAAGAAAAACGUUUAAAGAAACAGCUGAUUGCUUAAAUCUUGAAAAUAUGGCCAGAGCGAACGGAAAUUGAUUUGUGGAAAAUUAGGACGAUAUAUUCACAUCAUAUAGAUGCUGAACUUCCAAAAGCCUCCAAAUUAAAGCAAAGCAUCGCAUUCUGGUGAUGAUGACAGAUACUAAUGGUGAAUUGGUGAUUGAGACAAAAUGUAUACUUUUCUGGGCCAUGUAAAUCCGGAGUGAGUCAAAACUCGACGGGGAAGAAAUUUCAGCCUAUGGUCCCAUGUAUAACAAAUAUGCGUGUUCAAGUUUUCCACGCAUGGCUUAAAUUAGUACUCCUAUUAGUUUCUUUGUCCUCUUUUUUCUGUUUUAAAAAAAAAAAAAAUUAGUACUCCUAUUUUUACAUCUAUCAUAUAUCAAGUCAUCAUAAUUCAUACAUAACUUAGGAUCAAUUUUAUUACAUAAGUACAUCACAAUGUAAUUUUUGAAUGGAACACAUGAUCUACUAAUAAGCCGAUGGUGAGUAUAAAAGAGUACUAUUCUUUAAGCGCAGAGUAGGCAAUUUAUAUUUAUUUGGUGGAUCCCAGAACCCACAAGUGUAGGAAUUGUGGCGGCACCCAGCUUAGGCGGUAAUAAGAUAAUGAUAGUAUUGAAAACAACUACUCCUAGCAUUAAAGAGUUUGAUCCCAGAGUUGACUUUUUGAGUUCUCCCAGCAUUUGCCAGCGGAAAAAUAGGCUUAAGAACAUGAAGCUGUCGGAUACCAUUAAAAUAUUACCUGCUACUUGCCGCCUUCCCCUUUUUUUUUUUGGGUGUAUCCUGCACUGCACUAGAGGGAGGGGAAGGACAUGAGGAGCUCUGAGAGUAACUCAGAUAUGACUGAAUCACCGUCGAAUCAGACGGGUGUACCACGCAUCCAUCUGAUUUUUUUUGAACGGAACCACUUUUAAUGUGACAAAUUGAUGGGAGGUAAUGAUAAUUUUAAUGCAUUGGUGGUGGUCUGGUGGUUGACUUGCCCCCUUCCAGCUUAAAUUUCAUAGGCUAAAAACUGAUAGUACAACAAAUUGUACAACUAAUCAAAAGUGAAAACCUGGCAAUUAAGAGUAAAAGUUCCUGCAUCGAAAUCAAACAACAAGCAGGGCAUUUAGAUGUGCGUCACCGGUCAUAAUUGCCUUGUAGAGGGGGUAUCAAUGAUUAAUUCUACGUUGAGGUGUUCAAAUAUUCUUCUAUGCAGAAAAAUCAAAGUUCUAUCGUCCAAAGCAAACCAUAUAUUUCUCGUGGCCACUAUUUCGGUUCAAAGUCUUUAUCUUUGACAAGACUUUGAACAUGGAAGAAAGGCCAAUAAACAAAUUCUUUAACUCGAUUGAUCCGGCAGGUUAGUUUGGUUGGUCCGGAUACUCAAUCUUCUAACUUAUUAAUUUGUCAGUAAUUAACUUGGAUAUCAUGUGUAUCAUUGACUCACGUAAAAAAACAGAGAUGAAUUUUAAGGCGAUUACGGACUGUAACUACUGAAACACUAUUGAAAGAAAGGAAGCACUGGAGAGAAGAAUCUUACAAAGCCAGGUAAACGAGGCCAUGGGCCGUUGUCAAAAGCUUCUCGGGCAGCUUUGACAGCCAAAUCGACAUCUUCCUUGUUCCCCUCGGCAAUUUCUGCAAUCACCUCCCUGUUUCUUGGAUCUAUUGUCUGAAAAGUCUUUCCUGUGUGAUCAAAUUUCCAAAAAGAUUAGUCUCGUCUAAGGUCUAACAACGUGAACGAGAACCUAUGCAAUAUCAACAUCAAAGGUCUUCGGUUUUCGUAUUAUGCAAAUGGUAUGCACACUUGCAAACGACAUGUUUAGAGGUAGAGAUAUUUAUUGACCACGCCGCACCAGCCGAUCGAUAUACACAAUUGGAGAUUGGGAAAACCUAUAAUCAUAUUAUCUCUGUUUUUGAGGAUACGUGUCUCGAAUUCCAGAAGUUGGUUCCGAUUUGUUUUGUAUAUGCAUCGGCAAUGCAGUAUUGAGAAUGAACUGUUGCAAGCAGACGAAAGGUUAAAAAGAAAUGGUUAUUGUUUGGCUCAUCGACUUCUGAACUAUCUUCUACUGAAUGAAUUAUUUGGAAAUAAUUUUCCUUAGUAGGUGACGGUUUGGAAGGAAAUGAAAUGUAUGCUGUAGCCUCUUCUCUGUCACUAGUAAAGAAUUGCACCUUUCUAACGCCGAAAUUCAUAUCCGGGAAGAACGGAUUAGGUGCAUCAGAGGAUGGUUGCAACCAGCUGGGCUUUAUCACUUGCGAUGAUCAUGAUGGAUGACAAAACUAUUCUUGGCCCUCCAAAGAGAUUGGAAGAAAUCGAGGCAUAGUAGGAUUGCCAAGAAGAAGACACCAAAGUUUGUAUCAAUGACUAAAGAUUAAUAGCUUUGCUUUCAGAUAAUCUGUAACCAGUACGGAAAACAGAUGAUUUGUCCGGCAAAGUUGCAGCAGUACGAAUUUCUUUCCUGAAAAAGAGUUUCUUCAAAUGCCAUGUGCUAUAACUGAAGCUCCCUUUUCCCUAUCCGCCGCUCUUCUUUGUGCAGUAGAAAAAGAGUUUCCGUUCUCACGAAAACGUAAAACACAUGCACUUAGGAAACAUCGGAACAGACCUCUGUGUUUAUUGUUCAAUUAAUGAGCGUGACAGAAAUGAUAGGAGAACAUAAGGAAGAAAAAAGUAGGAACCUGAAACAGAAUCAACGAACUCUCCAUUGAUGAAGAGCUUGGUGAACUUUAUCUGAGGAACAGGAACCUUGACGCGAGAAUCCAAGCUUCCAUUGCCGUUACUUUGGACAGCCAUCUCUCGAGCAGAAUCAACACCUCGGUUUUUUGUAAAUAACUCACCCUGUCUCCCACGUUAUCUCCACUGAAAGAAACACCCCACGCUUGGACGACUAUAUAUACACACACACACACAAAUUAAAGAGCAAGGCAAGGCACGAGAGAACCCAUACCUCACGCGUCACUGAACUGGGUCUUUUGUUUUUUGUGCUAGUCCAAUUAAAUAUUUAGAAUACGUCACAGGCAGCCAGCCCAGUAGAGCCGCUCGGUAUUGGGCCCCCCUCCUAUUGUCAUCGCAGACAGAUUCCUCCGUUUGUUUGCGUAGUCAUACAUUUAUUAUUUCUCCAAACAUUAAUUUGCUUGCUCACAAUUACUACAAAUCUUCAAUAAAUAUGUCAUAUGUGCAUUAUUAUUUGAUCAGCUUUAUGAUCAUUAAUUAUUGGCAAUCUAGCUAGUGCGUUUCUGUCUGGUAAAACGAAUUAAAUUCUUCAACACAAGAAGAAUCAAUCACAAAUUAAUAAAAGCAUAUUUGAGUUAAAGCAUUUAAUGUUCGUAGAAGUUUUAAUUUUAGCUUUAAUAAACCUUUUUUUUCAAAAUCCUUGCACCCCUCCCCACACCCUUUCUGCCCUCUAUUAUUAUUAGGUCGAACACUGGACAUAGUAGCGGAAAAGGUUCUCCAAGUUCACCGUCCAAUAAAUACAAUUUCAAAUUUGUUAGAAUAAUCAAGUAAAUUUGAACUUUUUUUUUUUUUUACCAGUUGAAUAUUCAACGCAUUUAAUCUUAUAUGUACCCCAAAAGCUAUGGGAAUCUGGAAGAAGACGCGAAACUUUUCACCUAAAAGUUAAAACCCUUAAUUAAUCACGUUGGCUGCGGUAAAGCUAUUGACCGCUGAAAAGGCUUACACUUUACCCUCGAAUUUCCUUGCAGCUUGGCUCAUUUUGCGGAUUGUUAAUUGGGUGUUCUGCGUUGAAUUAGGAAUUUAUAUACCAUCUCUCAUUGACUUUGACAGUCUAGACCAAAGUAACUUUUUUUUUUUUUUUAAGAUAACAGAUGGCUAGUAAAGUGGUUGAAUGUUAAACGCAAUUUUUUCCUGAGAUUUUAUAUUACUGUACAAUACUUUCUUGAGCAAAGGUGUGCCAGAUUCAUAUUUAUAAACCGGAAAAUUCAUCUUCGUCGUAGACUUUCAAUCUCAUGAAACAAAUCCAAAGUGAGACGUAGGAGGAUGAACCGAUGAAGGUAGUUCAUCAUCAAGGUUUUGCUAAUUAAUUACAUUCUUGUGACGAUAAACUGAUUUUUAUUCCUUUUGAUGAGAUAGGCAAGCCACAAGAAUUUAUGAGAACAUUGAUUGGACAACUGCGCAAAUUGAUGAUACCAUCCUUUUUCCAUAUUGCAUUCCCAUUAUUAUUAUAAAUUUUUUUUUUUCGGAUAGAAGCAAUCCCAUUACCAUUAGUUUACCGACGUGUGUCGAUUUAAUCAAACAUUGCCAUGGUCAACGGGCUCAAUAGCCGCUAGUAUUCCCAAAAAAAAAAAAAAAAAAAAAACUACUACUCCCUCCCUCCGUCCCACUUUGAUAGUCCUGUUUCUUUUUUCACACAAUUUAAGAAAAAGUAGUUAAUUUUGUUGGAAAAGUAAAUUUAGAUUGCUAUUUUCCUAAAAUACCCUUACAUUAAAUAAAGUACAAUUUUAUGGGAACUUGAAUUGAUGGUAAAAAAGAUCAACUCUUAUUAAAUGGGGUAGGUUUAUAGUAACAACAACUUACAUUAAAGAAACAACUACAUUCUUCAAUUAGAAAGUGGACUACAAUUUGGGACAGACGAAAAAGAAAAACAGGACUAUCAAAGUGGGACGGAGGGAGUAUAACAAUUUGCUUGAUUUGAUGCGAACGCCCCCACUGACUCCAUGUACAUUACUACAUGAGUAGUUGCGUUUUGACUUUCAUCAUCUUCCAAUUUGUUAAAGUCGUGAAAUAUAUAAAUGCUUGCGGGGGCUUCUCUAACUUUGACAAAGUUUGGAUUAUGCUUUUUGGCAGAAAAAUUAGAGAAAUGUUAUAUACACUUUCACUAUCAUUUUUGUUAUAUAAUUUGUAUAUAUUAGAUUAUAUAAUAUAACAAAUGAUAGGAGUAUAAACAAUAAAAUAUGAAGUGCAAAUAAUAAUUUUCGAAAACUAUCGGAAUAUUUUUUAUAUAAUUUUUAAUUAUCUUUUUAUUUCAUAUACAUUAAAUCGUUAUACUAUAUCUUCUAGCGAGACAAACAUUUACAUGGGGGUUGAAACUGAUCGCUUCUAAUAUUAAUUGUCUCGUUAUUUUAGAGAGAGAGACUUAUUUAUGUAUACAUCUAAUGUUGGAUAUUAGAAGCUGGAUAAUAUUCUAGAAUGCCGCAUCAAGUUUGUCGCUGCUUCUCUCUCAUCACAAAACACUCUGCCUGUACUGCUUGACGAUCAUUUAAGAUCCACCUCUAACAUAAGCACUAAAUUGCCGAUUCACUUUCUCAUUUUGCAAUUAAUACAGGAUAUCAUAAGUCAUGGUUGUCAAAAUUCUUAUGAUAAAAGGAAAAAAUUACAAUUGGAAACCUUUUUGUAUUAUUGAUUGAAUACUUUUUUUUGUUAUAUAUCUUGACGAUUAUCUCUUAUUUACAUCGCAUGAAGAAAAAUAUUAAAGUGAAUUAAUUGAAUAUCAUGAAGUAUAGGAAUUUUAGUUACAAUCUAUUGCAUUCCUAUUUCGCUUGGAGAAUAUGGCAAUCUUGUAGAAAUUUAAAAAAAAAAUUGCCUAUAAAUGAAAAUGUUAAUUUGCAAUGAAAUUAUGGAAAAAAAAAAUGGUCAAUCAUUCAUAUAAGCUAUUCAGGUGAGAAAUGUCAAAUACACCGAAGUUUGUAAUUCCACGAUGCGUUACUUGAAAUUUUUUUUAUAGAUAACCAUACGAGACAACUCGAGAAUUUUUUUUUCCCAUUUAAAUCUUCUGCUCUAAAAAAUAAAUUUUGAGAUAAAUUUGAAUAUUAAUGUGAUAGGCCCAAAGAGCCAACAGCCAUUGUAUAUGUCUUUACAUAUAUUGAGCUAAUUAAUUGUUACAUGUUGUGUUAAUUUCAAAACAAACUUUAGCAUAAGCAUUUAUUAUUAUUAGUAUUAUUUUAACAUUUAUGGUAUGGCUAGUACUUAUUCCGUCCCUCACAUUAAUAUUGAACUUUCAUUUUCAAGAAAAACCAUUUCGUCUACGAUUAAGUAAAAUGUCUUAAAUGAAGAUUGUGAAAUCACCAUCAGCAAGUCGACUUUCCCAUUGACGUGCCACUUAUCAGAAUAGAGCCAGAGGUUUUUCUGUCUACGCAACUGUUUAACUUUUUUUUUUUUUUGCCCAUGCUCGAGCAUUUUCAAUGGGCUGCAAACUGCCAAAUCUCUUAAAUGGGACAACGUUCACAGGGUUGACGUUGACAAUAAUAUAAGAAGCUCCUGAUUUUAUCUUCCUUUAUUUUGGGGCAAAAACCUCUUUUAAUCCUCAAAUUAUUUUUCAUUAGUAAUUGAUCACUAAACAAUUUUAUCGAACUGGUAAUUAUUUAGUCGAUAAUUGCUCUUAAUAAGUGAAAUUAGCAGUAUACACAUGACAUAUUGCGGGGGUAAUUUUAUCCAACAUCUAUGCGACGCUAUUUUACAGAUUAAGUGCUAAUUUCAUAAAUUAUGAGUAAUCAUUGAGAUCAAAUGAUCACGAGUUUACUGAUCAUGUUGUUUAGUGGUCAAUCAUUGAUAAAAAAAAAUAAUUUGAUGGCCAAAACACGAUCUGAUCAAUAGUUUAGUGAUGACGGAAGUUUUUUUCCCUUUGUUUUAUCUUUCUCACGGGACUUUGGAGUCGAAAAUGGGUCGACGGUCCAGUUGGGUUAUGGAAAUCCGCAGCCGCCGUCCAAUUGAGCUCAGGCAAUAGCAAGUUGACAAAUUGAUCAUUUAAAAUGGGGUUUCAAAUUAUACAAGCGAGAUUCAUUGUACGUAAUCCGGCGGCCACAGCCCCAGACGCAGGCGAUAGUACCCCCGUACCAGCACUCACAUUUCCGCAUCCAUCGAUUCAGUCAGGGAAAAAAAAAAGGCAUUCCUCCUCAUUUGACGGACUAUUAUUUCAUGCAAUACCUCUUUGGUGAUAAGUAUAUAUAUUGGUCCGUUGCGUGAUGAUAAUGCGUUGCCUAAUUCAAUACUCCUAUCUAAGUUGACUUCACAAUUCAAGUCUUGCAUUCCAUGACAUUGGGUCAACAUCAAAAAGAACCUUUCUUUCUUUCCUUCUUAUUAAAUAUUAAAAGAGAAGCUAAGGGCAAUAUAUUUCCUUCCUUGACGCAAGACUAAUAGACGCAACAGAACACACUAAUCGGUGAGUAAAAUAAAUGCGAAUGCUUCCGUCGUAAGAUCAUCCCCGUGUUGGCUAAUUUAUUCGUCUGCUGAAAGUCCAGCAAAUGCCCAAGAAUAAUGCAGGUAUCAGAAAAAGAUAUUGCUUCGAUUUACACCCUCCCCAAGAAUAAUACGGAUGAAGAUUAAUAAAUCAAAUGUAUAUUAUACCGAAGAAGAUAUUAGGGACGGUCAAUGUAAUAGUAGUUAAUUACAAGGUGAAAGAAGUAUGUAUCGUGUGGAAAGCUCUUGCAAAGUGGACUAGUUUCUUCUACCUUCGUUUCUAGCCAGGUCCAUGCUACCUCGCAGCAUCUAUUUCUCCUCCUUAUUUGUUUUGGGUUAAUAAGAGGGAUAAAUGCCGUGAAAAGAAAACUGAUUUGAAGGAACAUCACAAAUUGACAAUCCAUCAUGAAUGAUGAGGAAAACAAAUAUUAAUCUUGCUAAGGUCUGGAAACGGACUGUUUUUGGUUUGACAUUAAUUAUGCUUUCAUUCGUGAUGUGAACCUUUCUUAUUUGUUUUAUUUUAAACAAAGCACCAAAUUUGGUUCUUAAAUCGACUUGAGCCAAAUUUGGUCGUUGCUAAACCACACGGGGACAAUCAAGAAGCCCAAAAAUGUUGGAAAAUCUGUCUUUUUUUGGGGGGCUAGUUAUAAACAAUCAUAGGGGUAAGUCCAAUAAUAUCAUGGUGUGCUUAAAUCAGAAGAACCAAAACUAGGGUUGUGGCUUUGCCCAUAAUAAAACUUUAAAAGCCUGAGCCCUGUACUUGUUUUUAGUUGGCUUUAUGUCUAUGCCAGGUAAUUUAUCCCAAAAUAAAUAAAGAAAUAAAACAUAAAACAUCAUUCAGAAUAAACAUAUGUUCCAAUUAGGAAGGCAAUUCUCGUUCACUCAUGUAACAGGAAAUGUGCCCGGCAGUCUUAAGACUCGACUCCUAGUCCUAGACGGCUCAAAGCCAAGGUGAAUUAUAGAGAGGAGUUACAACGGACUUCACUUGAAGAUACUGAUCCAGGGCUUGCAUUCCAAAAUCUCUGCCAAACCCACUCAUUUUGUACCCACCAUACGGGCAGUCAAUGUCAAAAGCCCGGUAACAAUUUAUCCAAAUGACACCUGCCCGUAUUGAUCUAGACACCGUGUUGGCUAUGUUCAAGUCAUUGGUCAAAAUGCCUGCCGCCAGUCCAUACUCUGUGGCAUUGGCCCUCCUAAUCGCCUCCUCAACAGUCCUGCAGACGUGCCCCCGAAAAUUUUAGUACAUUGGCGGCAUGCAGCCAUGCAGGGCAAAGCCCAAGUAAAACUUACUUGAAUUUCAUGAGUGAAAUGACCGGUCCGAAGAUUUCCUCCUUUGCUAUUCGCAUAUCGUCCUGAGAGGUGUGCAGAAAGAAGAGCGAAACAAUCAGAAAUCAAGAAGGUGUCCUUUUUGAAACAUCCAAGGAAAGCGCAAGCUGUAAUCUACAUCCACAGCUUACCUUGACAUUUGAGAAGACAGUUGGCUCAAUGUAAUAUCCCCUGUCGCCGCAUGGUUUGCCACCUGUUAACAAUGUGGCGCCUUCUGCCUUGCCAAUUUCAAUGUAUGAUAGUAUUUUGUCGUACUGUUUCUUGUCUACCUGCAAAAUCAUACUAUUGACUUUACAAUUACAGUGAAGGAUUGGUAUCCUGCAAAUGGAAAUUGGCAAUUAUUCAAUGAGGAAUUCAUUCCCUAAUGGAGACAAAGGUUCAACGUGUAUGAAUUAAAAUGCUCCCAGGCCAAAAUUUGAACAUGACAAGGCCAUCCCACCCUCGUGAGUUGUGACCCUCCCUCCCCCAAAAGCAAAGAAACAAAAAAAAAAAAAAAAAACCUUUUCUGCUGGGACCGCUGGCUCUCUGCUUUCGUCUGUCAUUUUUCAUAUCGAGUUGGUCGGAUGCAUAAUCACGACAAAGAAAAGCAAGGUAGGAGAUGGGACUUCUCUGGAGUUUAGCAGAUAGAGAUAGUAGUAUGAUCUAGUUGGCACUUGGAACUACGUAGAAACUGUUUCUUCUCUUUUUACUAGCCCAAGUAUGCCUUGCAUUCUUUCUGAAGGACUGUAAUCACUAGAGAUGAAUCUUACUAAAUUGGGGUCCUUGGUCUCAGCGAGGAUCAAAAGGUUCAACGUGUAUGAAUUAGUAGUAUGCCCUAGAAUGCUCUCAGGCUUUCCGCAAUAAAGAAGAAGAGAUUCAAUGAUCAAUCUUACUUGGGGCCCCUGAUUUGAGCGAGGAUCAAACGGAUCACCAACAACCCACGUUUUUGCCAUCUCCACUAACUUGUUGGAAAAUUCUUCAUAAAUCCCUUCUUGGACAAAAAUACGAGAACUUGCUACACAGACUUCGCCCUGGAGAAAGUAUUACUAACUCUUAUCAGAACUACUUUUCCGUAGAUGAUUUAGCUAAAAUAAUUGCUACAAUCUUCACCUUGUUAAAUAGACUGCCCUGAAGUACAAGAUCAGCUGCAGUAUCAACAUCUGCAUCAUCAAAGACAAUGAAAGGGUUCUUGCCUCCAAGUUCCAGCGAGACUGGUUUCAAGUUACUUCUAGCUGCAGCUUCCAUUACUAAACGUCCAACUUCUGUGGACCCGGUAAAAGUAACCUACAGAGGGAAAAAAAGCCCGAAAAUGCUUGCUAUUAUGAUGUCAAAACACAAACACAUUUAAUUUCCUAGCAGGCUUAAUUUUUCAGACGGCAUUUUUCCAUGGAAAAAUAAGCAGCUGCAGAAGUUGAAGAUUGACCUUAUCAAUUUCCAUGUGAGAUGAAAUGGCAGCGCCAGCGGUAUGCCCAUAUCCGGGUACAACAUUAAAAACGCCAUCUGGAAUGCCAGCCUGCAGAUUGAAUAACGUCAGAGGAUAAUCAGUCGUUGAGCCCAAAAGAAAAAAAAGGUUGUUACAUUAAUAGCCUGUGGUAAUUUCUGUACACAACUGAUUGAUAUUACUCUAGAGGUGAAUAAAGCUGACCGAAAUCCAAUCUUACUUUCUUUGCUAAAUGAGCAAAGUAAAGAGCUGUAAGAGGAGUCUGUUCAGCUGGCUUUAUGACAACUGUGCAGCCUGCAGCUAAUGCAGGUCCAACUUUAAGAAAUAGAAGAUUGCUGGGAUAGUUCCAGGGAAUGAUGAUUCCAACGACUCCAAUUGGCUCGCGCAACGUGUAACCUUGAAGUUCCCUUGUCAUCUUCAAAGUUUCUCCGUGGAUUUUAUCAGCUGCUCCUGCAUAGUAUCGCAGAGUCUCGGCUACAACUGGAAUGUCGACGGCUUUGAGCCAAUGGAACAGCUUGCCAGCAUCAAGUGCUUCCAGGGCUGCUAUUUCUUCUACACUUUCAUCAAUUAAGUCCGCUAACUUCAUCAUUAAUCUUCUUCUCCCCUGAUUUCAUCAUCAUCAAAUUAUUAAGGUUGUUUGCGCGAGAGGGUUCAACUUCUAAGUAAUAGCAUGAUUCACUACCGAGUACUGACAUGAGCUCAACUACUUAAAACUGAGGAUGAAACUGGUGGAGAAAUGAAUUACAAUUCAGAAGGUUGAACCGUGAUUCGUUUAAAGUAGGAAACGAAAAAAAUUGGAUGGGAAUAGAAAAGAACAUACGGGGCCUGGGAAACGAGGCCAAGGGCCAUUGUCGAAAGCCUCUCGUGCAGCCUUUACAGCUAAAUCAACAUCUUCCUUGUCACCUUCCGCAAUUCUUGCUGUUGGUUCCCCAGAUCUUGGAUCAAUUGUCUCGUAUGUCUUCCCUAUAGAUGAUAAAAAAAAAAAAAAAAAAAAAAACCUGAUGCUAGUGAUUCCGUAAUGGUUACAUAAAAAAGGAACUGAUAAAACAAUAAAAUCAUUGCGUUGAUUAUGCUUGAGCUUGCUUAGAGUUGAAAUAUAAAAAUAUCUAGAACCAUUCAUCUUAACUUGUAAACUCCAAUACCAACAAGAAGUUACAGCUCCUGCGGGUAUACAACAAUAAAUCAAAGAAACUUAGACCCAAAAGAUUUCAUAAAAAAAAAAAAGCAAAGACCUGAGACAGAAUCAACAAAAUCUCCGUUGAUGAAUAGCUUGGUGAACUUUAUCUCAGGAACCAUGAAGGAAUCCUCUAAUUUUCCAUUGCAAACAGCUGCCAUUGAGGUGCAGUAUGGAAAAAUGGUAUAGUAGGUCUGUGAACUGUUGAAGCUAUUGGAAAGUGAGAGUAAUGUAGCACUACCACAAUCCUACUCUAAAAAGCCGACGGAUGACAAUGAACUGGCACUGCCCCUGACUUACUUGUAAUGCGUGGAUGAGGCCAAACGACAGGGAUAGCGUGUUCUGUUUAAAUGUUUAAUUGCACGCAGAUCAUGACUUCUUGAAAGCUUUGGUAUAAUUUAUUCACGACCUUUGGAAGCUUAAUUGGAUAAGCCAAAGUCUAAUUGAUUGCACCUGAAUCAUGACUUUCGGAAGCUUAAUUUUCAAGUUUUCCCCUUCAUGCAUGAGCCAACGCCUAAACGGGAACCUCUUUCGUAUACCCAUUUUUCCUUCCUAGCUCUGGCUUCACGGCACUAUUGUUCUAGAUACAAUAUAGGAGUAGUUAUGCUUUUGUGACUGGAAUUUGAGUGGAAAAGACAGACAUUUGAUUUUGAGGGAACAAGAAAGGAGAUGCCAAAAGAUAAAACUUUGAAUUUUCCGUCGGAAACUUGGAAAAGUGUCACUGACAAAACCAAUUGCGUUGCGUUGCGUUGCGUUGCGUGUCAAUUAUUACGGCUCCAUUUGGAUCAGUUGUUUUUGGGGUUGUUUUUAAAAAACAACACUGUAGCAUUUCGUUUUUGAAAUACAAGCCCGUUUAAAUUAGUUGUUUUUGAGAUUAUUUUUCAAAAACUAUAUGAAAACUUUUACUUGAGAUGUUUUUUGGAUUAUUUUUAGAGGUAUUUUUAAAACAUAUUUUUUGGUAUUUUUAUAAUUUAUAAUUUUUAUUUUUAUAUACAUUUAUGCAUUUAUAAUACAUUUAUAAAUAUUUAUAAAUAAGUAUAUUUAUAUAUUUAUAUAAAAAUAUAUAAAUGUAUUAUAUUAUAUAUAAUACAUAAUAUAAAUAUAUUUAUAAAUGUAUAAGUGUAUAUUAUUAUAAAUGUAUGAAUUAUAAAUUAAUAUUAUAUAAAUGUAUAAAUUAUAAAUUAUAAAUUAUAAAUUAUAUAUUUUUUAUAUAAAUAUACAUUUAUGCAUUUAUAAUACAUUUAUAAAUAUUUAUAAAUAAAUAUAUUUAUAUAUUUAUAUAAAAAUAUAUAAAUGUAUUAUAAAUUUAUUAUAUUAUAUAUAGUACAUAAUAUAAAUAUGUAUAAGUGUAUAUUAUUGUAAAUGUAUAAAUUAUAAAUGAAUAUUAUAUAAAUGUAUAAAUUAUAAAUUAUAAAUUUUAUAUUUUUAUAUAAAUAUACAUUUAUGCAUUUAUAAUACAUUAAUAAAUAUUUAUAAAUAAAUAUAUUUAUGUAAUGUAUAAAUUAUAAUUUUAUUAAUAUAUAUUAAUAUUAUGUGUAAAUGUAUUAAUAUAAUUAAUAUAAAUGUACAAAUGUAAUAUUAUGUAUAAAUGUAAAAUUAAUAUUAUGUAUAUUAUUAUAAAUGUAUAAAUGUAUUAUAUUAUAUAUAAUACAUAAUAUAAAUGUAUAUUAUAAAUAUAUAAUGUGUAAAUGUAUAUUUAUGUAAAUGUAUAAUAUAUAAUAUAUAAUAUAUUAUACAUAAUUUAUAUAAUAUAUAAUAUUCAUAUAAAUAUAUUAUAAAUAUAUAAAAUUAUUUUUUAAAUAAAAUAAUAUAUUUAUAAUAUGUAUAAAUAAAUAAAUAAAUAUUUAAUAUAUAAUAUACAUUAAUAUUAAUUACAAAUAUUAUAAUAUUAUAAAUAUGAUGUUAUAUAACAUUUCAAUUUGUAAUAUUUAUUCUAUAUUUCAUUAUAUAAAUAUUUAUAUAAUAUAUAAUAUAUAAAUAUAUAAUAUAUAAUUUUCAAUUUGUAUAAUAUACAUAAUAUAGUAUAUAUAUAAUAUAAUAUACAUAAUAUAAUAUAUUUAUACAUAAUAUACAUUAUUACAUUAUUACAUAUUAUGUAUAUUAUAUAUUAUACAUAACAUUAUUAUGCAUUAUUAUACACAAUAAUGUACAUAAUAAUAUUAUGCAUUAAUAAUGUAUAUAUUAUAAUAUAAUGUAUAUAAUAUAUUAUGUAUAAAUAUUUACACAUUUAUGUAUACAGUAUUACAUGUUAUGUAUAUUAUAUUAUAUUAUGUAUAAUAUACAAUGUUAUGUAUAAUAUUAAUGUAUAUAAAUAUUUAUUUAAUAUAUAAUAUAUAUAAUUUUCAAUUUGUAUAUUUCAAUUUAUAUUAAUAUAAUAUAUAUAUAAUAUACAUAAUUGAAAUAUACAUAUGUAUUUAUUUUUGAUAUAAUGUUUGGAUAUGGUGUUUUUGGAGUUGUUUUGGAAAUACACAUUUACUGUAGCAUUUGGAAUGUGAAAAACAGUUUUUCAAAAACAGCCCAAAAAAUCAGGGAUCCAAACGGACCCUACAUCUUUCAAAGACGGGCGUAGGGACUAGGGACCAAUGAUGGGCCUAAAUGCCGCCAUUUACCUAAAAGCAAUCUUGGGCCUAAAUGCCUACAAACUCAUCGUCAUUAAUUGGCCAAUUUUUCCAAAACAAUCACAAAUUGUCGUGAUAAAUCCCUUUCUUUUUUAACGUGAUUGUAACUCUAAAACAAUUUUCUUUACAAUUGUGGAAAAAAUUCAAUUUAUAUUUUGCUAUUAUAAGAGUUUUCAGCCAACAUUAAUGUAAUAUUUCUUAUCUGAAUGUGCAUGUGACGUGAGACUAAAAACAAAAUAGUUGGACAUAUCAUUCUAGUUUUCAGCAACAAUUUCUUGAAAAAUUAACCAUUAAACUGGAGCCUUAGUGCUUAGUUGGUUUUUUUUUUAAAAAAAAAAAUUAUACCAUUUUAGUUCUCAGUAACAAUUUCUUGAAAAAUUGACCAUUGUAAUAAUAGUUAAUCAUUCUUUUGAGAUCCUAUCCCCUUAAAAAGAAAUCCCGAUCUAUCCCAUAUGAAAUCCGUAAACAUCACUGAGAAAUUUAGGCCUUGUUUGGAUUGUGAUUUUUCGUCGGAAAAUUAUAUCGUUUUCCGUGAUCACAUUUCUCUAUUACCUUUUUUUCUCACAUACAUCAAAUCGCUAUAGUAAUUUUUCUAUGAAAAAUCAUGAAAAAUGCAAUCCAAACACAACCUUAAACAUCCGUAAAACAAUUACAUCAUCUCAAGGAAGGCAUUUCGCGUUUCCUGCAACAGGAAAGCCAUUCACCCAGUGGUCAAAGCCAAGGUGAACUAUAGAGAGGAGUUUCAAUAGACUUAGUAUGAAGAUACUGAUCUAGGGCUUGCAUUCCAAAGUCUCUGCCAAACCCACUCAUUUUAUACCCACCAAAUGGACAGUUAACAUGAAAAGCCAGGUAACAAUUUAUCCAAAUGAUUCCUCCUGCCCGGAUUGAUCUUGACAGGGUGUUGGCUAUGUUCAAGUCCUUGGUCAAAAUGCCUGCCGCAAGUCCAUAUUUUGUGGCAUUGGCUCUCUUUAUCGCGUCCUCAACCGUCCUGCAGAUUCGCAACACGGCCCCAAAUUUAAAAACAAAAUCAACAGUCCGAUAAAAUGGUUAUAGUGCUGAUUUGUUGAACUAGAUUGCAUUAGAACUUGCUGCAAAAUAUUCCAUUUGGAGCCAAAGCCCAUGUAAAACUUACCUGAACUUCAGGAGCGAAAUUACAGAUCCCAAGAUUUCUUCCUUUGCUAUCAGCAUAUCGUCCUUAGAUGCAUGCAGAAAAAAGAGCGAAACAAAAAGAACUACAACAUUAAUCAAGGCGUCUUUUCUGAAACAUCCGGAGAAAGAGAGAGCCUAUAAGUUAAUUAAAGACAAAGCUUACCUUAACAUCUGAGAAGACUGUUGGCUCAAUGCAACUAAUAUCCCUUCUCGCCGCAAGGUUUGCCACCUGUUAACAGCGUGGCACCUUCUGCCUUACCAAGUUCGAUGCAUGACAGUAUUUUAUCAAACUGUUUCUUGUCCACCUGCAAAAUCGUUUGAAUUUUAGAGCAUCUGAAGGAUCUUGUUAGGCUGUUGCAGAAAAUUGUGUAUAAAGGUUCUGUAAAUGGAAAUUGACAAUUAUUCAAUGAGGAAAUCAUUCCUUGAUGACCAAAAAGCUUCAACCUGUACGAAUUAAGAAGCUCUCUGGGUUUCCAUAACGGAAAAGAAAGUUUCAAAUGAUCAAAUCUUACUUGGGGUCCCUGAUCUGAGCGAGGAUCGAAAGGAUCACCAACAACCCAAGUUUUUGUCUUCUCCACUAAUUUCUUGAAAAAUUCUUCAUAAAUCCCUUCUUGGACGAAAAUACGAGAACUUGCCACACAUACUUCGCCCUGGAAAAAGAAUUUAACUCUUACCACACCUACUUUCUGUAGAUAAUUCAGUCAAUAUAGUUCCUACAGUCUUCACCUUGUUGCAUAGACUGCCCUGAAGGACAAGACUAGCUGCAGUAUCAACAUCUGCAUCAUCAAAAACAAUGAAAGGGUUCUUGCCUCCCAGUUCCAGUGAAACUGAUUUCAAAUUGCUUUUAGCUGCAGCUUCCAUUACUAAACGUCCUACUCCUGUGGACCCAGUAAAAGCAACCUAUAGACCCCAAAAAAAAAAAAAAAAAAAAAAAAAAAAAACCAAAACUUCUUCAAAUUGUGAUGUCAACGUGCAAACAUGUAAUUUUCAAACCAAAAAUUUUCCCGGAAAAGGAAGCAAUUCUUUAGAAGUUGAAAAUUGAACCUUGUCAAUAUCCAUGUGAGAUGAAACGGCAGCACCAGCGGUGUGUCCAUAUCCUGGUACAACAUUGAAUACUCCAUCUGGAAUGCCAGCCUGUACAUCGAAAAUGUACGAGGAUAAUCAAUCAUUAAGGCCAAAAGAAAAAAGAGGUUGGAUAAGUAGCCUGCUAUGAUCUGUAUACACCGUUCCGUUGACAUUACUCCUGAGGUGAAUAAAGCUGACCAAAAUUUGAUCUUACUUUCUUUGCUAAAUGAGCACAGUAAAGAGCUGAAAGCGGAGUCUGUUCAGCUGGCUUUAUGACAGUUGUGCAGCCUGCAGCUAAUGCUGGUGCGACUUUAAGGAACAGAAUAUUGCAGGGAUAGUUCCAGGGAAUGAUGAUUCCAACAACUCCAAUUGGCUCGCGCAAGGUGCAACCUUGAAAUUCCCUCGUCAUCUUCAAAGUUUCUCCGUGGAUUUUAUCAGCUGCUCCUGCAUAGUACCGCAGAGUCUCAGCUACAAGGGGAAUGUCAACGGCCUUGAGAUAAUGGAACAACUUCCCAGCAUCAAGUGCAUCCAGGGCUGCUAUUUCCUCUACAUUUUCAUCAAUCAAGUCCGCGAAUUUCAGAAUCAAUUUUCUCCUCCCCUGAUUGCAUCAUCAUAGAGAAAUUAAUCAAAAUUCAAAAGGCUGUAAUAUGUGUUACUUUGCCUUCAAUCAGGAAAGGAAAGAUCUAAGGGAACAGAAGAACAUACGGGGCCUGGCAAACGUGGCCAGGGGCCAUUGUCGAAAGCCUCUCGCUGCAGCCUUUACAGCUAAAUCAACAUCUUCCUUGUCACCUUCUGCAAUUCUUGCCGUUGGUUCCCCUGUUCUUGGAUCAAUCGUCUCAUACGUCCUCCCUGUAAAUGAUCAGAACCGAUACUGUAUCAUCUCAUAAAAUUUUUCAUUAAAAAAUAACUGAUAUAAGAAUACCAUUGAUUGAUCAUAAUCAUAUGCUUGAGCUUGCUUAGAGGUACAUAUACUACAGUAGCAUAUUCAAAAAUUAGAACCACAAAACUUGUGAAUGUAAACACUACCAGCAAUAUGAAAACUUAUAAUUCCAAAAAAUACAAAAUGAAAUCACAGAAACUUAAGCCAAAAGAAUUCAGGAAAAGCAAAGACCUGAAACAGAAUCAACAAAAUAUCCAUUGAUAAAUGGCUUGGUGAACCUUAUCUUUGGAAUCACAGAUGAACCCUCUAAUUUUUCAUUGGUCUCCGCAGCCAUUGAGGUAUAGCAUGGAAGCAUGGUAGCAGGUAUACGAAUUGCUAAAGCUAUUGCAAAGCGAAAAUAAUGUUGUAGGACACUGAACUGACACAAUUCCCAGAUUAGUUGGAACACAUGGACGGGGCCAAAUUAUACGGAUAGUGUGUUUUGUACUGAACUUUGCAUGUGAAUCAAUAAUCAUGACUUCCUGCUCCUGGAAGCUCCCUUCAAUCAUAAGCCAAAGUCUUGUGUACCCGCAGGAUCACGGGUCUCACGCGUUCAAUUUCAGUCCAAUUGAGGGCAAAUUAGUUUCUUUUAAUUUUCUUAUACUAUAACCUUUGCUUGUUUACACUUUGUCUAGAUUUAUUUGACGGUAUACCUUUACCUGUUUGAACUGGAAGUUUUGGAGCCGCUGGUGUGGUGAUUAUGGCACCUCUUGCAUCUUUUUACGCAGUGAUGAUAGUAUAGCUGGUUCACGUACUCACGUCACUACUGCGUCGGCUAAAAUAGAAUUUUUACGUUUUUUAUUUUCAAGCUAGUGAAUUAAAUUUGUUAGUCUACUCUUAAAAUCAUCCCAAAUCCCUUUAAUUAUUUGAAUUAUUUAGGAGGUAUUUAAAUAUAUAAAUUACAAAUUAUUAUGAUAUUUGAAAUAUAUUUUGAUAAUUAGUGAAUUAUAAAUUUGAAUACCUCUUAAAAAAAUCCAAAUAAUUAGAGAGAUUUGGGCGGAUUUCAAAUCUUUCAUUAAAUCCCUUAAUUCGAACGAAGGAUGAAAGUUCUUGGUAAACUAUUUGAAAUUCACUCAAAAUCGCUCUAAUAGUUUGAAUUGCUUAAGAAGUUUUAGAUUUGUUAUUCAUUAAUUAUUAAGAUACAUCUUAAAUAAAUAUUAUAAUAAGCAGUGAUUUACAAAUCCAAAUGGCUCCUAAGUAAUCUAAACAACUAGAGGGAUUUGAAAAGAUUUUAAAUCUUUCACCAAAUCUCUCAAUCUAAACGGAAGCAGAGAUAAUUUUUUGAUGUUUAGUUUCGAUAAAAUAACAAUGGAAAUGACGUUCAAAACUGCAAUAUUAGUUGGAAACUUGACUAGUCCGAAGCCGGGUGUAAGGCAGUGGAGAUUUCAAAAGCGCCCCAACCAACAGAGCGAAAUUCAUUUGGGCUAUCAUUCAGCUGAAAAUGAUCUUGGGCCCAAAUCACGGAGACGGAUCCUAACCGGGUUGGACUACCAUUUAUGGCGUUACGACUCUUAAACUGUUUAGCCGUCUGUUCCCUCAAGGGAAGUCUGACAACGACUGAUAUCUGUGGGCCGAAAUGGAUUCCGGGGUUAAGAAAAUCAUGAAUGUAUAUAUUUAAACCCAAAUCCCGUAAGAAAAUCAUGGGUUUGGGUACAUGUGAUCAUGUAAGGUUUGUACUCGUAUAAUCUGAACCCAUAUUCAGACCGAGAUUCAUGAUUAGUUGAUGAUAUUUUUUUAUCAAGAGAGUUAAUUGACGAUGUUUUACGCUUAUUAGUUCAUAAUUCUUACUUUUAACAUUCUUGAACGUGAAAUUCAUUUCUGCAUCAAAUCGCCUUAUGGAAUUGCCAGUCCAAACUUCUUGGAUAUCAAUAAUAUUGGUAUUUAUGUCAUUUAAUUAGUGCCUUGCACAUUUGGAAUCAAAGUCAAUAUAACCACAGUGCAAGAGGGUAAUAUGUCAUGUUUAACUUCAGAAGGGUAAUUGCCCAGAUUUUGACUGCAACUUUUUCUUUCCUUCCUUUUUCCUCAAUUUCUAACUCCUUCAAACAUAUCUUCUAUCAGAAUAAUGGCCUAGCACCCUUAAACUUUUUUUCACUCAAUGGCCUCUCAAUAUGGAAGAUGAAUUACUCUCUUUAUCUAUUCUACACAAAUAGGUUUAGAUUUGUAGUAACGUAACCUAAUAAUCUCAGAAACUCUUUGUAAAAUUUAGUUAUGCAUGCUUGUGGCAGUAAUCUAGAUUUCAACCGAUGGUGUGCAGAAAAUCUUUUGCUAAAGUCAUCCAUUAUAUACAGGCAACCAAUUAUCUCUGAUUGAUUAACCAGGUCUUUUGAGUUUCUAUUUGCUCUAGAUUAACUCCAUCUCCUACUUUUAUCUAUAAAAGACAAGGUACAUACAAUACGGUUCAGCGAAAUGGAAUUCAAAGUCGUAUUACCAUCCAUGCACUUUUUUAACACUCCUCUCCAUACAAUACACCCCAUGAGCUCCCCAUGUUUGAAGAACAAGCCUACGAGCUGAGUUUCUGUGGAAACCAUGCUCGAUCAGUUGAAACUGAGUUUCCACCAAAUAGAUGCAUUGAGCAUAAAGAUAUGACUCAAGAUUGCCAUAAACCAACAUCUUGAUCACCACACUACUUAUGCCUUCUCCACAGAACAUGAUCACUAUACAUUAAGCCACCACUAAAACGUACUAAUCAAAGUAUUCUUACACGUCCGCGUCGAUCCUUUUCAUGAAAAAUGCUUGGAGGGAUCAGCAAAGCGCAUCGAGAAAGAUCGAGACAGGAGAUCAUUCUGAACUGGUUCAUCAUCUAACAUCUGCCCAUCAUCAAAGUUCUGCAUAUAACUUUGUGCAUCGUAAGGGGACUUCACCUGCACCCGAGGCUCAAGUAUUUUCCUCUUUUCCUUCAGCAACUUUCUCCAUAAUGCCUUCAAGGACUGCUUCUUGAAUCCUGGGGAAUUAUUUUCCUUAGCUGCAGCGAACUUUUCGAGCUCGUUGUAAUCGUAGGGCCGUCCCAGAUAGAUGUUUCGUGUACUGCUCGACCUGCGCGGCCAAUUGCCUGUGACGUCCAUAGCUGUACAGAGCAGCCAAGAAGCAAGUUACGCAUCACCGCAGGGAGAAGGCCGUCAUAUAGGAGGGCCUAUCUAACUAAUAGAGGUGGGGUGGUUUUUGAUGACUAGAUUAGUCCAAAUUGACUACCAGAAUUUGCUAUCAUUGUUGGAGUAUAAAUUUCUUCGAUCAAAUUUGACCGGCCAACCAUAAAAGAAUUGUGUUUGGUCAGGGAAAUUUAUUAAAGAUUGGGAUUUGACAAUUGGUACAAAGCGGGUGUGGAAUUUGUAGCAGCUUGCUUAUCCAAGUUGUAUUUGUAUGGGUCCUCCAUAUAUAAAUAUAUCCUUUUUGACCUUCAACUAGAAGCACGUGAUUUGCACAAAGGAGGAUCGUUUUGGGCAAUUUGACACAGCUAGAGCUUUUUCUACUAAGCUUCCAGGGUCCUUAACCAAAAAAAAAAAAAAAAAACUAAUAAGCUUCUGGGGUUGGACUUUAGCCUAAAAUGAUGCCCAAAAAGAUCCUGUUCAAAGGUUGCUCUUAUUGACAUCUAAAUAAUAAACCGGAGCUAAUUCUUGAUUUGGCCCUUCAGAAUAACAAAUGUGUCAUCAAAAUAGAGGAUUGCGUACAUCAAUUGAAACGCUCAACUAAUUGUACUAUUUUUUUUUUCCAUUUUGACACUCCCAAGCUCCAAAAGUGUUCGAUAUCACUCCUAUAACCGUGCAAUUAGUUUCUGCCGUUUUGGCCCUUUAAUUACAAAAAGGCUUUGAUGGAUCAAGUGAAACCUUCGGUAUUCCAGGGGCUCAAACCACAAACAAUAGAAUGCUAAUGUUCAAGAUGAAUAACUAAUUAUCAAAAUGGUGAAUUGGCACGUUCACAAAUCACAUGUUUUGGAAGAGUAGGCCUGUUGUAGACGGAACAGAAAUUAAGCAAGACGGUGAUAAAGAAGAUUGAUAGCAUUCCUUUGGUGCAGGGAUAUUAAAUCUCAAUACAGUGCGCCCCAAAAGAAAUGGGAUACGGGCUGCAACCGUUUGUGCCGAUUGUCCUCAUUUUGCACUGCGCGUAAUAUUGGUUAACACGAUGUAACUUUUUUUUCACAGGAUGUAUUUUUAGAACAGAUAGUGGUAGACCCCACACUUGGCGCGGAAAUCGAGUUACAUGGUGUAAUCUCAACCGCACAAAAUUUUGAGGGCAAAUCUUGGCCCUUAACCGUGCAGGGACGGUCAUCAGUAUGACCGUCCCUGCCCCAAAUCCAAAGAAAUGAGGGAGGACUGGGUAUUGUUGAUUUGACAUUAUGGAAUAGGUGCUUGGCGUUAAGGGUUAUAUGGAAUAUUUGCAGCAAAUAAGAGAUUCUUUAUGGGUUAAGUGGGUAUGUGCAGUUUUGCUCAGGAAUACAUCAUUUGGUGCGUGAAAAUACCUUGAAACUGCUCGUGGGAAAGGAGAAAGAUUUUGCAGUUGAAAACCAUGUUUCAGCCUCACAUUGGGAAGGUUCUUGGAAACGGGAAAAGUAUAAAUUUCUGGUACGAAAGUUGGCACUUAGUGGACCAUUUGUACUAGAAAUAUUCCAUGAAACUUUUGCAUUGUUUUGGAAUUUCUUCAGCUGAUCGUGGGGCUAAUUGUAUAUCAAAUGGCAAGUGGAGAUGGCCUGUAGGUAGGAAAUGCACUAGAGAAGUAAAGGAAUUAACGAGAAGCUACUCCUCAGCUAUUAGUGCCUUUAGCUGAUCAGGAAGAUGGCACUUAUUGGGCUGCUCAUGCUUCUGGUAACUUCACCGUUAAAUCUGCUCUCAAGUUGUUGAGACGAUUACAUGGUAUAGUGCCUGGCACCCUUUAAUUUGGGGAAGAAGCAGUAUUCCUCUGCUUUCUUUCAUUUUAUGGCUGUUAUGCAAGCGAUGACUGCAUAUGUUAGUUGAAUAUACCAAAGAUUUUCAUCCAUAUAUAUAUAUAUAUAUAUGAGGUGUUGAGUCACUCCAUUCAUUGCCAAUUGAUUUUGACACAAAAGUCCAACUUAUUUUAACAUAUUAUCAGAGUUGGGCCUUGUGUUUGUUUGUCAUUUCAUGGGUUUGUUUGUUACUCCGUUUAUUUCAUCCGUGACUUGGCUCUUGCUCUAGUUUAAACCCAUUUGUCAAGUCACGUUUGCGAGAGGGUGUUAGUUGAAUAUUCCAGAUUGAUAUUUUAAGAAUUUUCAAUCAUAUAUAUAAGGUGUUGAGCCACUCGACUAUUGCCAAUUGAUUUUGAAAUGAGAGUCCAACUUAUUUUAACGGAAUACAUUUGAUAGGGUGUGAAGACAGGGUAUGGUUCUUCAGGAUAGUAGCUGCGUGUUUUGCUUGGAGGUUGAAGAGCCCAUAGAUCAUAUUUUCUUUCAAUGCAGGGUUGGGACCUGGGCUUUGGGAUGGGGAUUAUCAUUUCAAUGCUUUAGCAGUGUAAAUAGUUAGCUGUUUUUUCCCCCCUAUCUAACUUUCUUGCGGAAAUAAAUAAAACAUCUUUGAUUCUUUUUUUUUUUAAGAAACAAGUGACUCACAUACUUAUUCUAUGAUUAACAACUUAGUUUUAGCAACGUGACACGUGCGAUGACUGUUGGUUCGCCCAAAUAUUAGGAGUGCAUUACUCAUUUUGAUUCAUGUGCUGAAGGAAAUUGUAGAGCAAACGUCUAUCUAAUGAUCCAGCCAUUAAGAUAGGAGCUGCAAGGUAUAAAACGAUCAGAAUGAAUUAAAGUUCUUGACAAAUUUAACAAAAUUAAUGCAAGUGUCCACCAAAACGGCAAGAGCAACUUGAAACUCUUGAUCAUUGAUUGAAUAGCCAAGAAGCCUUGUUGAUGCCUUCGUUAACUCAUUCAACGUCAGGAAUUGGGCAAUUACGACAAUUAUCGCCAGAAAUGCUUCUUUUUUUUUUAUUAUUAUUAUACCUCUGAACCAAUUUCUUUACAAGCGUAGACAGAAGUACAAAAAAUGUCAUAUAUCUCCGUCCAAACAAAUGGAGAAAAUACAUAAAGAAUUUAAUCAAUACUAGUAAUUUCUAAAAAAAGAAUUGGGGCCCAGAAGAAAGAAUGAGCUCAAUGAACCAAGUAUGUAAUAGCCAGCGCAACCACUAGAAGAACAUAGGCAACCCCUUGAUCAAUUGCAGCGCCUGCAUUCAAAACCAUUAAGAAUAGAUUAAGACUUAAUUGACAACAACUACCAGUAGCUGAAAAAUGCUAAAAGUAAAAGGCAAAAAUCGAAUCAGGACUUGAUUAGAACAAGACGAAGAAUAUGGAAAAGGGACUCACCAUCAUUAGAAGGAGGGCCGAUCGGUGCAGGGGAAGGGGCCGUGAUGCUUUGUCCACGGCUCAAUUCAAAAAGCGCCAACAUGAUGAAACCGAUAAUUGGAAGUGCAAACGAUCUGGCGGAGUUCAUCCUGUCUAUAAUUGGAAGAAACAGAGUAGUAUUCCAAAGGGGAGCAAAAAAAAAAAAACAAAACAAAAAAAGGAUUGAAUUGUCUGUGAGGUUGAAGGGAAGAAAAGUUGAAAGAAUUGGCGAAAUGGGAAACUGAGGAUGGGAGGACGAAUGAAGAAAGUGCGGGAGGUCCUAUAUAUAUAUAUAUGUGUGUGUGUGUGUGUGCGUGUGUGUAUGUAUCUAUACUGGGGGUAAGGGACAGGGGGGGGGGAACGUGGGUACGGAGUUGGUUAGAGGGCAAAAACAAGAAAAUGAAGGUUCUGGGAAAUACUAGCUGGAGAGGAGCAGGAGUGAGGUAAAAGGUACGCGCCAAACUAGCACGGUGUCUAUAAUUUGACGACGCGGCUGGCGGCUCCAUUGACCCAAUAUUAUUAUUUCCUGUGGGAACUGGGAAGAAAGGAAGCCAUGAUGGUGGGGCGGGGAAGAGUGGUGGGACGGUAUGAUUGGUAGGACGUGGACGUUAGUUGAAGAAUCGACCACUUCAUUGUUCUAGAAGUCAAAUUAGUCAGCCAAAUGAUAAUACCCCCUCCAACGCCAAAUUUGCCUCGUUAGUUAGUGCAAAGAAAACUAGAAAAGAAAGGUCUUUCUCUGCGACACCACACGGAGAAGAGAAAAGGAAAAGGAAAACAAAAAUAAAGCAGGGGAAAAUGGUCUUGGUACCUAAUUUUCAGUUUUUUGUAACAUCUACCACAUGGCAUAUGCUUGCUUGUUGCUUUCCAGAUGUUAGAUUAUUGGUACGAGUUUUGCAGCAGUCACAGUUAGGCAUCGUCGUUUAGAUCUUUGAGGCUAAGCAAACUUUUCAAAAAUUUUCAGACUUCUUUAAGUCAAGAAAGUUUAGUCCUAUCUACUUGGUGGCUGUUGCCUCUUCUUCUUCUUCUUCUUCUUCGGGUGUUAAAAAUACGAGGGGAACUAGAGAACGGGGCUUCUGUGUCAUAUCGCAAAUGGAAAGCGCCAUCUGAGAACGGGCUGGGAUUCGGGAAUACAGAGCCAUGUGACAGAUGGGGCACCCUGGCGGUUGCCAGUCUCUGCAAGAACCUUGGGCCAGUUUUUAUGUUCACAGUUUCUGGAUUGACUACAAAACUACUAUACAGAUGAUGGGCCGGGGAAGACUUCUAGUGUUGGGCCGAUGAAUAACACAAAUGAGACCCAGCUGAUACAAGGAAGCCACCAAAUUCUGUAAUGUUUAAGGAAGAGUCGGUAGCAGUAAUUCCGUCGAAGGAUUUGCCUUCUACAAUGUUGCAUAAUUGUAACUUGAAAACAAAUUUGAUUACUUAAAUCCUUCUCGACUAAGAUCACCGGAGAGAUUAGAGAUUAUACAUCACCCGUCCAGUCUUACUCGGGCAUAUGCAUCCAAGAACUGUAAAGAUUAGACAGCUACAGGCCUACAAUUCUACCAAAGAGAAGGGGAGGCUAAUAUUUGGCAAAUUGUAGCUAAAAGGUGACCAAAUCCUAGCUUUAGAAGAAACUGAAGUUUGUAUAAUGUGUAUCUCGUUACAGAACUCCUUUUUACAUAGCCAUCCAAAAAAAAAAAAGGAACUGGUGGUUUAUCUGAUAUGAAGAGCAAGAAAGAUAUUGUGCAUGGGCAUCAACAAACCAUCGUAUCCAGAUAAUUUUUGACCCAAAAUGAUGUGAUUUCCUAAUUGCAUUCCAUUGAUUUUCUCUGCUCUACAAGAAGACCUGAACAAUCCUCGACCCAUUACUAGCUUGCACUUGCAGGGGCAACUUCAAAAUGUGAAAUGUGACCUACCAAGAAGUCAAGUGUGCAGGUAAAGAGCAAGUACAUCUUCUCACAUCUUACCUGGAACGGCAUCAGUUCUUCUGUGUCUUUUUAUGGAACCCCUGACUAGGAACUGCAUCAGCAUCACCCCACUCCCUGUCCCCUAAACCAGAAAGGCCGUUUAAACAAAAAGCCGCCCUCGUGUACGUACAUAUGAUCCAACACAAUAUCAGUCCCUGUUACUAUCACACUUGCGAAGGAAACCACCAAAAUAAGACUAUGUCCAAUGCCUUUCCGAAUAUAGAUUUGCUUUCCCCUACAUCAUGCUUUAAUGAGAAAGUAGAAACCUUCCUGGUUUGAUUCGCUGGCAAAUAAUUGGCCCCUCAAAGUUCAGCUCUUCCCUAGACAGUCGCAACAAAACAUAGAAGAAACUUUUUCCUUUCGCUGUAAAAGAAUGUCCAUUCAGGCAAUUAUGAGACUUUUCACUCUUGCAGUUAAAAAGAUUUCCAUGAUAAAUUUGGGAUCAUCAGUUUCAUAUAUACUGAAAUGAAAAAAACCAAGUUUACACAGUGUUAGUAAGUAGCAUUUAUUAUGCAAGAAGUGAUUCUCCAGUCCUAGAAACCACUGAGUUUAGCUCAAUAGCCACCAUGGAGGACUUAAGUCCUUCCUUGGGCUGUAGGUAAGGGUUCAAAUCUCACCUGCAGCAAAAAAAAAUCUAAGGAUAGCGCUAUAGCAUUCCAUUGAUUUAGAUGGGUCCGUAGCCCCUAACACAAGCCUCCUUAGACUCUUCUUUCCCUUAGAUUAGGAUAGAGUAGGUUAUACCCUAACACAAGCCUCCUUAGACUCUCCCUUCCCUUAGAUUAGGAUAGAGCAUGUUAUACAAUGCAUCGUUACUGGUAAAAAAAAAAAAAAAAGAUUGUCCAGUCCUGGAAGCAACUGUGGUAGUGUGUCUGGACAAGUUUAUAACUAUGUUUUAACUUAUCAGGCCAUGGCUCAGCGAGAGUUAGGCAACUGUGACUCAUUUCGUCGGACAAAGACAAAUCAGCUUACUUACUAAGCAAUUACAACAGGACGCCUUGUACCGUUAAGCAAGGCAAUCAUACCCGAAACUUCCUAACAUCCCUCCUAUGCUAUAUACGAUGCCAAAAAUUCACAAAACCGUACAAAUAAGCUACCAGCAUAUUAAUACAAGAGCAAGAACAGAAGAGAAAACGAUAUCAGGCGGAUUCAAGCAAGAAGAUGUGCCAUCAGGACGGGGGAUAUUCAUAUGCAGACUCGAGGAACUUGGAGGCGCAAAGGAGAAGGCGUGGCUUCCUGGAAUCUGGUGAGAUCGAUGACUAUAUACAAAGAACAACGAGAGCGUCUGAAUCUUCAGGACGAGCAAACGUGGCGAAGCUGCAAUGCCUAUGUUCGCCCACCCAUCAUCCAGGCUCCUUUAGGUGCAGACAGCAUCAGGCUAAAUAUGUGUGGGGGGCGAGGUUGUGCAGGAGUUUUGGAAGCUGAGUAGAAGAAAGGAUACAGUUCAGUCCGUGGAUGUUCACAUGUAACAACAUUUCUGUGGUUCACAGGAUGGAGAUUUAUAUCAUCAUGUAUACAAGUUUGCUGCCUCUGUCCAAACACUUCGCUCCUUCAAUCCCCAGGAUCCUCAACCAAAUGCUCGUUGCUGUACUUUCAAAUUAAUUAAUUGUACUGAAUUUUAGUCUCUUGAAUAAAAUUUUUUGCAUCCAGAUACGGGAGGAUACAAAGGCUUGAAAAUUAGUCCAUCAAAUAAGAUCUCAAACAACUAUCCAUACGCUGCAAUUGAGUCCACGGCUUGGAUUGCGAAUGAGUUUGCGUCUACUUUGCAGGUUCCUCAGUGUACUCAGUCAUGUGAUAAUCGUCGGACUACACGUCAGCCGCUAAUAAACCUGCGGCAAUUCGACUCAUUUCCGCCAGACAGUCAUCUUUGCUGAUCUUCCCUUAUCCUUUUACUAGUUGAAAAAGGCCGUCAUUCGUUUUCUUUUCUUUUUUUUUUUUAUAUACUUUUGUCCAGCAAAACAAUUCCCAAAAUGAAAAAAAAAAAAAAAAGUUCCCAAUGACGCACUAGACAUUAAAUACUCUGAAGUGGAGAGCGGUGAUAUGACAAUCCAGAGCAGGGGUGGGCAAAAAAAUCCGAAAAUCCGAAAACCCGAUCGACCCGCCCCGAAAAGUAGGGUAUCCGACCCUAUUUUUAUCAACGGAGCAAAUAGGGUCGGGUACCCAUAAAAUUCGGAUACGAAUACGGAUCACAAAAUCUAAAAUCCGCGGGUACCCGACCCGGGAUAUAUUUUACAAAUAUUAAAAAAUAUAGGGAUAAAUUUAUAAUAUUUUAAAGUUAUUAACCCUAAGUUCCUAACAUAUCCUCACUUCAGUCGACACUCCAGCCUUCAGUCUUCACUUCAGCGCCGCCGCAACUUCUUCACCUUCAGACUUCACUCUUCAGUCCUAGUUUUGGGCUUCUGGACCUUCAAUUUCUCAAGUCCCAAACACUCAAGUUGUACAAGUGCAACGCCAACGCCGACCUAGUCGAUCUGCAAAUCCAUAGCAAAGAAUUUUUGAAUUGUACCAUGUUGUUUAAUACAUCCGUAUAGGUUUUGUUUCUGUAGUUUCGGCAUGGAGUGCUAGAAUUUUGGUAGAGGCAUCAUCAAGGAAGUGAAUUUUGUGUUAAUCUUCGAGGUAGCGUAGUGUAAUUUUAGAGGUAAACUCUUUUCCAAAAAUAUUUCCUCAUUGCGGCAGGAAUUCUCAGCCUAAUAGCUCUUAGCUUUUCUGGACCAACAUGUCUUUGGAAGGCUGAGGUAUACAGCGUUUUGUAGGUUUACAAGAAUUGUGGUGUAUGGAGACCUUCAGAAGAAGUACAGUAGCAUAGCUUUGUCUGGAUAAAGAUUUUUCAGAAGUGCCCUGUUCCUUGGAGAGUUGUUUUUUCCACCUGUGCUUGUAGUAAUUCUUUUACGGUGGAAAGUAGUUGGUGCUUGUACCUUGUUAGUCUAUGAAAUAACAUCUCAAGUCUGCACGUUCCCCCUCCUUUUUUUUUUUUGGCUUUUCUUAUGCUUCAAUGAAAUUGAAAUUCCUUUUCAGUGUGCUAAGAAAUCCUCGCGUGUGUGUGUGUGUGUGUGUGUUCGGCUACUUCAGCAGAGGACUUCCAUUAACCUCAAUUCUGGCAACUAAGGUAUUUGGUUUUGCCAGAAAGAAGACCGUAGUAGCAGCCAGGUUCAUCUUCUAAGAUGAAAUUGCAAAUUUCUUUGUUUUGCUAUUGUCUUUGUCUUUGCAUUCAUACAGGAAUUCGCAUUCUUUAAUAGGGGCGGGUACCCUAUGACCCGCCCCUAUUUUUCGGGUAUCCGAAGAUCGGGUACCCGAGGGCAAGCGGAGCGGAUUAGGGUCAAAAAAAUAGUGACCCGAUAUGUUAGGGUCGGGUCAGUCAUUUGACGUUCGGGGCGAAUACCCGACCCGUGCCCACCCCUAAUCCAGAGUGAUCUCCUUAAAUGCUAAUUCUUUAGGUAAAAUUAGGAAACAAGAAUUUAAUGGAGGUGUCAAGCAAAGAGUUUAUUUGGACGGUAAAAAAAAAAAAAAAAACUUUUCAAUUGCAUCGUAAACAACCAUUCAACUUUGGCUUAGUGACCACAAAAAACAGGACUAAAAAAUUUCUAUUUGAACUGUAGGUAGGUGAGGGAUUAAAUUCUACUUGCAAUAAAAAAAAAUUUAAAAGAAGUGUCAAAGCACCCCUUUAGUCUACUAGCUCCCUAGCUUAAGAUAGAUUACGUUAUAAAAAUAUUUUUUUUCUCUUUAAAUUAGGAAAGAUUACGUUACAAGAAUGUUAUUAGAGCACCCUUUUGGUCUACUAACUCCCCAGAUUCUGAUAGAUUAGAUUAUAAUAAUGUUAUCACCUUUAAAUUAUGAUAGAUUAGAUUAUAAAAAUGUCAUCGUUACUGUAAAAAAAAUUGCGUCUUUUUCAAUCAGCUUUCAUGUUCAAACAAACCCAAUACAGUGAUUGGCUUGUAAGCAAAUGGACGAAAAUGCGGAAGCCAAAUGAGCGAUACGGUUGACGUUAAAUCAUCUCACCUUAUCCUCUCAAGGACCAGUAAGUAUUUGGCGCAUUUUCCCCCAAGGAGGAAAAAAGGAAAACGAGAAAGAAAAAGGUGGGUAUCAAAUGACUAGGAUAUUACGACAUCUCUAUCGGGCAUGAUCUGAGCAUGUACCUAAUUCAAUUGAACUUUAUCCAAUGGAUUAUGACAUCGAAAGAGAUACACAGACAGGCAUCAAUUAAUUACCACAUCCACUCCAAUCGCUUAAGAAACUCGAACCAACCCUGUGGGAUAUCUUUGAAUCAUUAACAUAACAUGGCCAGGGGGAAAAACGUAGAGAUGAAUUAAAAAGUUCCCAGACCUACCGUUACCCUUACCCACCUGAUGGAAGUGGAACCACUCGCUCAAUUCAUUUAUCAAUAAAAAUAGAAUAUUGCCAAGUGAAUUUUAGGUCCAAUAGUUAUUAUUUAUUUGUACCGGCUGCCAUGCCAUCAUUAUCGUUAUCCUGAUCCUGCUCUAGAAAUUUUUUUUUUUUUUUAAUUUUUACCCCGUUGGCCUUUUUCACGGCGCAUUAAUCUCAUCGUUUAGAAGGGGAGCUGGUUAAGUGCUGGAUGGUGGCAUCCAUAUUAUGUGAUGAUGAUAAUACUUACUAGUAGUCUUCUGUGUAUUGAUAAAAAGGUUAUCCUCCUGGAGAUAAUUCUCGUACUAAAGAUAGAAAAGGAGGCAAUUCCAACUUGUAAAGAGGUUUCUUCGUCGAUGGCUCCUUUGCGUUAGAAUUUUCCGUUUUAAAAUAAUCAUCAAAAGUUAGAUGGAAACGAGAAAGACAACUAAUGCAAUUAUGGGUGUGCGAUGACAGCUAAAUAAUGAAAUUUCUCUUCAGCCGAAGCCGAAGGAAGCCGCUUGUCGUCGAGUUAUGGGGGGAGGCACAGCGGAGAGGAUCUGAAUCCAUCGAGGUUAAUAGUAACAUAAAGGACAAAAUCCAAUCCAUCGUGCUUUACACAACCAAACUGGCAGGUGGAUCCCAAGUGCGUGCAUCUAGUACUCUACCUUUAACAUCUGACUCCACGGAGAUUGCAGUCAUGCAGAAAUCCAGGAUCCAUAUUAAAACUGAUUGUGCUAUAUAAUAACCAUGCCUGAGAUUGCGAAAAAUAUAAACUGAAACGAGGAUGUAAAAAGGCAGCCAGGGUAAUAUUUGCCGGUUGAUCAACAAUCUUAGACGUAAGAAUAUACAAGAAAAGUCAUACACACACACACACACACACAUAUAUAUAUAUAUAUAUAUAUGCUGGCUGGCUCCAUGAAAAAGCAGCAGUUAUAUAAUAUUGCCCCUUUUUUUCAUGAAAUUGCCAAGAAGUUUAUGCAAAAACAGAGGCAUCAUCACACAAGGAGGCAAUUAAUUGAUUGAGGACUUAAUACUAGUACAAGGGCUCCCUGAUCAUGUGGAUUCAACCGAUUUGGGAGAAAGAGAAGGGCUGUUGUUAUGGACAGGCAUGGACUUUGAUCUCUUGAAAUAGGCAGUAGAAUUGGAGCGGUGAAACCUGCACCUGAACGAUCCCUGAUGAGUCGUGGGCGAGCAGAGACACUGCUGCUGCUGCUGCUGCUGCUGCCCUUUUGGAGACGAAGAAUUCUGGCCGUUGGCACUCUUGGGGGAUGUUGUGGUUUCCACCGUAAUGCCACCGCCAGCUGGGCCGCGGGGGUGGUGGGAGGAGGCCAUUUAAUUACUACCAGAGAGAGAGAGAGAAUGGAAGAAAACCAUAUGAUAUGGCAAGAGAGUCUUGUUGUGGUGCAUAUGAUAUAAGAAGAGGAGAUCUGAUUCUCAAAUAUAAAAAAGGUUUAUCCCCUUUUGGUUUUGUGGGUGGAGGAAAAAAAAAAAUAGAAUACUAACAAAAAGGAAUUAUCUUCAUCAAGUGUGAGAUCAUCAAGUGUUAUUAUGGUGUGGCCCUUUUCUCCUUACUUUUUCUUCUUUUAUUUAUCAAUUUCUCAUUUUUUUUUCUCUCUUUAGUGGAUUUUCCUUUUAUUUAUCAAUUUCUCAUUUUUUUUUCUCUCUUUAGUGGAUUUUCCACUUUACCUCCUCAAAAUUCGUUAUCGUUUUACUUUCCUUGAUUGGUCUGCAUUUCUAGGGAGGGGCUACUGUUGAUUUCAUUCUUGGCUUUUUGUGCGCAGAACUAGACUACUGGUCUUCAAACGUUCUUCCCAUCCCUGGGAACGGGAAUGGAGCUGCAGCCUACAGUGCAGCCCCUCUCGAAUGGACGCGGGGCUGGAGCGAUUGUCAGAACAACCGCUUCGAAAGGUGUAACAUCAUUUGUACAUGGUAUAACAUUAUCUGUACAAGGUGUAACAAUAGAACAACAGCGAAUAACAUUAGAACAACAUUUUUGUGGGUCCCACACGGCGUGAAAAUCGAGUUACAAGACGUGAUCUGAGCCGCACAAAUUUUUGAAGCCUCAUCCAGGCCGUGAAUUGCCUGGGACGGUUGUCAGAGACAACCGUCCAGGCCCCUCGUCCCUCUCGACUGGGACGAGGGGCCUGGACGGUUGCCUAAUCGUCCCAGGCCGUGAAUGACAACCGUCCAGGCCCCUCGUCCCUCUCGACUGGGACGAGGGGCCUGGACGGUUGCCUAAUCGUCCCAGGCAGUUCACGGCCUGGAUGAGGUCUCAAAAAUUUGUGCGGCUCAAAUCACGUCUUGUAACUCGAUUUUCACGCCGUGUGGAACUCACAAAAAUGUUGUUUUAUUUUACUCGCUAUUGUUCAAUUGUUACAUCUUGUACAGAUGAUGUUACACUAUAUACAAAUGGUGUCACACCUUCCGGAACGAUUGUUCUGACAAUCGCUCCAGCCCCGCGUGCUCUCGACUGGUACUUGUCAGAUGACCCCAUCUCAUCGUAUCGCGAAACUGCCAAUAUUCUUGUCACUCCCUGCAUAAAUUGCCCAAAGAUAGUUGGGACACGGGACGUUGAGUUAAGUGGUCCAUAGAGAUAGAAAGAGUCAUGCUAAUCUCUCAGCCGAGAGGCACUUUUGUGCAUUGAUUAUUAAUUAGGUAAAUUUCUUUGGAGCGAGUGCAUAUUCGAUUUGUUUUUGCCAAAGCAAAGGGUUCGCUGAGUAAAGCACUCUGUGGAUUUUUUUUUAAUUAAUAAAAGAAUUCGCAUUCGAGUGCACUGCAUAAACCCCAGCCUCGUUUGAAAACCCCAGCCCUGUUUGAAAGAUGAAUUUUUUAGGUGUUUAUCUAAAAUUUUACUGUAAUUUAUGUAGAAGUUUUUAAAAAAAUUUUUGAAGUGUGUUUUUUUUUAAAUAUUUUGAAGUGUAUAGUUUAAAGUUUUAAAAAGUUUUUUAAGAUUAUUGUAGUUAAUUUUUAAAAAAAUUAUAACAAAUAAACUUGACAAAAAAUUUGGCUUCCAAACAAGACCCCGUUUCUGCCAAUUAUAUGGAGGGCAUCGGAGUAAUUUGCGAAUUGUGAGUGCAAUGGGUAAUUCUAGCAUAUUUUCCGUUCUACUUCCCAUCGGAUGUGACCCUUUGAAAUACAGGUGACACCUAAUUGUGGUUAGGAUAGGAUAAGACUAACGAACAUUGAAAGUUUAGUGAAGUAAUUUUAAUUUAGCCCACAAACUAGUAGUAUUAGCUACUAACCAUGGUUGGGCUUAAUUAACACACCAGCUGUAACUAUAAGGCACGGAACAAAAUCCAAGCAAGCACGUGGGAAUGCAAUGGGGAGAUGGGUCCAUGAAGAGAUGAUGUUCCGUCUGGGACAUCAUGUUUGGAUCUGCGAACACGUAUUAGAUUCUAUGAUCCUGUCUCUAUCAACAAAGACUAGUACUCUAUUAUCAACUCCAGGGGUAAUAGUUAUUCAAUACUACUCUGUCUAUUACCAGAAUGAGCAACAGUCCACAGUUCGCACUAGUAGAUUGUCCGUCACCUCCACGCGUUUCUUCUAGCAAACAAAUCUGGCCUACGUGAAAAUUCAGAUUUCAGACGAAUUAUGUAGAUAUGGUCAGAGGUGUGAAAGAUGAAUUAAACUCCCUCGUAUUCGAAUUGAAUUUGAUUUGUUUGAAUGAUUUAUCAAUUAGUUAAGUCAAAUUUAAAUAGUAUUUUUUAUUUGAUAAAUUUUGAAAUUUGAUUUUGAACUUAGCUUGUUUAGUAUUAAAAUUUAAUUGUAAUGAUUUUAAAGUAGUCGAAUGCCCCGACGCAAGUUCAAUUGGAUAAAAAUUCGUUUGAGUCUGGCUUGACAAAUAAACAAAUUAAUAAGUUUGAACACAAAAUCAAGUUUGUUACAAUAAUCACACAAUUUUGAAUAGAUGUUUGGUUUUAAUUAAAUUGGUUUCCACCCCUAAAUAUCACGUUAAUCAAUGGAUCAUUGCCAAAUCUUUUCGUUAAAAAGACCACGAGUGUUUAUACAUUCACCAGGGGUUUGUAUAGAGCCAUAAGAGUAGCAGACGAUUUCUUUCUUCUAUUAACGAUUUCUUCAGAUUACAUCUCCCAGCGGGCGACCAUUCGAAAGGAGAUGAUGCUAAACGUAAUUAACGAUUUCAACCCGUAAUUAUCACUUGACUUUGAGGUUCACUCUAACUGUGUGAAAGUGAAACCAUAAUGCAUAUGUUCACUAAUCACACAAGACAACAAAAGAAAUGGGAAAAAAAAAUAAUUUGAAAGAAAGGGAUUUUAGAAACUACUCGAUCCCGUCAUUUUUCGAGGUUGCGGUCAACGUCAUUCAGAUAAUUUUCUCAAUUUGUAGAAUAUUCUUAACAAAUUAAUUCGAGGUUAUGUUACAUCUCUUUCUUUUAAUUAAUGUGAGCCCACACACUAGCUACACUAGUGUGUGUGGUACAACUUUUUUCUUCUUCUUUUUAUAAUCUGCAGUGCACAAGUUAUUGGACAGGUGCAAAACUGAGAAUUUGGUCAUAUGCCAAGUUCUGAACCUCAAAAGUCAAGAAACUUCGGGGGUCUCCACAUGUCGGCAGGUGCCGCAAAGUAAGGCGGUCGGGUUUAUGACCCUUCCUAGCACAAAAAAGUAUAUAUAAAAUACAAAGCUCUUAUGAAACUUCUACCUUGAUUAUUAAAUCAAAAUCUGAUUAACCAAAAUCAAGGAAUUCAUCUUGCACGCUGGCGCAUGAUACAACAAAUCUUGAAUACCACCAUGUCCUUUUGCUACCUACGUGAUAGAGAAGAACAAGGAGCCCUGAUGACGUGGCCUCCAGCUAAGCAAACCAAAAUCAGCAAAACCUACCAGUCAACGACAGAGCUUCAUUACCUAACGUUCUGUCUUUUCAAUUUUACUAAUAGGGACAGGGGUGGUUUUCUAGCGUUGUGCUUCCUUCUGGCUAGCUCGACUACUUAGAUGUUAAGCAAAAUCCGUGGUUUCUUUAACCAAUCUUAGACUUUUGGUUAUCGCCCCCCCAGAAGAAUAUACUGCUGUACAAGGAUUGCUAGUGUAACUCUUCCUCUCCUGAUUGAUUCCUCUGUUCUUUUGUUGUAAACUAAGUUCUUCCGGUGGUGGAAUUAACCGAGUUGAUGGCUCCAACGGGGAACAAGAAUAUACAAUCCAAGCUGGUGGGUAUGUCUUCCCUUUCUCUUUUACUGCUAGUACGGGAUUCUUCUUGCUCUCAUACUUGCAUGCAGUUCAUGUUUCAAAUACAGCGGUAAUCUUAUUAGGUUUCUUUGCUGGAUGUUUCUGGGAUGAUCGCUAAAACUCUUCUUAUACCUACCUCCCGGAGUUUGAAAUUUUCACGAAUUUUAUUCACUGAAGUUCUGAAAUUUCAAUUGCUUUUACUAUGUGUAUUGCGAUCCCUCUGGUUUUCUGCUUUUGAUUAUCUACUGUAAUUUUAGUUCGUCUGGUCAUGAUUUGCCCGAGCAAUUCCCUACUUCAGCAUGGUCUUCUGCAGUGCACAAUAAGAAAACUUGUUGUAUACUUAAUUGACUAGGUAUGCUGCAGAAUUAACCUAUUCAUCCCUUGUUUUAGGUGCUUCUUGGGGACAUGGGGACUGGGAAGACCAGUUUAGCAUUAAGAUUUGUCAAAGGCCAGUUCCAUGAUUUUGAGGUACACUUCAUUCAAUUAUGCUUUAUCUCAUUCUUUAUUUUAACUAUGUCUUUUGACGCCAUUGAGUGAGCUUUUAACCAUGACGUUCAGGAAUCAACCAUUGGAGCAGCCUUCUUUACUCAAGUCUUGUCACUCAACGAAGCUACCAUAAAAUUUGAUAUAUGGGACACAGCAGGACAGGAACGUUAUCAUAGUUUAGCUCCAAUGUACUAUCGAGGUGCAGCUGCUGCUGUUAUAGUUUAUGAUAUCACAAACGCGGUAUUGGCACUCACUUUUUUUUACCCUUUUUCUGUUAUUGAUUGCACUUAUGGAGAAGAACAAGUACUGAUAUUAUCAAAGGUGAUGCAAUUUUAACUAGCACUGACAUUGUCAAAGUUAAUGGGAUUUUCCCUUUUGUUUCCGAAGAGAAGAGGAGGGGAUCAUAAAGUUGAAAAGAACACGAGGGAACCAGUGGGAAUUUAAUCUGAAUAUAAUUGAUAACAUCACUGGCUAGCAAUUACUAUUUAGACUGACGUCUGCUGAAAUUGUGGCUUCAGGAUUCAUUUGAACGGGCCAAAAAGUGGGUUCAACAACUGCAGCGACACGGUAAGAUCAUCUCCAAACCUUUCUCCUGUUGCUUUUAUUCUUUUCUUGACAAGAAAUUGGAACUUAUACCGACGAUGAGUUUCCCUUUUGGCUGAAAGAAAACCCGGGAAAGGAAGAGAGUACAAAACUACUGCGUUUAUUCUGCAUUGGUUGUGGAAGGACUAGGUGCAGGUGUGCAAGUGUUGAGGGAAAUACCUUACCUCUUGAGCUAGCAUUUGGAGUGGGAAGGCUCAGGAACGCCUAACUAUAACUAUUACGUAUCAGCACAAAAUUGCUACUCAUCAAAAGAGAGGACGAUUUAACCCUGAGACAUAGCCCCGUUUGUCAGAAUCAAUCUUUCAUCACUUUUUUAUUUCGUUAAUUUGUCCAGCCUUGUAAACUUAUUUACCUUUACUGACAAUAUGUUUUGCAAAGAAACGAAUCGAACAGUAUUUGAAUUUCGUGAAAGCAGUCUGCAUUACAAAACUGAAUAGUAUAUGAAGCAGUUUGGAAUCUAAUUGCUUUACAUUUGGUAUUAUUGCAUGUUUUUGAUUGUUGAAAGUUCUUUCAUCAUAACUCAUCAUAUACUUUUGUAGGAAAUUCCAAUAUGAUUGUGGCUUUGGUGGCAAACAAGGCCGACUUAAGUUCAGACAGAACGGUGGAAAAUGAGGUACUUGUAGUUGGUUUUCCAAUCAAUAGCUUCACUUCAUUUCAAGUAGACAUGGAUAGCAUCCAAAAGUCCUAUUAUGAUUAUUAUUAUUAUUAUUUCCUUUCUUUCUUUGGUUAGAACAUUUUACUCAAGCUUCAUGAUGAUUGUUGGUAUAGUUAUUUAGACAUUUGUUGUCCGUCUAUUAAGCAUGCUUUUCUAUCUGAUACGUUUUCCUCCCUCUUCUUCACACACCCUCAAAGCCCUUUCCUUGAUUUUAAACUGAAUGAAAGUUCUCCCAUUCGUUAAUAACCUUCAGGAAGGGGAGCAUUAUGCUAGAGAAAAUGGCUUGCUAUUCUUUGAAACUUCAGCAAAAACUGCACAGAAUGUGAAUGAGCUAUUUUAUAGCAUCGUGGUGCAUAACUGCUGUCCAAUACCAUUGUUUCCUGAGGAGAUAAAAGGGACAGAAGAGGAAGAGAGAAGAGGGGGGAGGGGGGGGGGGGUUGUUCCUGCAUCUUCAUGUGUUACUUUUGAAAGCUACAAAUUCUUUGAUUGCUUUGGAUGCUUUGUAUACUUGUGCGCAUAACAUUAAUUUCCAAGUCGAGCACUAAUCUUCGGUGAAUAUGAUGGAUGAUAUUAGAGCCAGGUUUCAAUAAUAAACAAGAGAAUAAAUUGUAACAGAGAAUUGGACAUUUCCUAUGACCUCUCCCAUUUUUCUUAAUUAAUCAAAGUUUUCUGCCUAGUUAUGAUGGCCCUUUUCUCAUCUUGUGAAUGGGCAUUAUUUGCCCUUCCUUGCAACGAUCUUUAGUCUUACAUGUGCAAAGAACAAAACAGGGCCUCUUAUCGAGGAUUACAAGUCACUCCCUGCAGAUUGGGUCAAGCACCCAGUUCGACAAAGAGCAAAACGUACUGAAAGAAAAGGAAAAAUUAAAGAAAAAGGAAACGAAAAGAAAGUAUACCAAUCGAAGCACUAAUUUGAGUUUAGCAGAGCUAGCAACAUGCAUGAAAUUCAUCUAAAAGACAUCUCAUCGCUACAUGGGGAACAAAAUCUUUCGAAUCCAACAGAACAUAGGGCCAAAGUCCCUGCCCUCGGACUCAAAAAAAAAAAUAUAUCAGUUCUCGUGCUCUCAGGCAAUGAAGCUUCUACUUUUCUUGGGGCCUGGUGUGCUAUACCUAGAGAUUAACGGCAAGAGGCAUCCUCAUCAAAGUGGACAAAAGCCCGCAUAUACAACAUUGGCACAAAUUCAUAGGAAUCGGCACACGAUGUUUUAUCAAAAACAGGGAUUUUGUUGCCUGUUCUUUGGUCCACCGAUCAUUUCACGUGCAUCAUUACAAUCCCCACAAGUACAAGAUGAAUUAAGCGCUCGGUGUCUCCUUCCAAAGCCAGUAGAAAUGUACUUGGAUUAUGUAAAACAAAAGAUUGCCUCUUGAAAAUAUACACAAGUAGGCAAGACAAAACAAAAACUGUACUUAUUAGACGAAGAGAUGGACACUCGCAAGGCAACUCUGGAUUAGGAUAUAAGCGUGGCCUCGGCAAAAGAGCCAUGGUCAAGCCUAGAGGCAAAAGCGUUCGCCUGAAUAAGGGCUCAGAUUUCUCUUUUUAAGAGUACCUUUUUCAUCUUUUUCAUUCAAUAACAAGUUUCCAUUAAACAAAGUAAACACUGACGAAAAGAGAAAGAAAGGGACCAAAGCUACAUAGUGAACAGUAGAAAAAACUAACCUGGAAAACUAACGUGGGAAUUCGGAUACCUAAAUUUUUACCACGAAGGAGAAGUACACGGUGACCCUGAAGUUGAUGAAGACGAAAUGCCCUCAUUAUUGGAAUCACUACCGGAGGUGGCAAGGGAACGAGCGUCCCUCAAAGAAAUUGAACAUGCCUGAGCUGGAAGCUUUUUUAUCGGAGAUAAUGGAGGGGUCAUUGGAAGUGAGGAAGGACUAGACGCAGUCGUCGAUUUAGCAUUAUCGUUAUCAUCUUCUCCAGAAGAACAGUUGGUGUCUAGACGAGACGGUGAUGAAUCAGGCGUCUCAAAUGGGGUAGCCACCCUGCUAGGCCUGUUGCCAACAUUGUCAUAAAUCGGAUUGCUUAUGUAUAUAUAAGUUUCCUUGCUGCUCCCACCACAAAAUUCAUCGUUGCGAGUGCUUGUACUGUCAAGAGGUGCCUCAUGAAUGAGUCUUGGUGGUGCCAGGGGUACAAAGGAAGGCGAUGAUGGUAGAGAAAAGACAUGCCGGUGUAGUUCAUUAGGGCUAGAGGUCGGUUGUUGAUUAGGAAUCUGAGAAUCACGUUGCUUCUCGAGGUCCUCAUUGCUUUCGUUGCCAUAAACUGCGGGGAAGAGGAAGUUUCUUGGAGCAUGCAGAACGCCAUGAGCAUAGAAGGCACUGAGAGAUGGAGUUCCCGAAAGGUCCUGAUCAUGUUCCGGGGAGCCAUCAUUAGAGGUGGCGGCAGCUCUGGAGUUGGGAAUGUUGGAAGUGGAAGCUCGCAGUGGCCGUCUGCGGCGGAGUAAAAGAGAGCAGUAGAGCUGAGCCAACAGGACCAAGACCAGUCCUAGUACUAUGCCAAUGCUCACAACCACAAUUAGUGUUGCUCCCAUUAUUACCUGGGAAGUACCCUUCAUCUCUUUUCCCCGAGUGUCUGUGUGCGUUCAAGUCUGUGACUCUGUGUCUGUGUGCGCGUAAGUUAGGAAAUGAGAAUGGCACUGUAAUAAUUAAUAAAUGGGCUGUUGGAACCAUUGACGGUGACAAAAGAUUUUGGCGGGCAAAGCUGUCUUCGGUCUUUAACUUAUUUUACUCCAUUCACCUUUUUGAGCAUAUUUUAGUCUUGACCUGUGGCCUUUGGGCUCGUGACAAGGAAUUGGGAAUCUUUGCUGGGAAUUUUGAAUAGGAUUUUCAUUUUUUUUCUGUAGAAGUAGUGGUGAUAUGACAUAUGUGAGAUAAAAAAAUUAUUAUAAACAUAAAAAUGUGUAUUAGAAGAUGGAUUUAUGAUGCAAGAAAAUAACUUUUGAACAAGUGCGUGCUAUCCAAACACACUAAAUUGUCCAUUAAUACAAUUUUCACUUUCAAAUUCUGGUAUAAUCAGGUUAACUGAAGCAGUAUGUUAUUAAAAAAUGGGCCUCAGGCAAAUCCCACUUAUGGAAUCCAAAUAUCUUAUGAAAUGGCUUACGAGCGCAGAUCCAUAACAAAACCUAUUCAUUUUCCAUGCGAGAAUCACCCUACCAUGCCAGCCUUGCUGCACUUGGAAGUUCUAGCUCGUCAUCAUGGUCAGCUAGGGAACGUGACAAAAGAACGGCGUACAACUUCCCAGCAAAAAGAACUAAUUUCCUACCAACCAAUUAAGAGAUCUAUUUGGGGCAACGAACAUUUUUCCUUCUUUGUGAACAUCCCUCUUUCUACAGCCCACUCGCACUACACCUCCGGAACAAAGUAUUGGAUAUGUAAACAACUGUACUAGACAGUGACUAUAUUAAACAUAUCAAUUAUGCGGUAUAAGUUGAAACACCAAGGAUCAGUAGAUGCCUAAAAGAAGGAAUUAACUAAUAAGCUCCAUCUUAGUCUCCGUCCAACACAUCAUAUCGGGAAAAUCAGAUGGAUACAAUCUUACAACCAGGCACAGCACCAACUUUAGACACAAAUCUGUAUAACAUCUCAUGCGAUGAACUAAUAGAAAAAUGAGGCAGCACCAAGAAUGAGCAAGUACUUGUACCUUUAGUAUAAGUAAGAGGAAUCAAUCAGGGUUGAGCAAUGAAUUCGGUUUCUCCAACUAUUGCAGCUAACGAGCCUGGAAGUAAGCCAGUUGUAGGCAGCGGGAAGAUGGAUAUAAAAGAUAGAGAUGUAAACACAAACAAUUUCGCGUGUUUCAAAAGCCGUUGCUCUUUAUCGGCCUUUCAGUGCAGCAAAGCGAGCAGCCAAAUCAUCAUAAUCAGGUAACUUGGGAUGCACAUGCCGAGCCUGGCCAUCUGGAUGAAAGGACUUUGCACGGGUAAAAACCUUUUUGGCCUCUGAUUGAGUCGUUUCUUGACGAGGCAAAGAUAUAGAUCUAGUGGUGGUUGGUAUGACAUCUGCGUUCGAAUCAUGCCCAUCUCUCAUUCGAUCAUGAGAAGAUUCACCACUACCAUUACUUAUCUGAUGAGAUGGAUGUGCUUGAGAGCCUUUUCUCAUAUUUCCACCGCCAUAGGUUGAUGGUUUCUUACUGUAAUGUAGCAAAAGUUUAUCAAUCAUUCUCUCUUCUUCAUCUUUUUGAGAAUGCUCAUCAUCAAACAAAAUCUGCAAGCCCUUUCGCGAACUGUCCCUUCUCCUGCUACUGGAACUUCUUUUUACAGCUACAGCAUCUUCAACAUGAGCCAUGUCAUCAUGAUUGGAAGAUGAUUUGUGUUGCUUCCUCCUAAUUGAUCUUGGUUUUGGCAAGGCUAUUUUAUCAUCCUGAUAAUAUUGAUCUUCGCGAUGACGUUGACUUCUUACUCUGCCAGGCCCAAUAUUUUGUCCCUCAUGGCCAGGAUUAUAUGGCCCCAUCUGAAUCCUGUUAGAUCCAUUCUCUGAAGGUUCUGUAGAAUGCCCAUCACUGCAAGGACCUGCUAGCUCAGACUUUCUACUAGGUCUGUUUUUAUGGUCUUUAGGUUUAACAUAUGGAGGGAUGAGGUUGCUCUUUGAUUUUAUGUACGGUGGAGGAAGUAGAGCAUUCUGGUAGGAUUUUGAACUGUCUACAUCUUCCUGUUGAACUUUUCUCUUUGAGUUUGCCAUAUUCUUCUCCCUGACUUGCUCAUGGGCAACUGACAUAUCCUCAUUCCUUCCUGGAAAUCCCCCACAACUUGAACGCAUUUCUGAUUUUCCAUGAGAUGGAGCAUCCGAGCUCUCCCCAUCAUGCAUACUAGUGGAACCAUCAUCCUGACCUGAAUAUCCACCACUGAAAUCGUCUAGCCCUUUCCUACGUGAUGAAGUGCCUGCUUUUACAGCUUUGAACAAAGUUUCAUCCUUUUUCCAUGAUAAUUCAUGUUUGUCCACCAUCACUUCUUGCCUUCGCUCAAAUAAAAGGUCAUUUCUGACUUGUCUUGGAGUACUCUCUCCUUUCUUGGUUGGUGAUAUGUGUCUAUCAGUGCCACUUCCCAACCUUCCUCUGAAAUGGAGGUUCAACUGUUCUCUUGAAUCCUUAUCCUCUCUACCAUUGCGCAUUCCGUGCCCAUCAUUAAUUAGACCACGUGGGUCUUUAGGUGAAACAUCAUACCCAUCAGAUGUUGCAACAGCAACAGCAACACCUUCUCUUCUUGAAUCUGUAUCCUCUCUGUAUUUAUGAAUUCUAUGGCUACCAUGACUAAGAGCACGUGUUUUUUCAGGUAAAACAUCAUACCUAUCAUAUUUUGCUACAACUCCAUGUCCAUCUCCCCUUUCUGAUUCCUUAGUACCCCUGCGGUUGUGCAUUCUCUGGCCAUCAUUACUUAGACCACAUUUUUCUUCAGGUGAAACAUCAUAUUUUGCAACAUUAGUACUUCCAUCUUCUCUUCUUGAACGCUUACCCUCUCCAGCACUCUGCAUUUUCUGGCCACCAUUAGUAUGAUCAUGUGUUUCUUUAAGUGAAACAUCAUGUCCAUCAGAUUUUGCAACAUUUCCAUUGCCAUUAAGAAGAUUAAGUUCUUCAGCAGCAACAGGGAAGUUUCCAUGUUUAUUUGGUUUGGCCUGGAAGACAUCAGCCACAGAAAACACAAUCAGUUUAUAUAUAAUUGUCUUUCUUUCAUCCUUCUUUGGAAGAUGUAGCGGGAUACCAAAUUUUGUGGAAAACAAAAAUAAAGAAAGAAAGCCCAUUCAUUUAGUUUUCCCUGCUAGGUAGGAUGCUGCUUUUAAAAGAAUUAACAUUUUAAGUCUUUCUUCCCCAUCUCAUUUCAAUGAGUGACAUACCUGUACUAGUGUAGGUGGAUCAGCCAUCCUCUGCUCAAAGCCCCCAGAAUUCCAAUUUAUUGAAAACUCUGAUGCUAUAUCUUUCAGUAACUGGAGUCUCUUCUCCAUGGCAGGAGGCUUUGAAGACAAUAUCUCAACAAACUAUAUCAUUCAGAAAUCAAGCUGUCAGGCACAAAACUAGAGCUCUGAAACUAAAACGUCCCAACUAAUUGCCGAGAAUAACCUUUUGAUUAACAAAACAUUCUAGAGUACUUCCAUAUCUCUCCUGAAAUAGAUUCCUGAGAUCUCGCAAUUCAGGCAAAUCAGAAAAUCUUGCUGCUGCAAACAUCAGAGAAGCCACAGGCUCCCUGCACUCUUCUGGGCACUCUCUGGGAAGAAAACAAUUCGGAAGAAGAUUGUAAAUACUUGAGAUUUAUUAUAUUAAAAAAAUAAGAAGACGAAGAAAAAGAAGAGUAGAACUUCAUAAGAUAAAAGCCUGAAAACGUUGUCUCUUUAUUACAUGAUACCCUUCAGAUUGAACUUCCCCGACACGAGGAUUGAGACAUCUGAUGCUCAUGCACACAACAUUAAUUGUUCAAAAUCGCCAAUAUUGACAGUUUAGAAGCAUUCAAUUCUUUGGACCACUGGUCUUGUCAAUUACAUUGGUUCUAAAAAAAAUAGUACAUACAAAUAUACCUGAAAACAAGUUCUUAUACGGGUAUUUAAAAGUGAAUAUCUAUAUAUCCAAUGAAUCAUCUCCAUCAAAUGGUCCGUAUCAAACAAAUGCUACUGUGUUCAGGUAUCUCAAUGGGAAGAAUGUAUAGAGAAUUUUAAGCUUGACCAGGACACAAAGCUAGGAUGUUUUGACCUUGAAUAAGAUGUAAUAAAUGCAGAAGCUCCAGGAAAAGACAUAUCACCACAUACGACAUUUUUACUAACAAACUACAUUUCUGAAGGUGAUCCUGAAAUUAUGAUUUUAACGUUUAACAAAAAAGUAGUAUGGAGUUUUCACCAAGUCACUGACCUUUUUUGUACCAAAUGAGUAUACAUGCACUAUUGUUUUUAUUUUGAAACUCUGCCUUAAUCCAUCUGGCACUUAAAAUUGGUCUGUGCUCAAUUGGCUAGGAUGUUUUGUUUAGCUAAUCAAGUACAUAUAUAGUCCUCCUAAAUACUGUGAAUUGGUUCAAUGACUGCUGCAACCACGUUAUAUCAACUUAAAUGAGAAGCCCAUUAAGGUGAUAAUGCAUCUUUCUUCUGCCAAAAUAUUGCCUAUGGGCCAUUGCCUCAUUAUGUACUUUCAACUUUCUUUUCUUCUCCUCACUGUAAAGUAUAAAACCAUCUAUUUGUGUCAUUCAAAUUAUAAAGCUUUAACCAAACUAAAGAUUGGUCCCACUAGUGAGCUUCAGAAGCAAUCAAAUGAGUCAUCCGGUGAUUAGGAAAUGAGAACAAUUCACAGCAUUAGCAAAUUACAAAGCAUUAAAAAGAAGCAUCUUCCAAGAAUAGGAGACCAGAGAUCCUAAUCAUUCCUGGUAACUUCCUAUCAAAGAGAGAAAAAGCAAUAUUCCUCUUAAUCCUAAUACAAGAAAAGGACACUUCUGUACCACCUAAGUACCAGUUAAAUGACACGAGAUGAUACCAUUAAAGUAAGUGCGCAUGAAGUGCAAAUCAUGUAUCAACGAAAGCGCAUUGGCAUGUUUGUUUCUUUUGCGUAACUCUAAUCUAUGCAAAGUUGCAGCAGGAAAGUUUUGCCAGAACAUUGAUGAGUGCAUAUACAGCCUGAUCAAAAUCAAAUCCUAGCACUAAAUUAUAAAAUCUCUGCUGCUGCACUUUAUAGCUGCCCAUAAUAUUCUAGCCUGUGAUCAUAUAUCCCCAACACAAUGGAUUUUUCUUUUAAAUUUAAGAUGUAAGCUACAAAACCAAGCAAAUGCACAUACUAUAUCAAAGACAACAUCCAAUUUGUAAAGACAGCAGGAACUGCAAUAAAUUCUAGUGAAUUUCAAGCUCUCGUUCAUAUGACAAAAACUGCAGAUUGUAGCACAGUUUCUUUUGCAUGCUUAGGGCAGAGAAGUUUAGCUGAUACCUUUGCUUUUGCAUGCUCAAAAGCUGCUUCAGAAUAUAUUCGCACGUGUAUUCAAUGAAAUCAUAACAGGACAAAAGGUUGAGUCCAGCAAGAAAUUCUUCUGUCUGUAUCAUCUCAUCAAAAGGAAAACACUUGUGUCAACUCAUUUUAAGUAACUGGGAAAUAUCUGAUGAUACAUCAGACCCAUAACCAACUGAUUUUACUAUAUACUCUGCAUGGUAUAAGAAAAGAUCAGUUGUUUGUAAGAGAUAUGCUUAGAAGUUCACUAAUUCAUGCAAUAACAAAUGGAUUCACUGUGCCCAAGUUGCAAGAAAGACAGCAAUCAGAUCAACCCAUUAGAUACAAAUGCAAUCUCUAACUCUAAUUUACCAGAUAACCAUAAUUAAAGGAUUAUUGGAAGAGUUGUGACAUGAAAUUCAGAUGAGAAACUUGGAUUGUUGCUCUAGAAAAUUGAACUACUGGAUAACGGGGAUAAAUAUCUGUUACUCCUUACUUCAUUUCACCAUAAUCUCACAUGCAAAAAUUCAUUAUACAUCAAUCCUUGGUAGAGGCACUGCUUGUUGAAGUAAUAAACUCUGACAAAAACCACUUCAAGAAGUAACAAUAUCCCUUUCUAAAUUUGAACACAAUACUUAAGCAUGCAGUGUGACUUUUAGAAUGGGACAGUAUCCACCAAAAAAAUUUCAAGUUGAAUGCCAGUGUACUUGCGUCAUAUAAUUAACCGAUCCAUCUCCUUUCAGAUUAUGCAGUAAAGCAUGAAUUAAUAUGGUAAGCAGCAACACAAUUGAAAUUCUUGAAUAUCAUGAAAAACUUGCAAGAAGUACAAGUUUUGAAUGUACAGAUGGAUAAACCAUUUGCUAGAUUUCCCAAUUCAUGCAUAGGUCUACCCUUGUGGGCAAAAACAAACAAUGUUGGAUUGUAUGCAAUGCUGACAUGUAUAGCUAAGUAGUUUCAAGAUCUUGGUCCACUUGUUUGCAUAACUUUGGCAACAUUGAGCUACUAAAUAACUGGUUAUCAUUAGUCUAUUGCAUUGAUUGCAUUGUAAAUGAGGUAUGCCCCCCAUGUUAGCUUGUUGGCAGAGCAAAGCAUCUGCACAUCAUCCCUUUAAAUCUCAAAAUUGACAUAUUUUAUGAGCAGUACUUAAUUUCACAGCUUCGUCCUUGGAGCAGCAGAAUCAUCCUCAUUAGAUCAGGACUCGCAUUAUGCGGCUAAGGAAACCAUACAAGAGGCAUGCUUUCCAGUAAGCAACUAAACUGUACCUAUUUAGCCACGACUUGGCAACUUCAUCUGAUUACAUCACACAAGUCAAGUGUUUACUUCGAUUAGCAGCCUUCAUAUUGUGUUUUAGAUACAAUUUAUCACACACAAUCAAUUUAACUGAACCUAAUACAGAAACAAUCCACCAAAAGAAAAGAAACCACAAAUUGCAUGUUUUUCUAAGAAAGGUGAAACAAAAUUGAAUCCUGAUAUCCUAAUUUCGUUCUUCAAAAACAAGGAUGCGGCCAAAACAAUAGACACUGCACAAAUUUUACAACGUAACCGCAAGAAAUUCAAAUUUUUUAAUUGACUCCAAGAGAACCAAAAAAAAAAAAUUUACAAGUCAAUCUGAAUAUACCCUGAUAAUAAACAAAGAGCAAUUUCAGAUUUCCAACAUCAACUAAUCCCUCCUCCAAAUUCAUAAAUCAUCUUUCAAACUAAUGCUUGAUCAAACAACAAAUGAAGUUCCAAUGAAAGAAAAAAUAAUCAACCAAAUUUAUGCUAUUACGAAAAUAAGUAAACAUGAGAAUAAAAGGUACAAAAAAGUAUUACCCGUCCAUAGGCAUUGAUAUCGAGACCGUUAGCAAGCAGGUUGGCAAGAUCCUCCUUCAAAAACCUCUGCUUCGCCUCCGCUCUCUUCCUCACCACUUCGAUCCUCGUCCGAGUUGCCUUCAUUAGCGAUUUACUUCACACACAAAAAGAAAAAAAAAACAAAUAAAAAAUACUUAACUAAAACGCGCAUUAAUAAAAAAUCGAUAAACGUCACCUAUAAAAACAUAUAACAUUUUCUGAAACCUCAGCUCAUUGCUAUGAAUACUGAUAGAGAUCGGAUUGAAGGUAAGGGAACACAUACCAUUUGGAGCUGAAGCCACGGUUUAGUAAACCGUCAAGCAUCUUCAAAUCGAUUAUAAGAUUAAUUUCAACUUUUUUUUUCUGAGAAUGGGAAAUGAGAAGUGAUUUAGCAAUUGGCAGCAGUAUUUAAACUGAAUAGGUGCAAUAGAAGAACCAGCGGUUUUUGAGUUUUAACGUAUAAGGAAAAUCAAGUAGUAAUAGUAGUAAGCAGAUCCGCCAUUAUCGUUCAGUAGUCAGUAGUAUUAGUAGCUGUAUGAAAAAGUGAACUUUUUUUUAAAAAAAAUUCCUCUCCGUCGUUCUUCGUUUUGUGUUUUUUACCUCAACAGAGAGCAUAAGAAAAGAGUAAUGGUAGUGAGUCGGGUGGGGCAGGACAGCGAGGGAAAGUCACAUGGAUGCUGGAUGAUGGACGGAUGGCUUUUUCCGCAUGACAACGUGGUCAAGAGAGUCAACCCAUUUCAAAUUCUCAUGUUUCCGUUAUUAUUCUAUUUCUGUUUCUCUUUUUUUUAAGAAGAAAAUUCAUAUAGAGAGAGUUUGGAUGCACAUUUCUCAAUCAACUCUUUUUAUCUCAAAAAAUGUUAUGGUAUAUUUUUCUACAAAAAUUUUUAAAAUAGCAAUUCAAACCGAGUCUGAAUCUAUUUCACAUUUCCUUAUAUCAUUUUCAUAGAGAUAUUUUUAAGGGUGGCAAUGAAACAGAGUUGAGGUGGAAGAAAAAUCCCCUACCCCCGUUCCAUUGUCAAAUAAUUUCUCUUAUCCCUUAUCACAUCCCCGCCUUGUCUCAUCCCACGACUCGUUGUCAAAUAAAUAUAGUAGAAUUCUUUUCGAAAAGUAAAAUAUAAAGGGAGAAGAUUUCAAUAAAUAUCCUAGUUUGAACUUUAAACAAUUGAACUUGAUAAAGACGAAAAUGUAUAAAAUCGUGAAAUGUGUUGGUUAUCUUAGAUUUAUGACAAAGGAAAAAAACAGAGAAUUGACAAACUAAUUUGAUUUUUUUUAAUACUAUAGGAAAUUGUUUUGCUUGUGAAAGUUGAUGUAACUUUUUUUUCCCUAAGCUGACAUAAUUUUUUUUUUUUAACUCAAACCAUAAAAACACUGUAAAGGGAUAGUGGCAAUACAAAGAAUUUGAACAUAAUGAGAAAAAGGAGGGCCACUAGAGCAAACAAAAUGCACCAUACUCGAAUACAACUGUUUGGGUGCUUCGUCUUUUUGCCAAGUCCAAAAUUUCAUUCUUGAUUGUCCAGGGGAGAUUAUUUGGGAAAAAAUGAUUUAAAAUGACAUUAUAGCAUUUUUUUUUUGCGAUGUAAUAUAUAUAAAAUAAAAAUUACAUUAAUAAUACGAACAUAAUAACAUUUGAAAUUCUUUUUUUUUUUUUUUCAAAUUAUAGCAUCCAAACGGAAUAUUACCACAUCCGAAUUGUUUGUGAAGUGUUGUUCAUUUUAUGUUCCAUGCUCAAAGUAGAAUAAUUCCCUUUCAACCAGACCGAAAAGACAAAAAUUUCUUAAACAAAUGGUUUUAUUUUUGACUGAACCACUAACUGAAAUGGAAUGGUUCAAUAAUGGAUAUUACUAGCAACUGACUUCAGUUGGGAAGCGUCCAGUUAGGUAUACCUUCUCACCCUUUGUCCCAAAACUUUGGCUAUGCUUAUGAUUAGAUGCGAAGACUCUGACAAAACUGGUUGGUUGGUUAGGUAAUAAUCUAACACCAAUGUGUAUGCGGAACUCAAUCCACUUAUCAUAAAUUAAUCUACAUACAUUUACCCGCUGCUGUUCCAUUGGCGUUGAGCCCGCUACAGGCUGAUAGGAGUAGACAGAGAAAUGAGAAGCAUUGACAUAAAUAGAACGCGUGCCAUUUUUUCUUCGUUCGAAAGAAUGAAGUUCGUGCAAGUGCUAAGGGUUCUUGAUCCAAAAACCUUGCGGGAAAAUCAGGAAUUCUUGACCCCUACUUGAUUCAUUAGAAGGACAGUAGUAUUGUUACACGAGGACGUGGAUCAUUAACCUCUAGCUAAAAUUAAACCUAAUAAUUAAUUUACCAUCUUCGCAUUUGAAUCCGUACAGCAGCAUUUGCAUUUGCAUUUGCAUUUGAAUCCAGGAGGCUCAAAAGAGUGUGAAUGCACAAACGAACUAGAAAACGGAGGUCCUAGCAGAACUAACAGAAUGCAGAGUAGUUAAAACUUUUUCUGAAAUAAACACAGAGAACCUGCUUUCCUUCGUCUUCUGCUGGCAAAUAGACGGAUGAAAUUCGGGAAGCACUCGAAAUUAUCAGAUGGAGCUUUACAGUUUACACGCUACUAAUUAGAAGAAUACAUUGUGGGCUCAAAAUAUCUCAAAAAGAUAAAAAUAUAAUUAUGAACUAACAAAAUAGAUGCAACCUAAGUAACCAAUUUUCACAUUGAACCCCCAGGAAAGCGGCGGGCAGAAUAACUGAUGCGACUUGUAAAAUCAGUAGUGUCCCAGUUCCCUUCCCGGGAUUUAUUUUAUUCUCACAAAGCAUGAGAGACUAAAAGCAAAAAAGAAGGAUUUGUGAAGCUAGAGAAGGUGGAAAUACUACUACCAUCGACAAUCCGGUUACGCCAAACAUCUCAAGAAAUUAAUUAGUACAUUAAACAGAAGAUUGUCACGGUCAAACAACUCUUGCCUAACCAAUCUAUUCAGCGAGUCGUUCUCAGGAAGAAGAUCGCCGUAAUAGAGCAUGGUUGUAAUUGAAGCGGCCGGCUGCGCCACCAAUGAUUUCACGAGUCUAACCAGCGACCGGAACAUCAGCGCUGCAAGAAACUGCAGUAAGGAGCAAAAAAGUUUCAAAUUAGAAAUUUUAAAAGCACAAACUUUUAUCCGUCAGGAGAGCAGAUACUAAUCUACAGGAAAAGGACGACUAGACGUUAAUUCUGAUGAUUGAGGAGUAGAGUGAAAAAGCAAGCAUACCAUAGUAAGGAACAGCGCCAAAACUAAGUAUAGAGUUUGGUGUUUGAUGGAUUUUAUUCUGUUCAAAUGGGUUUUCAGCGGACAUUCAGACCUACCGGUCCAUGCUUUGCCUUAGUAAAUGCUGACAGAUGAAGCUAUUCAAGGCAUUGGAAAAGUAAUGCUGUAAUACCGCGAAAAGCAUAUUAAGGCCAGUAAAUGCGAAUUACAAAUGGUAGUUGCCCUUGAACAAGGGAACUGGCAGGAAGUACGAAUGUCAGUUAUGCUGUGGAUGGCUCCAAGAUGGAAGUGCACAGGAUUUUCCCACAAGUGCUGAAAGUCAGAGUAAGUUAGCUGAGAUAUAUUACCGAUUGGGAAUCAUGGCAAGAGAAAAUUUGAAAAACUUUAAUAGGCAUUACAAGCUAGAAGGUGCAAGGCAACAUGAGCAAUUACACCAGCUAAAAUAGGAACAGCAAUCGUUUGUCAGCCUUUGGACUUAUGGUUUUGACUUCCCUAAAAAGCGCCUCCGUGCUAUUGAUAGCCUAGAUUUAGCAACUCUGCCCUGCUCCUCAUCACUAUCCUCGCUAUCUAACACAAUCACUGAAUAUGCGUUACAUGAUGGAGAAGUUUCUUCCUGUUUAUUCAUCUCCCCCAAGAACAUUGCUCUACAAUCUUGCUUGGGUCGCUCAAGCUGCUGCUUCUCAUCAUAGCAGCUCUCAGGUUGCUCAGAAGGAAUCUUAGAUGGUCUCAAAGACUGCAUUUCAAACUGGUUAUUGAUAUUAAUGCUCGAGUCACCAAGAGGUUUCAAUGGCUGUCCCUGCACUGUCCUGGACAACUUGUUAGGUAAGUAUGUGGUGUGGUUCUCCAUGCCCCUCUCAUUACAAUGACCAGUUUCUGAUGCCUCUGACAAACUGGAGGAUAUUGUACGAUUCUUGCUCUCCCAUGCAAUGUUGAAGCUUGAAUUUGGGUCCAGGUUCUCUAUGUUAUCCUUUUGCUGACCUUGAUACGAACUUAACUUCCAGAGAGCAGACUUCCUGCCGGCCAAACCUAGCUUCCUUUGUUUUAUCCUGGUGAAGUCAUUAGCAUCUCCAUUAACAAUUUGACCAUGUUGUUCUCUGCCAUCAUGUUUAAUCGUUUGGGCCAAUCCAAAGUUUUUGUGCAACUCACGAGAGUGAAACUGAAUGUCAGACUGCUGAGGAACAGAAAGUAGCUUCUCAUCAUCAUCCCCAGUUCCUUGGUUUGAGUCAAGAGACUCUAGGAAUGGCUUCUUCUCCAACUUGGUUUCUGUGCUGUUACUUUUUGAAAUACCAUCACCAUCUUUAUUUUUAUUCUGAGAAUACAAAUCAGGCUGCUCCAAGGGCCCAGAUUUCGAAGAAGAUGUUAUCAAGCUUUUGCAUUCUGAAGUGGCUGAACACUCAUUUGACACCACACGGAUCACGUGAUUAUCAUGCUUCACAACAGAAGGUUCGAGUGACAGUUUCUUCCUCGUUCUAGGUGGCUCUUGAUGAGUUUGGUUAUGAUCAUUGGAUGUUAUCAUUGAAUCUUUUUUCAAUCCUUUAAGUUCCAGCAGUUUUUCAUGGAGAUGGCUACUUGGGGCCUGAUUUACACCCUUUCCUUCAUUACUUCUUUGAUCUAACUCUGAAGACUCCAAUGACAACUUCCUGCUGAUUCCACAUAAUCUCUUGUGCCCGACUUCAUACUCGUCAACUCUUUUUUCCUUGACUGAUGUAUCCAUUCCUUCAUUAACUUCUGCCUGCAUAAAGCGUGUAUGAGUACCUAAUCAGAAACUCACAGAUAUGGAGAUGCUAGAGCAGAAAACUUACUAGUUGGAUGCUUGGCUUCAGGACAGCCUGAGAACCUUGCCCUCUACCAGCAAUUUCACUUUCACCAAUCCUGGUAUACUUUUCAGUCAAGGAUCUUGCCUUCUGAUCAAAAGCUUGUCUAUUAUAUUUGUACUCCUGGCUCUGUACGUUAAUCAGAACAAAUUACAGAACUAGGUAACCUGCUCACAACGAGCAUUUUCCACAGCAAUUGAAAGUGUGAUUACUCACAGCUUCAUGCAUCAGGCCAUCAUCAGGAUUUGGUUCACUCAAUAACAACCCGAUGCUUGUUAAGACAGUUGAGAUGUUCAGAGAUGGUUGCCAUGCACCCUGCAAAAUUGAAAGCCACAUCACCAGCCAAGCAAAUUAAACUAUAAUGCUUUUCAAUAAUCUGCCUGUAGGAGAGAAAACUAAGGGCACAUGGUCCACCAAAGUCAGCAAACAGAGGGCAGGGUCUAAGAAGCAUCUAGUAUCAUCAAUUAGGCCGCUAACAAAGAUCCCUCCCGAAGAGCCAGAUAAUACAUAUUGCCUUUUUUUAAGAUGCUAUUCCUCAAGUUGUAGUUAAAAUGAUGUGAGGAAACAUGAGAAUAUUGUCAACUGGUGAUAAUACACAAAAAGUCAGGUGCUAUAAUUUGGACAUCUCCAUGAUUGUGCCUGAGGAACCUUUGGAUGCAAACAUUGAUCAACCUAAUGAAACAAUACGUUUGAGUGCUUUUUGAGGAAAUGAAUUAUUCCGACAUAGAACGAGAAAAUUAAGCAUUAAGAAAUGAAUAGGGCUAUAAAAUUGGUGUCCAGUUUUUGUGACCCACGCAUUCUGGCAUCAUUUCAAUUUUUAGAACUCUAUGCAGAAGUCGAGAAUUGAGAUAUCUUUAAAGAACUGAGGGAUGCAAAUAAAACUGGAAAAACCUUGGGAGGAAGAUUGAGGAUAUCCAGGCAAAUGCGGCCUCCGUUGUCAAUGUUGGGAUGAUAUAUUGGGGUGGCAAAGGUCACCAUAGGAGGCUGAAAUGGGUACCUAGGCACGACAAGGAAUAGUCUCAAUCUAAAUUAUCGCCGGUGACGGAAUUUAUCCAUAUAUAAAAGAGAAAGAAUAUCACAAUCCACCAAAAAGAAGGGGGAUAAAAGUAAGAAAAGUAAUACCUAUCAGGUAUUUGAAUCUUUAACCUAAAGACCCCUUUAGCAUAAACAGUCCCUUCUGGGCCUUCAAUCUCUGUACAAAUACACCAUGUUAAGUGGAUCAAUGCAAACGUAGAUGCAAGUGAAAGUAGCAAUGAUAGUAUGCAUAAAGACAUAAUUGCGGAAGACUUACGGGCAUCGAUGGAUGUAAGAGAAGGGGCGGAGGAGGAGGAGAGGGAAGGGAAAGAGGCGCCGGGAGGUGGGUCGGUGAGGAGUAACUUGAGCUCUUUCUGCAUCCGGAGAUUGAGUCUUGCUGCUUGUACCUGUGCCAUUCCUUUUCUCGAUUUUUUUUUUGGAAUGAGUCCUUCCCUGCUUAUUGUUUCCUAUGGGUAAGGUUUGAUCUUUCUGGCAAUUACCAAUGCCAUAGAAGAUGAUUGAAGAGGAAAGGGUGUAAAAGUAAAACCGCAAACUGCUGAGAGGGGAAUGCGAAGGUGAAAAGCGCGCGGUUUGCCCGAAAUUUAAACCCAAAAAGAGCGACACGGUGCAUUUGGACCCAAACGAAAAUGAGAGCCAAAUGUCCAGUCCAAUCCAAUCCAAUCCAAGGGGAAAAAGAAAACAACAUUAAUAUAUGUUUUGUUGAGAGUGGGAUUUGAACCCACGCCCUUUCGGACCAGAACCUUAAUCUGGCGCCUUAGACCAACUCGGCCAUCUCACCUAUGCAUGUGGACCCAAACGAAAAUGAAGGUCAGAUGUCCAGUCCAAUCCAAUCCAAGGAGAAAAAGAAAGCAACUGCUAUAAAAAGUUUGUUGAGAGUGGGAUUUGAACCCACGCCCUUUCGGACCAGAACCUUAAUCUGGCGCCUUAGACCAACUCGGCCAUCUCAACUAUGCAUGUGGACCCAAACGAAAAUGAAGGUCAGAACUCAGAUGUCCAGUCCAAUCCAAUCCAAUCCAAGGAGAAAAAGAAAGCAACUGCUAUAAAAAGUUUGUUGAGAGUGGGAUUUGAACCCACGCCCUUUCGGACCAGAACCUUAAUCUGGCGCCUUAGACCAACUCGGCCAUCUCAACUCUGUUGUUGCAAGAGAAUAAAUAUAACUAAUAAAUAAUUUGCUUAUUUCGGGUUUCCAAUCAAAAAUAUUAUGUGCCAGGUAAUCCCUAAUUUUUAUACGAUAAUGUGCUUAAUCUGACUAUAAAUCUGGUCGAAGUCCGUUGAGAAUUUUGAAAACAAAGUAGUAAUUGCAAUACUUGGGGCAAAAUCGAGCCCAUGAUGAUAUUUUUGAGGCCAGCCGAAAUUUGGAACUAACCUUCAAAAAAGAAAAUUCGAACUUCAACUGUUCUAAAAUUGUUUUUUACCGGCAUCAAGUAGGAAACUUCGACGAAAAAAUGGGUAGUAAAAGAUUACAUGCUAUUCGUUUUCAAUGAUUGUAUCUGUAUGUAUUUCAAAUUUUUUGACAAAAAAAAAAUAAGAAAAAAAUAUUUCAAUUGUAUGAGCCACAUAUUUUUUAUGCGAUUCACAUCUGCCAGAAAUCACUACCGUGCCUCAAAAUCAUUCCAUUGCCUCCAUAAUGGAGCUUUUAUAACUUGGUUUUCCCACAUUUGAUCAAUUGAAUGGCAGCCAAAAAAAAAAAAGAAAAGAAAAGAAGAUUAAAAACAUUUGAACUUUAAAAUACAAGUUCAGCAUUUGACGAGCAACAUUUCAAUAAUUUAAUUGCAAUGCAGUCCAGUUCAAUGCCAAUAAAAAGUAAAAACACUCUCUCUGUCAACUUAUUCAUUUAACUAGUAGAUCACACAAAGGUGAAGUGGGGAGGGGGUCAUCAUUUCAAACUUAUAUACUAUGUUAAAGGCUCGCUUUUUUAGAAAUUUUAACCGCUCAUGCACAAAAUUUUUACUGUAUAGCCUGUGCUUUGGUCUCUUAAUCUGUACGCAGCAAGAAAUAAAUAAAUGAAUCUCCGUUGAUAAUUAAUGGUUGAGACUUGGGGCACAAGUCCACGCGGUAGAGGCAAGAAGUGUAUCAUCCAGUAUUAGUUAAAACGUCCAUGUGAUGUAGGUUGAAUGUCAAUUGGUCAUUUCGAUUGUGUAUGUGUGGAUUAAAGUUUAAGCGUGCUUCAACGCGUACUCUGAACCAUCUCUUUUAAUUUCCACUUCGUGCACUGUGUUUUGUAGUUUUUUUUUUUUUCGCUUCUAUCUUUUUCUUUUCCGUUUUCCUCUUGCUUCAUCUUUAUUCUUCAAAAGAAGAAGAAAAAAACUCAUCGAUGUGAGGAGAAAGAAACAAAAUUGGCAUUUCAUUCACUUCGGGUGAAGCACUUGCUGUGCAAUUAAAAUAUGGUGCACUUUCUCUGCAAUUAGCAUGAAUUAGUUGUUGGUUAAAGUCUAUUGACUCUUGAAUGCAUAUUGUGUAUGAUCUACAUCUCUUUGACUUACUUAUUUUAGCGCUAUACGAUACUUUCACUACUCCAGUGCUAUAAAAUAUAAUCUCGAAAGAUUAGAGGGAAAAAAUGGUAACAGUGGCGGCGAUUAAGAAAGCAGAGUAACGUGUUAAAAUUGACCGAUCUUCGGGCAAGUAAAUGAAAUUAUAACAUAUUUUUACUUUACAUAUAUUAAAUCGUUGUCGUAUAUUUUUAUACAAAAAUUCCUAAUCAAACGGGAAUUGUUGUCAAGUGUAUUUAUUCCAAUCUCCUGCAAGACCUGAUUACUAGAAUUUGCUCCUCAGAAUUUUGAGAAAUAAUUAAAAAAAAAAAUCGUUGGACUUUGAUGUACAACCCACUGCACCACCGUCGGGAAUAGAAUAAGCAUUAGGCAUAAUUUCAAAAACUUCCCUUGAGAUUUUUAACAAUUUUACCUAGUUCUCUUGAGGUUUGAAAAAUUACUUAUACCUCUCCCGAGUUUAUCGUUUCCGUAACAAAAACUAUUUAAUGAUCAAAAUUUUGAACGAAUAACCCAAAAUGCCCUCAUAAAAUUGUGAAGUUUAUUUUAUCUUUUUUUUUUUAUAAAAUUAUUCAAAAGCUAUGCAGUUGUAAAACCUCAACAAUUUCUAAAUUCUAAAACCUCAAUCGAAAUUUAAAAAAUUUGUAAUGUUAAACUAAAAUUUUUUUAAUAACCACAUCAAUAUAGCAUCCUAUCCCUCAACUAUUUGAGUAUCAAUACCAGUUCUAUCCUUUUUAAACUCAAUUUACAUAAUUUUCUAUGCAUCUUCAGAUCCUCCAAGUAAAGCUAAAAUUAAUUUUAAUAUAUUAUUAUUGUGUUUAGAACAUGAUCAAUUAUUCCACGAGGGGAUUUUAUUUUUAUUUCUAUUAAAUGCCUAUUUGUGUGAUGCAUUCAUAUGAACAAGAUUAGGAGUGAAUUGUUUAAUUGCAUGAAAAGAUUGUUAACACCACGAGGGGAUUAUAUAUGUUAAGAUUGUUAUGGUCAUUUUGUACGAUCAAAAGAGAUAUGUAUAAUAUUGAAAAUCUCGAGGGUACUAGGUAAAAUUGUCAGAAACUUUGAGGGAGGUUUCUGAAAUUAACCCUAAGCAAUAUGAUGAGCAAUUUGUUUUUUUUUUUAAGAAAAAAAAUUUUGUUUUGGCGAAGGUCAAGUGUAGAUACGUAAGAUAGUCUAUAUAUGUUUUUUUGUAUGGGUUGGAGAGAGAGCGAGGGGGGCGGGGGUGUGUUGUGCAGGCGCGCGAAUUGCUAUGGUCUUCCAUUUGCUUUAAAGUCAAAUUAGACGCUCCUCCUACCACCAGUAAGUGUCAUAGUACAAGUGUACAACCAAAUUUACGUACCAGAUACCACUGCUACUAUUACAACCUCGCUUGGAAGGGGAUUUUUCAUUAAAAAAAAAUUUUUUUUUCUUCCUUUUUUUAAUUAUUUUUUAUUUCAUAUAUAUUGUUAGAUCGUUAGUAUAUAUUCUUCAAAAUUUUCAGAAAAUUAUAAUCCAAACACGUUAGCAUCCAAACUGACUGGAAAAAGAAAAAAGAAAAAAGAAGCGAUUUCUCGAUACAUGGCCAGGGUCCCAGGUGUCCCCAGUCUCCUCCAUUGAAAGAGAGAGAGAGGGAGAGAAGCGCCCGGUCUUUGUUUUCAAAAGUUUCAAAGCUACUCAAUUUCAAUGAUGAUACCUUCCUUUCAAAAAAGCCUCCAAACUGAAUUGUGAACCCCCUCUUGGCCUUAACACCUCCAUCCCAGCACGCCUAACCAGUAACCUCCUCUCUUCCAUCUUUGAUUCCACCUGUUCUUUCUUUCACGCUUUCACAUGAGUAGCCAGGCUGCUCUUGAACAAAUUUUCUGUCUUUUCAACUACCACCGCCAUCUCCAAUCUCCAAUUUGUUUCUCCUUUUUCAUCCAAAGCUCUCUCUCUGUCUUCCACCCUGCCCCCCUCCCCUCGGCCCCUCCUUUGCUUUGCAGGACCGACAUUAACGCUUCUGUUCUCCACUUCUCUUGAAAAUCAGUUUUCCUGCCUCACCUUACCGUUUUCUUAUUGCAGUCAAAGCCCAAUAGAGAAAUACUCAAGCAAAGAAAACCAUUCUAAUCGACUCGAUCAGUGAAGAAGCAGCAGCUGAGAAUCCGCAAGAAGAUGAACGUGGUGGGGAGGCAAAUGCAGAGAUCUAGUUCAACCGGAGGUCACCACCAGCGUCAGUACUCCGACAACUUCAUUGAUACUGCCUUCAACAACAAAUGGCUUCGGUCAGUUGGUCUUCAUCAUCUUCACUCCUCCAAUUCCUCCAUUCCUCCUCUUCAGGUUAAACAUUGUUCCUUUUUUUUUUUUUUUAUCGACGUCGAUACCAUACUCCUUUUCCUUUUCCUUAAGGUUGAUGAUUGCAAUUAUACUUGCAUUUGUUUUUCAUAUGCAUAAAUUGCCGCACUCUGAGCAGUUUUUACUCAAGCCGACUAUCAUCACUUAUUUAUAUAGUUAUGUUUGUGUCAUGCAACUCCCUCAUCUCGAGAAUCUGACUAUAGCCCUGUAGUUCGGGGUCUCUUUUCAUCAUCUUGCGACUGGCGUUUGAUUCUUCCUGUCACCAUCCCCUUCUGACCCCUCCCCUUGUUAAUUGGUAAUUCCUAAAUGCUGGCAUUUGAAUUGGUAAUGUUGCAGGAUUUUGGGUUUUUUGGCGCUAAUGGGGGAGGCCAGGGUUCAAAAUGGGGAAAGAAUGGGCAGAGAGGUGUAAGUGGUGGAGGAGGAGAUGAGGACCCAUCCUCUCCCACGGCUUCUUCCAGGUCAUCUAGCAUGAGGAAGAAUGGAAAUGGAGUUGAAGUGUUGCCAGGUGAACUCAGCCCUGGAUUGCUUGAUUUGCAUUCAUUCGAUACAGAACUUAUACCUGAGGUUUGUAAACUUUUCUUCUUUCAAGCCCCUCAUGUUCUUAUCUUGCCUGUCAUUUAUGAAUGAACUUGUCCAGUGGAUGAAGUCUAUGUGAACUGAUGCGGGCUGUUUUUUGUCUAUGCUGCUGAGAAGCAUAAAUUAGGAAUUCUACCUUUUGGAAUCCUAAAAGUUAUUGUGUUCUUGAGAGCUAUUACAAGUUCUGUAUGACAUAAUGGUAGACGAAUGUGACAAGUUCUAUGUCGGAAAUUAAAUUUGCAUCAGAGCCAUGGCUUACUUGUAAUUUGACAUUUCGUGGGUUUUAACAUAUUAGCAAUCUCUACUUUGCAGUUUCCUUCCCAGAAUGAUGGAUCUUUACUCAAUCAACCCCUUUGUGGUAGAAGUUUUGAUGAUUCUAGGCCGUGCAUCUCAGCUAAAUAUAGUAAGAAUCCUCGAGGUUUAUCUGAUAAUGAUCUUCUCAAAAGCUUCUCCGCAGAUAAAGAGAAAGCUAAUAAUGUUGCUAAGAUCAAAGUUGUGGUAUGCCCUUCUUCUUUUUCUUUCUUUGAAAGAAGCUCGUAACCUGGUCUUUUCUAGUUGAGAGAUUACAUUUAGAGGACUUUAUGUAAUUGUGGCUAAGUUUACAAUAUAGCUUUAUUUGGGUCCCAUACUUUGACUUAUAGUACCAGUGAAAAAUUGCAACUGCAAAUGCAGGUGCGUAAGAGGCCGCUCAAUAAAAAAGAAAUUGCAAAGAAAGAAGAAGACAUCAUAACAAUAGAUCCAAAUGCUAAUUCACUCACUGUCUAUGAGACAAAGCUCAAAGUAAGUUUCUGUUGGCUCGUCUUUGCUACAGCUAUUUUCUUGCACAAGUUUACCUGUUCAGAUGUUAGCCUUCCUCUCGUAAAUGCUGCUGUCUUCUCGAUCUUAGUUCCUGGAAUUCUCGUUACCUCAUUUGGCAGGUUGACCUGACUGAGUAUGUUGAGAAGCAUGAAUUUCUUUUUGACGCUGUGAUGAAUGAGGAAGUCUCUAAUGAUGAGGUGAGUACUUCACAGGACUUAUUAUCUCUUCUAAAAAGUAAAUCUGUUAAUGACCUUUCUUAAUGUGACAGGUUUAUGCUGAAACUGUUGAGCCCAUAGUCCCAAUUAUAUUUCAAAGAACAAAAGCAACUUGCUUUGCGUACGGCCAAACAGGCAAGUAGUUGACUCUUUUUUUUUUUCCAAAUUUUUUGGAAGUGCAGUUCCUUGGCUUGUGUCUAUAACAUGACUUAACAUAGAAAGUUAUUUUGACGCAUAUAUCAUUAACUAGACUCCACAGGAGAUCCUUAAAUUUUAAAAUGUCCCGCAGAUUCUGAAGAACGAUUUUUGAUCUCCCUCUAACAAGUUAUCAUUCUAUAUAUUGAAACUAAAACAGCGUUGCACUUUUCAAAGUGAAGAUUAACUGUUUCUUGUUUUAAUGACCUCAGCUUUUUAUUCUUAAGAUAAUUAUGCCUUUGAUAAUUAUAUCUUUGGCAAUAUUGGAUAAGUUUGUCUUGAAGAUAUUAAAAAUUUACUCCGGUUGCCAGCAUGGAAUGUUCCUCAAUGUUUUGCCAAAGCCUUUUCUCAUCAAGCAGAAGAGUAAGAACCAAAGCCUGAUAUUUGGUGUUCAGAGAUCUGAUGUAUUGAUAUUGUAGCUACUCUUACAUGAACUCUUUGUUCUGUUAAACAUGUAAGUUUAGCUGAAUAUAUUGUACUUACAUAAACUCUUUGUUCAGUUAAACGUGAUAGUUUAUGCUGCUGUGUUGGCUAAGGAUGCUGAUUCAGCUCUUUAUUUGGUCAACCUUGGUUUCUUAGAUAAGCAUAUAUUUUAUCAAACCGUCCUGUUUUUGGGUCUUUUCAAUCUUUCAGCUCAUUGGUCAUGUUUAAUUGCUGAGGUUAAGUUGUUCAUGAGCUUUUCUCAGGCAGUGGGAAGACUUACACUAUGCAGCCAUUGCCGCUGAAAGCUUCUCAGGAUAUACUGAAGUCAAUGCAAAACAAUUAUCGAAAUCAAGGAUUUCAACUUUUUGUCAGUUUCUUUGAGAUAUAUGGAGGCAAGGUUUUUGACCUGCUAAAUGAUAGAAAGUGAGCCUCUGACUUUGUAUAACAUUUUGACUAGGCAGAGGUUUUACUAAAUUUGCUUUUCAUUAAAGAGAAACUUUCUUUGUGUCAGCAAGCUAUGCAUGAGGGAGGACGGGAAGCAGCAGGUCUGUAUUGUAGGUUUGCAAGAAUACAAGGUAUCCACUGUGGAGACAGUCAGGGAGUUGAUUGAGAAAGGAAAUGCAACAAGGAGUACUGGAACCACUGGUGCAAAUGAGGAAUCCUCCCGUUCGCAUGCCAUACUUCAGCUCGCCAUCAAAAGAAAGGUUGAUGACAAUGAUUCAAAACCAGCUCGACUAGUUGGCAAGCUAUCUUUCAUUGAUCUUGCUGGAAGCGAACGUGGGGCUGAUACAACUGAUAAUGACAAACAAACUAGGUAGCAUUAGAUUAGAUAGAUCUGCUAUGUGUAUGAGUAAGAAUUGCAAGAAAUUGUCAACUUAUUUGAGGAUCACUGAAUCUUACCUUCUUUUGCAGAAUGGAAGGUGCUGAAAUUAACAAGAGCUUACUUGCUCUAAAAGAAUGCAUUAGAGCUCUUGACAAUGACCAGGGUCACAUUCCAUUCAGGGGGAGUAAACUGACUGAAGUUCUGAGAGAUUCAUUUGUUGGUGACUCCCGUACAGUGAUGAUAUCCUGCGUUUCACCAAAUUCAGGGUCAUGUGAACAUACUCUGAACACUCUAAGAUAUGCUGACAGGUAAAGCCAUCAUGUAAGAGAAGUUUCAUGAAGUUAAAAUGUACUUUGCUUUAGAAAGGUCUAAGGUUCAAUUGCAUAUCAGGGUUAAGAGUCUAUCUAAGGGGAACAGCUCAAAGAGGGAACCGCUGUCCACAUUAAAUCUUCGUAGUUCAACUCCAGUGCCUUUGUCCUCAAUCAGUCAAGUUGUGUCAGGCCCUGAGGAUAAUGUAUUUGGUGGGCUGCAGAACCAAGAGCUCAGCAAACUUGGAUGGCCUAAACAACAAGAAAGGGAAUCCUCACUAUCUUCCAACAUUGAGCGUGUUCCUAGUGGUCAAGCACAGAGCAAUUUGGCUGCCACAGUGCAUAUAGAGAAUCACAAGCAAUUUGGUCCAAGUAUUGAUCGUGUUCCUAGUGGACGAGCCCAAUGGAGUAGUCUGGUUCACACAAAUGAAGAUAAUUUUGAUGGCUCUAAAGGGAUCUCUGACCAUGCAUCUUGGUCUAUAAAUCCAAAAUUGGAUAGCCAUCAGCUACGAAAUAUAGAUGAUAAGACUGGAAACGUAAAGUAUGGGGACCCAUCUGAACUUGAGCCAAGUAGCUUGAUCGCAGAAGAUGAUCUUACUGCUUUGUUAAAGGUAAAAGCAAUAUUUGAUCUUGGUUUACUUGUCAAAAGAUAAAAUAACAACUGCUAAGUUAAAAUUCUACUUGUUUGAUGUCAGGAAGAGGGAGAUCUUAUCAAUGCUCAUAGAAAACAAGUUGAGGAAACUAUGGAAAUUGUCAAGGAGGUUGGUUAUUCAGUGCUUUUUGCCUAUCUGCGUACAAUAAGUUUUAAAAUACAGUUAAGUAUUAAGCUGCAUCUCUUGUUUACUGUGUUUCUCUAUGCAGGAGAUGAGUCUAUUAGUUGAAGUUCAUGAACCCGGUAAUCAGCUUGAUGACUAUAUUUCUAGACUGAAUGCCAUUCUAUCCCAGAAGGCUGCUGGAAUUCUGCAAUUGCAAAAUCGCUUGGUAGAAUUUCAAAAGCAUCUUAAAGACCACGAGGUUUUCUUAUUUCCUUCUGGUCAUUGAGUCAACUGUUGAGAUUCGACAGAAACUACCACUUAUACAGAGUUAGCCUCAAAUUGGUGAUACUAUGACUUCUUGGUCCUACCUGGUCUGCAAAUUUUAGGUUGGUUGCUUUGAGAUCUACUUCCGGGGGACAAUACUACUAGAUGUACAGACUUACCGAGCGGAUUAUGGAAGGCUCAUCAAACGAUGCAGAAAUGCAGUAAUUAGAUGUUCAAUCGAAAUGCUGCCAAUAGCUAUAUGGGACGGGUUAUGCAACUAUUGGCAGUGUAUCUUGGAGCCUCAGAAGUCUCAGCAUGUUGAAAGAUAUUGUAAGAAACUUUGGAUUGGGCUUGUGCUGGUGAAAAUUUUCACCCCAAUUGUUGGUUAUGUUGUAUGGGUGACGGUACGAGAAUGCCUGUCAUCUGCUUUGUGUGCAUAUAAUGGGUACCGUUCCUUGGAGUUUGCCAUGUUAUUACAUCCCGACUCCUAAGAUAAAACUACAACUCAACCUAAAGUGUAUUUUCAUUUGAGUGCAUGAGGUAAUCGCUAGAUAUCCGUAUGUUAUUUCUAGACUCACAGAAGUAACGAACUUUGACCGCAAGCACCGUAUCUCACUUGUCCCUAUGGAUAGCAAAAGUAGUUUUUCAGAAGAGAGAUUAUGGCAACUUGUUUUCAUCCCUCAUGAUGAAUCUACAGGGAAAUAUUUACACAAAUAUUGAAGUUCUUUAAGGAGACCAUUAAUUCGGCAAAACACAAAUCUAUAAAUCAACGGGUUAUAUAUAACAAAAAGAUGAGGAAUCAGCUAGAUCAAAUUGCAAGGAGGCCACAGGGUUCGAUCUCCAUCCGACCCAUCAUCCAAACACUUGGGAUCCUCGGUUACAUUACACUUGGGAUCCUCGGUUACAUUUUUUUUAGUGCCAACCCAAUGCCACCACUAGAAUUGUGUCAAGUGUCUUGUUGUCAUUAGCAUUUUAAUUUUUUAUUAACUCAAAUUGGUUCAAAAUUAACACAAAUUUUCUUAUUCUCUAAAACUCUAAACCAAAAGGCACCCGGCCGGUCUAACUCCUGCAUCGAUAAUUUUAUACCGCUGCUGCUUUGGGGAAAAAGAAUAAGAAAACCCUCUGUUUCCGAUGAUUGCCUUCAUUUGUGGCUUGAUCGAUGGUGUUCCAGUAAACCAUUAGCCCAAGAGCUUUGUGUCGUGGAUCCGCCGCAUCAGUUGGUUUCAGAUUUCUUUGGUCCAAGAAUUUGAUGGGGCAAGGAGUUAGCAUUGGGAUUCGGAGUUCAACCAAUGAAUGCGUCUGCAAGGUUGAUAUUAAGCCUUGGUUAUUUACUCCAAGAAAAGGGUUCAGAAGUUCAGAGGCCAAUUCCACUGCAAUUGACAUAUAUUGGGAUUUUUCAUCCGCAAAAUUUGGUUUUGGCCCGGAACCGCUAGAGGGGUUCUAUUUAGCUGUUGCAUUUAACCAAGAACUUGUCCUGCUCCUCGGGGAUUUGCAAAAGGAAGUGUAUAAGAAAAUAGGUCCUAGCCCUGUUGAAUCUAAUACGGUGUUUAUUGCCAAAAGAGAGCACAUCUUUGGGAAGAGAGUAUACACUACAAAGGCUCAAUUCUGUGACCACGGGCCGAUACAUGACAUCGAAAUUGAGUGCGAUACUGGGGGGAUUAACGAUCCAUCUCUGGCCAUCAGCGUGGAUAGCAGAGCGGUGUUGCAGGUGAAGCGGCUGCGGUGGAAGUUCAGGGGGAACCAGACUAUUUUGGUGGAUGGACUGCCGGUGGAAGUGUACUGGGAUGUUCACAGGUGGUUCUUAGGGAAUGUUAUGGGCAAUGCUGUUUUCCUGUUUCAAACCUGUCUCUCGGCCGAGAUGCUGCGAAACAGAGGGUUUUCUUAUUCUUUUUCCCCAAAACAGCAGCUGUACAAAAUUAUUGAUGCUGGAGUUAGACCGGCCGGGUGCCUUUUGGUUCCGAAUUUUAGAGAAUAAGAAAAUUUGUGUUAACUUUGAACCAAUUUGAGUUAAUAAAAAACUAAAGUGCUAAUGACAACAAGACACUUGGCGCAAUUCUAACGAUGGCGUUGCAUUGGCACUAAAAAAAAUGUAACCGAGGAUCCAAGUGUCAUCCAAAGCACUAAACAGGGGUGCUACGAACGAAAAAACAACUUGAUUCAAGUGUGGGACUAAACCAUUAAUGGUGUAGAGUCAAAUGCUAGAAAAUUCAAAAUGGUGGAGAAGAUUUUGAAUGAGAGAACAAUCUGAUUGAAUAGGCAUCGACUUGAGUUUGGAAUUUGUUGUUUGCACGCUGAGGUGCUUGGAAAACUUGCGGAUUCACCAGCCAGGAUAGUAUAAAUCAAUGGCUGGAAACCGUGCAAUAAGAUUUCCAGCAAUCCUGUUUGUGUUAAAAUUUGGCAAACAGCUCCCUUGGUGAAGCCCAGAAACUAAGGUUUUCCGUUUCCCACAGAAGAAAAAUAGAUUUUUGUUGUCCCAUUUUCUGUUUUUUGGUUUUUUUUUUUUUUUUUUUUGCAAAGAAAUGCAAGUCGCCAUGCUAAAAGAAAAGACUUGUGUUUUGAACAAAUUGUAUGCUAGACUGACCAGUAGUAAAGAAAAGAUUUGUCCAAGUACAAAAGAACUAAAACUUGUUGAACGGUCAUUUUCUGGCCUCACAGCCUCAUUUUUGUCUGCGCGUGUCGUGGAGGGUCAGCUGGGGACAGCGAAAGGGAAAGUAAUCCUCAGGAAGAAGACGACGUCUGUAAAACUUGAUGAAUGACUCCAAGAGUUUGAAGGGAGAGCCAGACGACCGCCAUAGGGCAAUUGGUAAACGACAGAAAAUGGCAAAGACCCAUACCGUCUCAUUACCAUCCAAGAUGAGAAGAAGAUAUAUACAACACAACUGAGUGGAGAAAAAAAAAAAACAGCACCCACGCCACGCACAAACCCACACCCGUCCCUUGACAAAUGCUGUGUUAUAUACAACGCAUCACAAAACCUCCCGCUGGCUGCUGCAGAUAGGUGGACGCAUCAAUGCGGAUUAGAUUUAGAUCCAGAACUAGAAGGGCACUGCUGGUUCCUCAUAGGUCACAAUUCACAAGUGAUGUGUCACUGGAUUUUCAAUACAAAUUUGGAAACGUAUAAUUUCUUCAUCAACUUUGCAAUGCAUAUAUUCAGGGUGAUCUUGACCAUUCAAUGAUUCCCCAUCCCUUUUUUGUCCGAAAGGUGCUUUGUCAUCAUUCUCUACUACUUCUUUGGGUUGAAAUUUAACGUCUCCCUGCUCCCACCAUAACUGCACUUUAAUUUACAGUCAAUGUUGCCCUGUUUGUUUAUAUUUUACGUCUUUUCUUUGAUUCCUCUCUUUCAUCCAACUGAGAAUCUCUUAUCUCUAGUUUAACCAAUUGUUGCUCUGUGGAUGCUCUUCGUUUCAUCCCCCAUUGGGUACUUGAAGAAAGCUGAGAAUUUACCGAGUGCCAUACAUAAGUUUACGACACUACCCAAGACGUAGGUGAUAAAUACUAGGUGGUUUUACCACGUAUGUAUGUUGAUUGGGAAGGGAAAAAAUUCUAGAGGAAAUUGUGGAGCUGCUCUCGCUUCUAAUCCAAGGGCUGCUUUAUGUUACCUCGUAUUCUAUCACAUCCACAAUUAUCCUUCUUAUCCAAAUACUUGUUUUUGAUUAUUUGCCUUUAGCAAAGUCGUUACCAUGAAACUGUGAAAGGAGCAUUUGCGAUAAAGGUUGGACUAAAAGUUGUAGCUCUAAAAGUUCAAAUAGAAAUUUUGUUUUCACGUAUAUGUAUGAUCUUGUCACCUUGUGAAUUUCUUUCUGCAGACAAUUAAUGUGUCUUUUCUUCUAAUUUGAUGGAAGACUUUAAUUAACUUUAAUGGUUAUGUGGUAGUGGCUACCAAAGGGGUCUUGAUCAAGUUGUUAAUAUUAAAGUUUCCAAAUUAGAGGUCGUGAAUUCUAAUUCUUCAUCUAUUUCUUUCAUCUCAUGACCUAUAAUAAUAAUGAUGAUGACUAAGUCUUUGGAUCCUCUACUACAAUUUUUGUGUUAAACUCCCUAUUUUAACGUGUGGCGAGGUCUACAAGAAAGUGUUGAGAGCCUCUUGUUUGGAUUGCUAUUUUUCUUCAAAAAAUUUGAACAUUUUUCGUAAAUAUAUUUCUCAAUCAUCUUUUUAUAUUAUAUACAUGAAAUCGUUUUAGUACAUUUUUCUAUGAAUUUUUUUUUUACCUCACAUACAUAAAAUCGUUACAAUAUAUUUUUUUUUAAAAAAAAACUAAAAAAAUGGCAAUCCAGAUGGACUCCUAUACAUUUCUCAAUCAUUUUUUCAUCUUAUAUAUAUGAAAUUAUUAUAAUACAUUUUUCUACAAAAAUUCUUUUUGCCUCGUACACAUAAAAUCGCUACAAUAAAUCUUUUAUAAAAAUUUAAAAAAUAGCAAUCUAGAUGGACUCUUAGUAAUUGAAAUUCUACAAAACAACAAAAUAUGCCGUCGUUGCUAUGGGACCGAAAAGACAACGUAAUCUUGUGUUUAUUGUACAAAUCUGGUUUCCCUUGCGUCCCUUUCAUGAAACGGCCACUUUUCUCAUCGCAAAUUUUAGGCUUUUCAUCGUAUCUCUGACCUUUCCUCAAAUUCGCUGUCAAUGUGCGUCUCUGUGGAGCACAUAAUUUAUCAGCUCUUAAAGUAAUGAACUUCAUCGAUUGAUUUACCAUUUGAAUAAAGAUACUAUUGGUAUUUCAAUUAACAACGUUAUAUAGGUUAUUUUCUAUCAAGUUUUCACUCUACAUGAGAUGAUAAGGGGUGAAGUGAAUAUAUUGAAACGUUAGGGAGGGUCACGUGGCAAUAGAUGAAAAUACAAAAGAAUUAUAUGUAAUUUAACCUAUACUUUGCUUACUCCAAUAUACUAAAAUUAAUGGCAUGAGAAGAAAGUUUUAAACAAGAAUUUGUGCUUUGAAUAGUACGACAAGAAUUUUGGAUUUGUUCUCUGUUCGACAAUUUGUCUAGGGGUUUUAAACAAUUAGCAACUGAACUCAAUUUUAAUGAUUGCCCGUUAUUCUUCAUGUGUAAAUGACGUUCAUGGAUAUCCGAUAUGUUAUCCAAAAAAAAAAGAAACAAUAACACAAAGUUGAUGUCAUUUAGGGGUGGGUGAUGGGUUGAAUAGUACUUAAAAAAGGAAGUGCAAGUGCAAGUAAGAAAUUUGAUUUCGAGACCUCCUCCACCCCACCACCGGCACCAAGAAGUGUAUAUAUAUUAAAUCCACUUUAAAGGUAGUACCUAAAUUAAGACGAUUACAUGUGUAAGGACGGUUUUGGCUAACGACACAACUAAUUAAAUAGCUUCGUCCGCGAUAAUCUACCAACCAAAACAGGAGAAACGUUUCCUUAAUAAUAAUUUUUAACUUAUCUGACAUCGUUGUCCCAUAUAUUAGGUGAAUCAGCUCAUGGGCCGGUUGCCAAUCCUGCAUUUCCACACAUACACAAAGCCACAACCUUUCGCUGUCACAGUCGAAAUGCUCUGCCCACCAGAUCGUACGGUUGGACAUAUAAAACCAAUAUUAGGACACAUCAUUGGCCUCCGCAACGUCACGCUCCAUGGAAUUAUAGGAUCCCACUAAAUCCCCUAUUUUAAGCAAAACAUAUCUCUAUUUAGUAUGCAGAGAUUAUUUUAAUGGUUGUGUUCGUUGUUUAGCAUAAGACAAGCAUAGGUUAUUAGAUUUGGACUUUGGAGCGCACUUUAAAUUUAGAGAUAUGUUUCCCAGGACUCAAACACCCACUAAGAACAGAAACGCCCCAAAUUAUAUAUGGAGAACAAAGCGGACAGGUGUCCGGUGGAUAUUGUGCCACAUACUAAUAUGUCACUUUAGCCGCCGGUGCACGAGUGGGAGCGCUGUGUUUACCGGCCCAAAAGAGAAACAAUAAUAAAAAAAAAAAAAAAAAAAAAUGAAAAGCGGAAAGCAAAUCGGAUGCCUGCCCAGCGGCUGUUUGGCCCCCCGCUCUGAAUUUCUGUUUUCUUACCCAAAAAGGCUCGUCAACUCGUGCCUCCCUGCUUCGGCGCGUCUCUCCUGGUUCUGUUGUUAGGCUUUGGGUAACUUGGAUCGGAGGCCUCUACACAGAUAAUUCCACCGUGUAAGUUUUAGUGUACACGCUGAAAUACCAAAUAAUGAAAAAUAUGAACUGUUUCGUAUCUCAUAUAUUGGAAAAAAAAUAUUUAUUUUUGUCCAUCGCUUCUAAAAUAAAACAAACGAGUCCCUCCACAUUUGAAAGAUGAAGCAAAUUAGUCUUGGUAUGACUACCUGGUUUAGAUUUUAGGAGUAGAAUUUGAACAUCACUUUAGUUUCUUCCAAAUCCGAUAUGCCCAUGAUAUUAACUCAACAUAAGAAAGAAAGAAAAAAUUUUAAAUUAUAACAUCAAAGACAAACCCUCCUGUAUAAAAAUAUUUUUUGAGCAAAUAAUAUUAAGUCAACAUUAAAAGAAAAACCAAAAAAAAUGUAGCAUCAACGAGGUUCUUAAUCUGAAUAAAAAGUUGUAUUACUUACAUUACAAAGAAAAGCAAAUAGUAAAGUCACGUGCGCUGAUGCACAUCUCUCAAUUAUUAGUUGUACUUUUAUAUAAUUUAACACCUCCAAUCUUAAUGUAAUUUUUUAUUUUCUAUCUUAAAUUUUUGAGUGUAUCUAUUUCUUAUGGAAAUUUAUACUCACACAAAUUUUAAUUAUUUCUUAAAUUGCCAAAACUUCAUGAAUUUGUGUAUAAUUUUUAAGAUUAUAGCAUUUGCAAUACUAGCAUGACUCUAUUAGAAGUUUAUUCUGUGAAAUUCAUUUGGCAUAUCGUGUUUUAAUGAUCCAUUAUAAAGAAGUUUAUCCCUCUUAAGUUGACUUGGCAAGUGCACACGGGUGUUGGCCAAUGGAGGGCUUUUUAGCGUCUUUCCCACGGUUAAAUUUAGGGUUCAAAUUCCGUCUUUACGGUUGAUGGUGGAAAGAGUGUAGAGAAGGGUGGAAGGGUUAAAAAAAAAAAUGCAUAAGGUGUUAAAAAAAAAAUGCAAAUUCAUAUUUUUCAAGCUAAUAAGUUCCAAAUUGUUAUUUUUAUGUUGCAUUUGUACCUUGCUUCACAUUUCGUUUGAGUUCUACAUUACUUAGGAAAUAAUUGAGAUUUUUAAGAUAUUUUUUUGCUACAUGUUUAUUUUUACAAUCACCAUUUUAUCUGACAUAAAUUAUAAAUAUAUGUUAUAAUUAAAAAAUUCCAAUGCAAUCGUUAAUUUUGUAAGUAAAUAUAAGUACUGCCACCAGUAUUACGAUAAACACUUUCAAUUGCUUAGAGUAUAUAUUUUUUUGUAAAUUUUUACGCUUUUUAUUGCUAAAAGUUUUAGUGCACGUAUAGUUGUAUUUAAAUCAAUUUAGCAAUUGUUAAAGAAAUAGUUAUUUAUUAGGUUGCAAUUGUUAUGUAUUCGAGAAUUAGUCAAGAGUAUUUUGGUCUUGUAAAAUAUAACCUCGCCUUAAUCAUUAUAAUAAUAUUAAAGCGUAAAGUGUAUAUAUUUGCGGUUUAUGGGACAAAGUGUUAACCCCAUUUAAAACUUAUCUCUUUCUUAUGUAGUAUGACCUCAACCAAAAAAAAAAAUUUUUUUUUUUGACCAUAUCAUCGCGGAUUUUUUUUUUAAAAAAAAAAACUUUCUUUUUUUAUAUUCGCAGAAACACAACAUGGAGUUACUGUGGUCCCUGAUGUAUGUACCCAAGAACCUAUUGGCCAACCUUUUUUUUGAAGCAAGCCUAUUGGCUAAUCUUAAACCUUGAAAUUAAUACCCCAUUCAAAGAAUUAAAUUAAGAAAAUGUCAGAAAAAAAGAAUUAAAUUAAGAUGAUGAAGGUGAUUCAGCUAGGUGUUCUUUCCAGGUUAGCAAUUUUGGCAUCACGCCAUGUGCUUAGGACACGUUGCAUAUUCUGUAAGGGACCACGCCAAUUUUUUCAAAAAGUCCACCACCUUCACUCCCCGCGCGUGACCUUAGAACAGAAGUCAUAAAAGCUUGGAAAAUAUCUAAACGGCCGGGACUCUGACGUGUAUCAAAAGAUGAUACCCCAAGUGGGCCCCCUUCUCUUGAGCCCAAGAAAUAUCGUCGUCAAACCCAAAUGACCUCCACGUUACCACUUGUUCACUGUUUUGCCACCUUCCCCACUUAUAUACCCUCCACCAUUCACCUCUCUCAAAUUCAAUGCAAAUUUUGCAUCCUCACUCGUCACCGCCACCGCUAUCAACCUCCUCCGUCACCGGCGACCGCCUCUUUUUUCUUUUUUAACCCCUUCUGGAGGGGUAACAGUUAAAAUAUCGGUAUAUGGGAUGGAGGCUGCUAACAACAAUAUAAUUGCCCCGUUUGUUAUGAAGACGUAUCAAAUGGUGAACGAUCCUUCCAGUGAUGGACUUAUUGCCUGGGGUAAAGCUAACAAUAGUUUCAUUGUUAUCGACCCUUUGGACUUCUCUCAAAAAAUUCUUCCUGCUUACUUCAAGCACAACAAUUUCUCCAGCUUUGUUCGUCAGCUCAAUACUUAUGUAAGUAAAUAUUUAGAUGUCGUCAUAGUUAAUUUAGAUUUUUGUUGAUGCGGUCAAAGUCCUACAUAAUUUCAAGAAUCUUUAUUUCUAUUCGUAAAAAUGAACAUUCUUGGCUUAAGAGUAGAGUAAAGAGAGUUUAGUUUAGUGGAUAAAGAGGGUUCAAGUUUCUCCUUCUACUUUCCUACUCAUUAAAUCCCACUCUUUCUCUGUUUUGAAGAGUGGGUUGGGGGGGGGGGGGGGGCGGAAGAAAGUUCUUUGUUUUGUACUUGUAUAUCCUCGUCUCUAUAAUUGAGGGUCGUGUUAUGUUGUUAAACAGUUACGUGCCAUGAGGAUCUGGUGUGGCUUAGUAGUUAGUAGUUAAGGGUCCUUUUGUUUUUUUUGGUCACAGUACAAGUGGAUUCCAUUUUUAUCCUGGCUGCUUUUACCUUUCCACAAAGUUAAAAAGAAAAGUGCUACUAAUAUAUGUGUGUAAACUUGAUUAUGGAAAUUUCAGGGUUUCAGAAAAGUGGAUCCAGAUAGAUGGGCUUUCGCCAAUGAAUGGUUUUUGAGAGGGCAAACGCAUUUGCUCAAGAAUAUUUCUAGGAGGAAGCACUGUAGUAGAAACUCAAGUAACAGUAGAGCUGAAGAUGAUGAAGAUGAUGAGGGAAUAAUAAUGGAGUUAGCUAGGUUAAAGCAAGAGCAAAAGGAAUUAGAUCUACAGCUCUCAAGGAUGAACAAGAGACUUGAAGCAACCGAGAGGAGACCCCAACAAAUGAUGGCUUUCUUGAGUAAAGUUGCUCAAGACCCUGAAAUAUUACCCCGUAUGAUGCUUGAAAAAGAAAGAACUAAAAGGUUAAAUAUUGCUAGUGGGGACAAAAAGAGAAGCAUAAUGAUGAUUUCCUCAACUUCGCCUUCGGCUUCUGUUUCUUCUCCUCCCUCCUCAUCAGGAAUGCCUUUGACAAGCUCUUCAGUAAAGAGCGAGGAGGAAGAGGAUGAUGCCAAUCUCGACGUUGAUAACUAUUGUCACUUUUCCUCUUCGCCGGAGACACCUUCCUCUGCAUGGUUCAGCCAAAGACCAGUCCUGGGUCGGUCCGUGAUUGCCCAAGAAUCUAGUAACAGUGGCGGCAAUAUUUCAAGCUCUCUGUCAUCGGGUUCCUCCGCCGGUAGUAGUGGUUCUACUGUUGCUCCGCCAUUGGAUGGUGUUCCGGCAAGUGAUGCUACGUUUGGUGGUGAUAUAAGUUAUGUAGGACGAGCUGCGGUCGGGGAGGCUGUUAGUCCACAACCGCCUUAUCCAUUCUCACUUUUAGGAGGCGGUUUCUAGUUAAACACUUUCAUAGAUUUUAAGGCUUUUUUUUUUUUUAGGUGGCAAAAUUACUAUUAUCGAGCUAUUUUGAUCAUGUAAUUCUUCAAACAUGUGCCUUACAUCAGAGCCUUAUAGGAUUAGGACCCGAUACCAUUCUUUAUAAGAUGGUAAAAUGGUGAUCCCAAGAAAAGCCAAAAAAAAAAAAAAAAAAAAAAAUUUGCAAACAUAGGGUCAGUUGUGUACAUUUCGUAUUUGAUCCUUAGCUUACUUAAUUUAUCGGGUGCAUUCUUACAUACAUAUUCUCCGACAGUGCUGGUAUUAUAAUGAUAAUGCAAGUUUCAAAGGAGUGCAAAGCGCAAGGAUGAAACUUAAGUUGUGUACCUACGGUUCUUUGCUUUUGGUCGUUUUUGUGGCCGAAGUAUCCAAUUGGCGACUAUUGUAUUUAUGCACAUAUAUCAUAGAAUAUGUUAAAAUACUCUUACCACCCUUUUUUAUUCCAAAAGACUAAAAUUUAUUUUUUGUCUACAAAAUUUAUUUGAAUGUAUUUUUCAAUCAUCUUUUUACUUUACAUAUAUCACAUUAUUAUAAUAUAUUUUUUUAAUAAAAAUUUUAAAAAAUAACAAUCCAAACAGGCUGUUACAACAGCGGCUUUUCUCCUCAAUAAACUUGGUAGGCAUGAUGAUGAAUUCGGAGAUGGGCAAGACUUGCUUAGUCACUUGGGUUGGGUAACUGAGGAAAAGAAAAAGUUACAUAGUUUCUUAUAUGAGUUAAAAUUAGAACAUAUUAGUUUCUUAUGUUGGAACAAUAUGCUGCUAAUUUUUACUGUGGUUGAUUAAGCCUUCAUGUUUGGUUAGCUGUCAAGAUUGGAAAGAAAAUCUAGAAAAUACGGAGGGAAGGGUUGGAUUGGAUGGUAAAGUGGGAGGGGUUGUAAGUAGAUUGGAAAGAAAAUCUAGAAAGAUAAGGAGGGAAGGGUUGGAUUGGGGUGGUAAAGUGAGAGGGGUUGUAAGUAGGAAAUCCAUUUUGAAAAAAAAGUAGAUAAGUUUAAUAUUGUGAAAGAAAUGCAAUUUUGGUCUCCAAAUUUUUUUUUUUUUAUAUUUGUGCAAUUUUAUUCCUAAAAUUUAGGCAAAAACAAAUCAAACCCCUAAUGUUUGACACUUGAUGCGAUUUUAGUAUUUAAAAUUUUGGUAAAAACAAAUUUAAUGACCAUUGUUAUCAAUUCAAAAUAGAUUUGGGACAAUUCAGUGGAUUUUUCAAUUAUUGACCAAAUCAGAGUAUAAUUUCAGAAACCACCCUUGAGGUUUUAAUAAUUUCAUUUAGCUCUCUCAAGGUUUUAAAAAUUACACAUAUUUCCCAUUGAAAAUUAUUGUUUUUAAAUAAUUUAAUGAAAUUCCCUUGUUUGGUGUGCUUAUUCUUAGAAUAACUUUUAAAAUUAUUUUUUCAUUAUUUUUUCCUUCGUAUUCCUUUUUUUAAUUAUUUGCUAAUAAAAUUGUAGAGCUACCACUAUUACAUCUAGUUUCUAUUAUAACUAAAUGUCAAACUAGUGAUUUUUUUUAUCAGUUAACUUAUAUGUAAUCCAAUGUUUUUUGUUGAUCUUUAUUUUCUAUUUUGUGCUAUUAAAAUUAGAAAUAAAUCAAAAAGAAAUGGCCCAAAAUCAUUACUAAAUUAUGAUAAUUCCACUGCUCAAAAAAUUCACAAAUUCUAAAUAAAUUAUUUCAACAUUUUCUUUUAUAUCAUAUAAAUCUAAAUACAUUAUAAAAUACCAUUAAAAGUAUCCUAUCAUAGUAAUAAAAUUAUUGUUAUAGUUGUAUAUCAAAUAGUAGGUAUGGACAUGAAAAAAUUUGACACUUUUUCCUUAUAAUUAUACUAGAUAAUUUUAUAAUUGCAUAGAAAAAUAAAUUAAAACUCAUUAUCCAAGGGCAUUUUUGGGUAUUCAUUUAAAAGUUUGAUCAAGUCAAUAUUAUUUUAAAGUUUUGUUGCUAAAACUAUCAAAUCAAGAAAGGUAGGUGUAAUUUUUCAAAUCUCAGAAGAGUUCAUUGAAAAUGUUAGAAACCGUAGGAGAGGUUUCUGAAAUUAUCCCCCAAAUCAGUCACGUAUAGUCUCAUGUUUGUUACAUUAAACAUCUAAAAAAAUAAGCAGAAUAAUGACUAACUUUGAACAACAAGAAUAACUAGUGCAAUUAUCAGAUGACUAACUAAUUAACCAAGAAACAAAAAUAAAAUUGUUAAACCAUACGCAAAAUGUAAGUGUCAAGGUUUUUUGUUCGGAAUGGAUUGUAAAUCGAUGAAUUAGGUACUGCGACUAGUUUCAGUUUUGUUGUUUAACAAAUUCAUUUUAAACUAGUUAAUUAGUUAGUACAUGAGUUGUUUUUGUCCUUAAUCUUGUUGUUUAAAAUCAAUUGCUAUUUUGCUUAUUUAUUUUGAAAUUCAAUUUACAUGACACACAACUAUACGUGACUAACUUCUAUCACUAAUUGAAAAAUAUUUUCAAAUAACCUAAAUAUGCUUUAAAUUGGAUACGCUAGGGACCAAAUUUGAUCUUGCCGAAAUUUAGAACCUAAAACUACAUAUGUACUAAACAUUGAGGACUAUUUAUUUUGGUCGAAAUUCUAAAGACUAAAUUGCACAAGCACUUCAUAUUGAGAACUAAAAUUGCGUUUUGUCCUUAAUGCUAGACUUCAAUUUAAGUGGUAAAAGAAAGGAAUAAGGUUUUGAAAUAGAAUGUUUUGAACGUCAUGACCAAAAUUUCAACAAAUCGCGACUUCAAGUAACCGAUCUUUCCGUUCCCUCUCAUUUUCCAAUUACUGUGCGAGUACUAUCUGUUUACACCACAAAGUAUAGCUCAAAGUCAAAUGCCAAACUUGACAAUGCCAGGGGUGCUUACGUUAGGACCGACUGCAGUUGCAUGAUUAGCAGGAGACAUUCACCCAAACUAUAUCUACCACAAAUUAUGCAUUUAAAGUUUAGUGAUAAUACAUUCAUUUUUCUUUUUGCUUCUAAAUCAAGCGUGCAAAUAUAAAAAAUUACCAGUCCACGUUGCCUAAGCGGAAUGGCAGAGGAGUUUGCUCAUUUCUGGCAUUGUAGGGUUGGAAAAGUAAAGAGACGAUGAGCCCACAAAUGAAUUGGAAUGGAGGCAAGCAAGGGGUGAUUUGUUAGCCAAUGAAUUAAAGCCAUAAAUGGAUUUGCCCACUUUCCCAUUCUGGUUCAAAAUGCUAUGACGAUGCCCGUUGCAAUUUGGCAGGUUAUGAUAGCUCCCGACAAGGUCCAGCUGAAGAGAGUCCCCACUCCCAGUCUCCUACUC